AAUUCCUUCUAUCUAUGUAUGUAUAUAUAUAUGCUAAAAAAAGUAAAAAAGAGAAGAAAAGACUAAAAAGGUAAAAGAAAGAAUUUUAUAUUUUCAAAUUUUCCAAUCAAUAGGAAGAAAAAAACUUCAGACAAGAUGGAUGAUGCAGUACAUGACCAUAUCUAAAAAAAGGUUUAAAAUUCAUACCAUUUUUCAUGAAACUAAUACAUGGUAUAGUGUGGUUCCAAUUGAAUUUGAGAACAAAAUUUAAUUAGUACAAUUAAGCACAUACACAUUAAUUUUUUUAAAAAAAAAAUGAACAAUAGACGAACAUUUAAGGCUAUUUUAAGGAUAGAUUAAAAAUACAUAAACUAAAAUUAGAGAAACUAAAAUUAAAGCAUUUUGAACAUACAAAGCAAAAUAAAAUUUUGGGAUCCUCAUGUUCAUAUAGAGUGUAGAGUAAUUGUAAAAUAUGUAUAUCCAAUAAUAGUGCGAAACGUGUCUCAAAGCAGUCGGUAUUCGUCAAAGUUUUAAAAUAUACAAUAUUGUCCCUAGUCUCUCUCUCUCUUUUUUCUCUUUUAUAAUUAAUAACGUUUCUAUCAAACUCUUUUCAAUCAAAGUAUCAUGAUUUAGACAAAAGAACUAAAUUUAUUUAAAAUAAUUUAUAAAUGUCAUUUAUUUUUUUUAUUAGGUUUUCCUAAAUUUUGAAAACAUUUAUAAUCUUAUAAAAAUUAUUAAUUAUAUAUAAUUUUUUAAAUUAAAUUCAAAUAAUUUUCUUAUUUAUAUUAUACUAAAUUAAUUACAACUUCCCCUGUUAACUAUAUUAUGAAAAUUAAUUAGAAAUAUUUUGUUAAUUCAAUAUAAAAUGAAAAUUUUUUAAUACAAAAUUAUCUAAUGAUUAAAAAUAACAAUAUAUCAUUUUGUGCAUCAUCCUUUAACAUUCUGAGACAAAAAUUCUAACAUCGAUAAAAAUUUCUUUCUUCAUAAUUCAAUGUCGAUCGUUUCUUCCAUCAAUUUCAUUCUUAUCAAUAUCGCUAUUCAAUUUGGUUCUUAAUUUAUUUCAAACUUUCGUUUUAUAUACAACUUUAAGUUAGUUGUCUUCUUCAAUUACUUUCUUUUUUCUUCAAAUUUCAAUCAAUUACUUUCAUUUUCCUUUUAUUCAAAUUUCGUACUUUACCAAUAUUUUGCGCACACAUAUAUACAAUAUGACAUAUGUAUUAUUCUUUCUUUUUUCAUUUCGUAGCAUAUAUUUUUUUCUUCAAAAAUUUGUUCUUUCUUUUUCAAUUUCGUAACAUAUAUUUUGGUCAUGUUCUUCAUAUUUUGUUUAUUUUUUUAUUGUUCAGUUCAUCUUCCUGUUAUGUUCGACACAUAAUUUUUAUUAAGUGUCCCGUCGUUCGUAUAUACUUUAGUAUACCACUGAAUAAUAAAUUUAUAUAAUGUGAUUUAUAACAUAUAUACUACAACAUAUAUUCAAUAAUACAUAUACAUAUUCUUUUUUCAUGUUUUGUGAUUUUUCUUACGACGUAUAUAUACCAAUAUAUACACAGAUUAUAUAUUUAUUAAAUAUAUUUUUUUUAUAUGUUUCUUACAUAUAUAUAUAUGCUACUGAAUAAAUUGUUUAUGUUUUAUGAUUUGUUAUAUAUAUACCAAUCCAUAUAUUCAAUAGUACAUACACUUUUUUUUAUGAUCUGUGCUUUUUUCUUACUACAUUUAACACGAAUUAUGUAUCUGAUCAGUAUUUUUUUCUAAUUCUUAUAUAUAUACUACUGCAUAAUACAUAUAUCUUAUGUAAUUUGUCACAUAUCUAUACUACUUCAUAUAUUUAAUAAUACAUAAAUGAUGUUAUCUUCGAUAUACUCAAUAUAUCAUAGUGUAUUUCGAAUACAAAAUAUAAAUUCUUACUAAUUUUAAAAGAACAAUAUAUACUAUAAUAUACACGUAAUCACUGUCGUUUCAAACAUAACUUAUUAUUUAUUACAUAUAAAAUAAAUAUUUGAAAUAAAAUACAUAAACCAGUUUAACAAAUUGAUAGCAUAACCUUUCAUUCAUAAAAUAUACAUGUAUUGUUUCAUAUAUACUAUUUAUAAACCAAUUUAAUAUUCAACCAUUUUUUUUCAUACAAUUUUCUGGAUCUUCAAUUCUUUCAUCAAAGUCCAUACAUUCCAACAUAUUCAGUUUUUUUCAACAUUACGUAUACCAGAGAACAACUGGUAUUUUAAAUGGCAUAUAUUACAUAUACUAAUCAUCAUUUUUUCUCAUUCAUGUUUCUGUAAACAUAAACAACUUUCAUAAAUAAUCAAUAUUAUUUCAAUCAUAACGUAUUAUUUACUACGUAAGAUAUGAAUAUUUAAAUAAAAUACAUAAACAGAUUGAUAUAAGAAUCUUUUAUUAAUAUUAUUGAAAACGUAAAAUAUGUGAAAAAUAAUGCAAAAUAAAAGAAAGAGAUUGGAAAGUGAGAAAGAAAUCAAAAGGAAUUUUUUUUUUUUUUGAAAAAAGUCAUAAAAAGAAAACUAAUCCAAGAGACAAUUUUAAUUAUUAAUAUUAAUAUAUUAGCAUUUAAUCACUUACCAUAUUUACAUAAGAUAUCUAAUAAAUGCAAAUCAUAAACAUGGUUCACUUUUCUUUUUCAUUUUUCUAUUUUUUAAUAUAUUAUUAAUAAUAAAUAUGGGUAAAUUGAUCAUUUAGACCCUAUAUUUAUGUAAAAUAUUAGUCAAUUUAAGACAUUUAUGAAAUUUUGAGAAAUUUAGGUCAAUCUUGUAAUAUGAUAUACAAUUUUAGGCCAUAUUAGUUAAAGACCACAAAAACAAUAAUAUAAAAACACAAGCACAUUUAGUUAUAACUUAACUAAUUGAAACACCACGUAUAAAUAAUUCUCAUUUUCCUUCACUCCAUUGACGCGAUUGGAGGAGAGAAAUAUUUAUAAAGGAUAAGGUAUUAUCAUAAUCCUAAUGUUAUGAUAAUAUGUGUUUGAAGAAAGAUUUAUUAUUGGUAAUGUUAUGAUAAUAUGUAUUUGGAGAAAAAAUUAUGAAUGGUUAUGUUAUGAUAGUAUGUGUUUGGAGAAAAGAUUAUAAUAGGUAAUGUUAUUAUAAUAUCGGUUUGGGUGAAGAAUUAUGAAAAUUAUUUAUUAUUAUUUUUUUAAAUUCGUAUUCUAAAGUUAAUACACGAAAUUGUCGUAUUCGUAUUCGUAUAUUUAAUUUACCAAAUUGUCAUAUUUUUUGUAAAAUAGGUUCCAUUAAUUUUCUUAAAUGUGAUGUCCAUUUUCAACGUUUUUUAUGCGAGCAUUUCAUGCCAAUAAAUUAUCAAUUUUUUAAAACUCGUAUUCUAACUUCAAUACACAAAUUAUAUAUAUUUAAUUUAUCAAAUCGUCUUAGUUUUCGUAAAACAAUUUCCAGAAAUUUCUUCAAAAACGACGUUCAUUUUCAACAUUUUUUAACGUUGGGUCGUUACGUGCGAAUAAAUUAUAUUUUUGUUUUUAAAUUGAUAUUCUAAAUGCAAAAUACAAAUUGUGUAUAUUUAACUAUUUAUUUAAACUAAUGACUAACAACAUAAUUUCAAUUCUAACUCAAUUACAUACUUUAAACACAAAAAUGUUAUAAACUGAAGUCAAUUACAUAGAACACAACGCAUAAGCAAAAAUUAUUAUGAUUAUUUUAAAUUCAUAUUCUAACUCAAAUACACAAUUUUCGUAUAUUUAAUUUACCAGCUUCUCAUAGUUUUCGUAAAAGAAUUUGUAGUAAUUUUUUUAAAUACAACAUGCAUUAUUAACAUUUUUUAUGUAAUUGUUACGUGCGAGUAAAUUAUUAGUAUUUUUAAAAAUUCAUAUUUUAACUCUAAUACACAUAUUUUGUAUAUUUAAUUUACCAAAUCAUCCUAGUUUUUGUAAAACAGUUUGCAGUAAUUUCUUUAAAUAUGAAAUCCAUUUUCAACCUUUUUUACGUAAUUGUUACGUGUGAUCAAAUUAUUAAUUAUUUUAAAAAAUUCAUAUUCUAAAUCCAAUACACAAAUUGUAUAUAUUUAUUUUACCAAAUUGUCAUAGUUUUCGUAAUGUAGGAGCGAAAAAAAAAAAAAAAACUGGUCAAGCGAUGUAAUCACAAUAAAUUACCUAAUUCAAGAGUACAAGAAAAAAUAAAAAUUUUAAAAUCACAUAAUUGUACCAAACUCAUAAAUGAGAAAAAAAUAGAUUAAAUAAUAUUUAAACUUAAAUGAGUUAAUUAUAAAUAAGAAAAGGUUAAGGAAGUGUUGUGGAAGUGUUAAGGUAGGAUUGAGGGGUUGAGAAAGGGUUAUGAUAACCUUUCUCCAAAUAAGGAAAGGGUUAUAUAACCUUUUCUCCCAUAACUCUUUCACUCCCUCCAACACAUCUUGUCCUUGGAAUUGCCUGUAAAAGAAAACUAUUUUUCUAAAGAAUACUAUAUAUAUAUUUAUUUAUAUAAAAUGAGUUUAAAAUCUACACUUACAUGUUUGGUUCGAUCUCUUUAAAAGUAUUUAUAUGCAAAAUUGUGUUUUGUUUUUCCUAUAUUAACAAUGUUUAAACAUAAGUCAAAUUAUCAUAAAAGAUUAUUAAACAUUAUGAAUUAAUUUCAUAAAGAAAUACAUACAUUUUGAAUUUUUUUUUCAUAAAUAUAUUUUAAAAUUAAUUGCAAGUUAUCUUAAAAUUAUUAAUUUUUUAGUUACUUGAAAUUAAACAUUAAUUUCAUUUUUUUUGUAUUAAUUUUCUUUAGUCAAUUCAAUUUUGAAAGCCCAAGUAUCUUGAAAUGUAAAUACAUAACCAUAAAAAAAUUGAUUUUCAACAAUAAAAUAUAAAUAAGAUAAAUAUUUUUCGAAGACAAUAUAAUAUCAACUAGACAAAAAAAUGUGCAAUUCAACCACAUUCUUUAUUCAUCUUCAUUUCACGAAUCGAACGAUCAUGUUUUUCAUUGACGUCCUCAUGAUUUCUUUUACAAAUGUUAAGACAAAGUAGAUUUGGCUAAGAAAGAAACAUUUGCAAAUCCCUAUAUUGAAAUGUAUAUGAAUAUACAUUGAAAAAAUAUUAUUCAAAGUGUUUAAAAAUAAAAAUAAAAAACAAAAACAAAAAGAAUGACGUAGUGAAAAAUAGAUACUAAAAAGGAAUAGACAAAAUAGAGAAAGAAAAAUAGAUAUUUGGGAGGGAUUUCUCGUUAAACACCAAAUAAACAUUUAUUCUAAAAUUUGGUUGAAUGUGUUUCCUCUAAAAUGAUUUAUUUCAUAACCUCAUUUUUUUCUAAAAAUUAUUGUAAACCAAUAUCAAACACCUCAAUUUAUCUUAAAAUAAAUUAUUUUAAAAACUAAACACUUAAAAAAUCAAUUCAAACACACCUCAUUCUACUUCAAAUUCAGUGGUUGUAACAAGUUUGUACGAAUACAAUUAAAAGUUUGAUGAAGUGUUAGUAUUUUAUGAUUAUCCGUUCGUAACCAUUUCGUUUUUAGUUCUUCUUAUUAUUCCUCCCAAUUCCUUACACUCAUUAAUCAUUAUGAUUAAUAAGUGUAUGCAUCUUUCUUUAAAUUAAUUUGUAUUCUUUUAAAUUUUAAAGAAUCUAAAAUUUCACUAUAUUUGUAAAUAUUUUGAGCAAUUUUGUCAUUUAUAAAUAAUUUCCUUUUUAAAGACCACUAUUGGUAACUAUUUUUGUUUCCAGUUUCUUAUUUUUGAAAAUUAAUCCUAUUUUUUUCUUAAAUUUCUUAUGAUUGUAAUUGAGUACAAAGAGUUCAAUUUUUAGCCAAACUCCAAAAAAAAAAGUUUUUAAAAACUAAUUCUUUUCAAAGUUUGAUUUACUUUUUUAAAAUAUUAGUAAAAAUUAGAUUAAAAAAACAAUAAAUUUAUGGAUGAAAAACCUAUUUCAUUACCUCAUUUUCUUGUUUCUUUUCUUCUAUUUAUAUUGAUCUUGAAAUAGAUUAGUCAUUCUUAAGUUCCUAACAACAUGACAACUCCUACAUAGAACUUUACACGUGUAAACUUAACGUUUAUCUUAACCUUACACGUAAACAACUAUCAAAUCAUGAUUAGACAUUUUCUUGUCUGGCUGCGUUUCACAUUGAACUUUAGAACGCCCAAUUCUUGUGUUGAAUGUGUACUUCUUCAAAACUUCAAUGACGGUUUCAAAACGCAUGCUCUUUAAAAUGCCUUUUCUUGAAAGUUAGUCAAAAUGUUGUCCCUUCUACUCAAACAUGGGUCCUACAAUAUCGGUUGGGAAAGAAGCUUCCCGUACUAGAUGUGAAGUGUGCUGAUGGUGUUGAACAACUGAAAGACUUAAGUAGCCAAGCCCUGCACAUGUGGGAGAUGGUGGUUUCUUUAUUCUAGUUCACUUGUAGAGCAGUGUCAGUUAGGCUCUUCAUUAUAUCCUCCAAAGGAAUACCAGAUUCCUCGCCACCUUUUUGGUUCGUAGCAUAGUUCAUCUUAGCAACAAGUUCUUGAGGGUGUUGUUAUCGUGUAGUGAAUACAUGUUUUACAAGAGUUACCUCAGUAAGUUCAACUCUAAGUUCACUUAGCUCUUGUGACAAUGUAAAGGAUAAAGGGACAUAGUUGUCACGAUGUGCUCGCGACGAGAGCGGUCAAUGUCCUUGUUUAUUUAAUUUUAAUAAAUAAAUAGGUUUGGAGUCACCACUAACCAUAUUAAGAUGUGAUUGGUCACCCAAAUAUUUUUUUUCUAAGAAAAGGUCUAUGUAAAUUCAUGAGAUUUAAGUUCGGGAGUUAGUUGUGUGCAGUGAAUUUAAUACUCUACAACACACAUAAAAUGGUUACCUAAAUUUAUCUUUUAAACUAAAUUAAAGAAGGUUUCCAAAACAAAGUUUUUUAUUUUUAAAUAUCUCAUGGUUCUCAAUUCAUAUCAAAGAAAAUAAAACCUAAGCAUGAAUUGAUAAUUAUGGGUGGCAUAAGAGCCAAUGGAAACAUGAAGUUUAUUUUUUGUAUCAAAAAUAUAUUUUUUUAUUUGUUUAUCUCAAGAAUAUUAAGAUACCAAACUUUGAUAUUUUAAUCUUCAUCAUAGGUGUUUAAUGAGAAAUUUCAUGUAUCUAAUAAUUAAUAAAUUCAUAAAAAACAAUACUUAGUCCCAUUUAAAAUAUGAAAUUGCUUAUAAUCUUAAAUACAAUUUAUUAAUUAAAUUUCAAACGAAAAAAUUUCAUGAAUUUAUGGAAUUUAAAUUACAAAACCCAUAAAAAACAAUAUUUUUCUCUGAAUUAAAUUUCUAUAUUUAAAUUGGAAAAUAAAUAAUAAUAAUGAUGACGAUAAAAUAAUGGGAAAUUCGAGAAAUAUACAUGUGAAAUAGUUAUAUAGGUUGUGUAAAACUGGUAGGCAGGCCGUGAAAUAAGUAAAAUAAUACGAUGAGAUAAAAUAAUAAAUAAUAUAGAGACAAAAAAUACAUAGAUAAAAUAAUAUAGAGAUAAAAUAAUAACAUAAGCAUCCAAAUAAAUAAAGCAUGAUGCAAAAUAAAACACGAUCCAGGAUGCCAUGAUGCAAAAUAAUUAAUUAACGUUGAAUAAGGUAAUUUAGGUAGAAUGUGAAGAUGUCAAAUAAUUAAUUAAUGUUGUUAGGGUUAAUUUAUUAAUGCAUGAUGCAAAUAAUUAACACAUGAUGUCAGAUGAAUAAUUAACACAUGAUGUCAGAUGAAUAAUUAAUGCAUGAUGCCAAAUAAUUAAUUAAUAAUGACAGGUUGCAAAUAAUUAAAUAACAUCGGCCAUGGUAAUUAAGGAAAGACGUGAGGAUGCCAAAUAAUUAAUUAGGAUAGAAUGACAUGAUGCAAAAUAAUUAAUUAACACAUACUAGGAAAAUUAAGGCAAGAUGCCAAAUAAUUAAUUAACGAAUGUCAAAUGGGUGCCAAAUAAUUAAUCCAAGAUAUGCUAAUUAAUUAAUGCAUAAUUUCAAAUGAAUAAUUAACGUGCGAUGCCAAGUAACUAAGGCAGGAUGCCAAAUGGAUAAUUAACAAUGUCAAAUAAUUAACACAGAAUAUAAGAUACAAAUAAUUGAAAUGAAAAAUUAAUAUAGGAGACUAAAUGAGUGUCAAAUAAUUAACGCAGAAUGCGAAACAAUUAAAGCAGCCAAAUGAGUGCAAGUAUUCAACACAGUGAACCAUGAAUUGAAGGGCACACUAAAUUUGAAACACCAGUAAUUUAAUUAGCCUAAAUCUAAAAACAACUUAGUAAACCAAACCGGCCGGACUUAAAUCAAAUAAAAUUGAAACCACCCUAAAAAUUCAAUACAAAAAGAAUUAAAAAUAUGCAAUAAUGACCAAACCAAUUGACAUCCAAAAAAGAAAAAGAAAAUACAUUUGAAUACCAUAAUUUGGAGAAAACGUUAGUUUUCUCAAUCCUCGCAAAUGACAACGCACGUGAGAAGAUUUUUUUGUGCAGUAAAAAGUGUACUUUCCUUUAAACAAAAUCUCAACCUAUCUCCUUUAGACAAAUCUCCGGUUAACCUUUUAGGGCCUUCUGGUUGCCUCUUGGUGCAAAUGAUUGUGCCUUUGGCCUUAGCUUCCACCUUCAACUUGUCAUUCUUCACCUUUCUCAACCAAAAUUCCUCAGUGCAAUGAGAAGGUAGCACGUGCUCUACUCUGAUAUGAAUUCUCUUCAACCAAAUAAAAACUUACCUUAUUUAUAGACUUUGUCGUGGCCAUUAAAAAUUUAUAUAUUUGUCUAUAAUUUAAUUAUUAGUAUUUUCAUGAAGUGAUGUAUCCAUUCAUGAAAAACACACAAGCAAUAACUAUUUAUUUAAAUAGUUUGAUCCGCAAUGAAAUUAUGUUUCUUGAUUACGGAUUUGAGUGUAGAUUCACCCUACAUUUCAUUAUAAUUACAUAAAACAAGUAAAUAACACUAAAUGUAUUUAAACGAGGCUAACCUAAUAGAUAAAUAAUGUAAAUGAACCUGACCUAAAAUCAGACCAGUUUUGCAAUUUAACCGUUUUUUAAAAAAGAAAACUAUUAUUAUUAUUUUGAAAAGUGUCAUUCUAUGUUACUUAAACCACAUUUGAAAAAUAAAAAGUCAGUGCCGUUCAUACUUCAUUAUCAAAAAUUGUCAUACUCACCACUGAAAUUGUUUAUUUUAAAAAAUUAUUGAAUAAAUAAAACGCAACACGUGGAAUUAUCAAUUUAAAAAAUAAACACAAUGGAUAAUCACAAGCUAAUCCAUUCAAUUUUUUCUUUCUACAAGUAGAAAUAUUCUCCCCCAUUAUAUUGAUUUUUUUUUCUCAAAGGAAUUGAAAGUAAUACAUAUUAAUCAAAUAAAUCAAUAACAACUACACAUCAAAUUAAUUCAUCAAAUUAUUAUUAUUAUUAUUGCCAAAUGACGUAAACAUUUAAAACAAAGUAUUAUUGUACUGAAUUUCAUCCAAUUAGUUUAUUAUCCCACCAAAUUGCCGUAAUUAACGAUCCAACCACUAAUAAUCAAAAUUUUAAUUUCUAAUCCUAAUAGACCAAUCUGAAAAUAUAAAAAUCUUUCUAAAUAAUAAUAAUAAAAUAAUAUAUAAAUAAUAAAAAUAGUGAAAUCUAAAAAUCAUAUGUAAAAUUUCAAUUUUACAACUACCUUUAUUCUAUUUAUUCUACUUGUGGCACAUGUAUUAAUUUGGUAAAGUGAUGUUAAAAUGAUUCGCAGAUGUUUACAAAUCACACACACCUUAUUUCUAUAAUGUUCGACUAUGCUAAAAUAAUUUAAAAAUUGAUACAAACUUUAAAGUAUUUGAAUAGUUAGAAUAAACAAUAAUAAGUUGACUUUAGAGUCUAAAAAAUGGCCCACUAAUUAUUUAUGAUCUUAAAUUAGUCCAUAGGCAUAUAUGAGACAUAUUUUCAAUAUUAAAAUAUGAGAUUACAAAUAUUUGUGUGGAGACUUAUUUGAAUACUACUUUUUGUUAAUUUUUUUCAACUAUGCAAUUUUAAUGGAUAUCUAUAUAAAUUAGUCCAUAGGCAUAAAGUAAAUUAGUCCAUAAGCAUAAAGUAAUCAUAUGUUAACAACAUAAUUGACUUUAUAUCUUCCCUAUAUGGUUACCCUUUUUGAUGUACAAACCAGAAGAUGUACAUUUUUUAUCUAGUGGGAUUAAUUGGAUUUUAUUUCUUUUUCCUUUCUUCCUUUUUCAAGUGGAUUUACAAGUAAACAAAAUUUAAAGGAAUUAAAAAGGAAAAAAACAAACAAACAAAGGGACUUCCAGAGGCUGAUUCUGAUCUUUACAUGGUACAGAAUUUGUUGGCUAUCUUGGUGACCUUAGUGAAUCUACAUGGGAUUUACCUUGAGGACCUCUCGUCCGAAUGAAAAGUCGGUAUUCGUCAAACGUCAUUGGAGAAUAAAGUGCGGGUCUAUCUCUCGUAAUUAGCGCUUUUGUUGGUCCUAUUGGAAUAUCACUCUUGGGAUUGUAGAAGAAAGCUAAUGAAACACGUUCUUUAUCUGAGUUCACAAUUACUCUAUGCUCCACACUUCUGUAUAUUGCAUUGCUUAGAACCUAUUUCAAAAUAACACAACAAUUGAAAAACAAGUGAUUUAGAAAUUAAUUUCAUGAUUUUUUUAAUUAGGGUUUUAAUAUUACGAGCUUUCUUGGUAGAGAACUUUUUCAAGUCCACCUCUAAACUAUCUCUAAAUUUUAACCUAUGUCUAAUAAGUCUUUGGAAACUUUUAGUCUUUUAGUUAUGUGUUUAUUAGAGUUUUUUUUAAACAUAUUUAUAAAAAAAUUAAAUGAUAUGAUAUAUUUUAUAUAAUAAAUAAAGGCUUCAACUUCUAGGUACGUGUCUCAAUAGAUUUUGUAAUUUUUUUCUUUUACAAAAGUUGAAUAGAUCAUUAAUUUAUCAGUUAUAGAAUUGAAAUUUAAAAAAAAAUCUACACAGACCCAAAUUUUAGAAUUAAGAGAUUAAAUAAACACAAAUCUAAAAAUUUAAAAACCUAUUAAAUACUUUUGAAAGGUAAAGGAAGACUAAAGUUAUAACUUAAAAGGAUGGUGGGUAGGAUUGAAAUAUUUUAAAUGCCAAGUGUAAGAUUGAAUUAAAAAUCAAUUUAUGUAACUUAGGUAUAUUCUCACCUUCCAGAACUACUUAAUAUGAAUAUUGGCCAACAUAAUUUGUUUUGAAAAAGAAAAACAUAUCUCUGUUUGUCCAAAAGAAUAAUAAUUAUAAAAAUAUCUCUAUUAUGAAAUUUGGCAUUUUUUUCUCCUCAAACAAACAAUAGAAACUAAAUGAAAAGGUUAGAAGAUUUUUGUCGAAUAUAAUUUUGGUCCUUGUAAAAAAUAAACAUAGGAAAAGAAAAGUUUUAUUUAGAGAGAGCAUAAUAGAUUCUAAGAAGUGGAAAAAAUGGUCCAAAAACAAAACAAAGACCCCUCCAUGUGCAAAUGGCCAUAGAGAGAGUUCAAAUAAGAAACGCCUUUUAUUUUAGACCAAGUAUUAAUAUAUAUCCAUUACCAACUAAACAAAUAAAACAAAUAAAACAAUUAAAACAAUUAAAACAACUAAAACAAUUAAAACAAUGCUUACGUAACACUGAGAUAGUUCCAUAGUUGGAAAGGCAACUAGGCAGUUGACCAAUAUAACUAGUGAAGAGAACAAACCUGAACUUGAUCCCCCACAUUAACUAUAAUAGCAUGAGGAGCUGGUUUCACAGUAAUCCAUUUAUCGUCUUUUCGAACCUGAAGUCCAGCAACUUUAUCGUCCGGAAGUAGGAACGUCAAUCCACCGGGGUCGGAGUGCGAUGAUAGCCCCAACGUCAACUCCGGUUGUGGGCAUUUUGGAUAAUAAUUCACUCUCAAACAUGCUCCAACAUCUUCUCCUCCAAAUGCAUUUUGUAGGUACCCUUCUUGAAGCCCCAAAUUUAGUGAUAAAAGCUUCAACAAUUUUCCUCCUACCUUCACUACUUCUUCCCCAUACUCCUCUGUCAAUUCUCUACAUUAACAAAAUAAUCCAAUUUCAUUUCUUUACCAAUUAGUUCCAGAUUUUUAUGUUAAUAGGAAUAUAUAUAUAUUCUCUUCAUGUAAAAGUUAAAGUUUUAUUGGUUAUUGUAGACUUAUAUUCUCACCUUUAUCCCAUGAGAGUAAAAAAUAUGGAUGGAAAUGACAUUUAUGGGGUGACUUUGACUUAUUUUUUAUUUUAAAAAUUUUUAGAUAAGAAUCGAGUUGAGUUAGGUUGGGUUGGAUAAGUACCUGAUAGAGUUGGGUAUAACGGGCCAUUUAUUGUGAUCUUUGAGAUGAGAAGGAAGAUAGUGAAGAAAAAAGUAGUCACUCCAAUCAAGAAUAGCUCCUUUUUGAACACCAAGGCGACUACCAUAUCCUUCAUAAGUCUUAGGACUAUUGGCAUAAGUUUGUUUCAUCUCCACUGGCAAUUUGAAAAAAUCAUACCAUGCACGACGGACACCGUCGAGAAGCUCAUCCCGGAUGCCGUGAUUAAUGAUUUGAAAGAACCCCCAAUUACGACAGGCGUCAGAGACUUGGCUAAGAAUGGUGUGUCGAAGGGAGUCGUCUUGAUCGAGAGCGAAGCCGUGGAUGUCAAUAAUUGGGAUGUUUGUGGUGGGAGAGGCGACAGAGAAAACGGUAGGGCGGUCGGACAAAGGCUUGAUGUAACGGGAAGGGACGGCGGAGCAACCACUCUCCGAGAGGGAUUGGACACGAACUAUGGGUUCGGGCCAAUCUUGGUUGAGGUUAGUAGUCAUCACAGCCAAGGGGAGGCUCUUGGAAUUCCAAGGUUGAUAUUUAUUUAUAUAAAUAAAAUUUAAAGGUUUGUUAUUGUAAGGAAACAAACAAUCCAAACGUUUUUUUUUUUUUUUUUUUUUAAGUUAGCACUACCAAGUACGAUGAAUCACUAAUAUAUAUAUAUAUAUAUCUGUUACAACCUUCUUCAUCCUUCUCUAAGAAAAGAAAAUAAAAAGGUAAAAGGGGAGAGGGUAAGACUUUUUUUUUCCUUUUUGAAUAUAUUAUUCUUUUUAUUUGAUGCACGUUGUUAAAUUUACAUCUUAUGGAGUUUGUUUAUAUGGUUGGAAAUGGUUCAAUUCAUCUAGCUAUAUCGAGCCACUACAACUAUAUUGAAUCUUUUAUAUAGGUUUGUGCGUUGAGUUGUUGUUCUUGCGGUUGAUUACCAUUUGUGUUGUUUGUCUUUUUAUCUAAUAUUGUUAAUUUAUGGAUGUAGUUGGUUUAGUUGGUAAGUUGGUAUACAUAUUUGUUUUAUUAAGUAUUUAUGCUUGUAAAUAGUUUUUUUAAUAUGAAAAGUUUAAGAGAAUUAAAAUAGAAUAUUUACAAGUCGUUUAAGGACAAAAAGAUAUAUAGCACGUGUAAAACAUUAGAGUUCGUAUUGAGAAUAAAAAUGAAAAGUUUGAAGAACCAACAUGAUUUUUGUAUAGGGACCCGAGAUUUAUACUUAUUAUAUCUAACAUUUCAAAAUAAUAAUAAAAAAUGUUCGAAAACAUAAACUCAACAAUGCUAAUAACAAAGGAGAAAGAAGUUUUAAUUCGUACAUUGUCAAAUGCGAUGAUACAGAUUAGCAAUAAAGCGUGAGAAAAAAUUCCUUCUUUCUUUCACUAUAUAUAUAUAUAUAUAUAUAUAUAUAUAUAUUUAUUCAGAAGACAUUUAAAAAUCUUAGAAAAAGAAUAUGUACUAUUCCAAGCAAUAAAAUUUGAAUCACAUUUUCAAUUUUUCCACUCAACAUGUUGUCAGAAAAAAUUACUGAUUAUGAUGUGUGAUGUAGUUGAUGACCAUAUUUAAAGAAAACGUUUUAAAUUCAUAGCAUUUUUUUUUUUUUAAGAAACUAGUACAUGAUGGGGUUUGAAUUGAAUUUUGUGAAGAAAAGCUGAACAAAAUUUAAUUAGUACAAAUACAUAUAUAUGAAAAAGACAUGGAUGUAGGUGAUAGAAUGUGGAAAGGUGUAGAAGAAGAAGUAAAUGAAAAGUAAAAACAUAGGGACGAGGGUUAGAUUAGAAUUUAGGUGGGAGAAACAAGUGGACAAUGACCGGAUGAAAUUAGAGAACGUGAAUAUUAUGGGGGAGCAAUCUUGUGGACUAAAACCCAUACCUUUUUCUGAAAACAAAAAAUUACAUAAUGUCUUUCUAAAAAACAUCAUUUUCCUCUCCCACUAUUUCAAGUUCUUUUUCCUUUUCACUUUUUUACUUGAUUAAAGGUUUAAAUAAAAUUUAAAUUUAAUCUCAUAGAAAUUAAUAAAAUGAGAGAGAAAUCAUAAAAACUUAUGUUUAAUUGGUUGAAGAUAUUUUCAAAUAUAGCUGAAUGAAUGAAGGAGUUAUAGGGUAAAAUGAUAUGGAUGAAGGAUAGGGUGGGGAUGUAGCAAUUGGGCUGUGUGGGUGGUUGAUGGGGCAACUGAAAUUGACACGGCCGACACAGCAGCAAUGAAAUUUUCUUUUUCUUUUAAAUAUUUGAUAAAUACGGAUAUCAUUUUGGAUUCAUAUAGUUUUUUUAUUCUUUUUUAUUUUUCCAAAUAUAUAUAUAUAUAUAUAUAUCAAUUUCGAAAUAACACGGAACUCUAUCAAUUCUAGAUUUUUUUUUUCUUUAUAUCUUACUUUUUCCACUUUGUUUUUAUCUUCUAAUUUAUUCCCCAAUAAACAAAUCAUUCUAAAAAUAUUGUUGUUUUACAUCUAGACUCUGUCUAAAAAAGAAUAUUGUUAUUUGUAAUAUCAGUGGCUGUGGUUUCAAAAAAUCAUGGUUUAAUAAAUUUGACUUCUUAUUUAUAUUAUAUAAUUAUAUAAAAAGAAGCAUAUAUAAGUUAUUUUUAUAAUAUAGAAUUGACGUUAUUUUUGGUUUAACAUGACUUGUUCUACAUGAUAUUAAACCUUUUCUUCUAAUUUUUUAAGUUUCAUUACACAAAUAUAACCCAUGACCCGAAUUCUACUCUUAUUAUUUAAAUAAUUAUUGCAUAUAUAUUAUUUUAAUUAUAUAUACAUUUUUUUUAAAUUCGAUAACAAUACAACUUCACAUCAUAUGAGUUGGAAUAUAUGAGGUUGUAAUGGGUUUUUUUUUUUUUUUAAAUAAGUAGAACUUUUGGAAUUAAAAAAUACAACUAGACUUUAUAUAUAUAUAUAAUGAUAACAUUCAUAUAGGCAUGUCUUUCAAUGUUUUAAUUUUAAAUUCUAACAAAAAAAAAGUUGAAAGAUAAUUAAUAAUUUAGGUUUUGUUUGUUUAGUAACCAUUUUUUUUCUCUUUGAACUAAACUUUUUUCUUUUUCAUCUUCUCCAUUUGUUAUAUAGGUUAUAUAGGUUAGAGGUUAGAUUUCUACCUCAUAUACUAUAUAAAAAAAAAGGUACCUAUAUACUUGUUAUAAUUACUUUCUUGACUUCAAUAUUUUAUUGUUUUUAUAGUCUAUGGGAUAAAUGAAUCAAAUUUAACUUCAAAGUUAUUGGUUGGGAUGCGGACUUUCAACGACUAGAAUAAAAAAUCAUGUUAAUUACUGCUAAGUUAAUCUUACUUUAGAAUUUAUGUAUCAGUUGACAUAUAUUCAUUUUCAUUUUUUAAUUCUUAAUAUUUAUGUUUUAUGAAUUAUUUUAUCCACCUGAAAGAUUAUUUAUCUAUUAUAUUUUCACUUUUUGGUUGUAAUUUCAAACUAAAAUGUCUUUCAACUUUAAUAUAAUUUUUUUUUCUAAAAAAAGUUAAUGUAUUUGAAUAUUUUAAAUAAGAAGUCAAAUCUUUUUAUUAAAAAUUAUCAAGAAAGAAAUUAUCAAUUAAAACAAUAAACUUAUAGUUAUAUCAUUAAUAAAAGUAAAAUUAAUUUAGACGAUAGACCCAUGUAAACAUUUAUUUUCUAUUCGUGAUAGAUUCAUAUAGACACUUUGAUCUAUCUAUCGUGGUCUAUUAUUAAUAAAAGUAAAAUUUAGCUAUAUAAGUAAAAUUUAGCUAUAUAUGUUUUUUUUAUCUUGGAAAUGGAAAAUUUUAAUUUAAAUAUAUUGUACAAAUUGGAGGGGUUGAGGGAUCUGAAUUAAACUAGAGAUGUUUGGGUGAAAUGCAAAUAUGUGGAAAUUGAUGUAAGCUUUGAUUACAAAAGUUUCGUAUAAAUAUUAAAUUAAUGUAUUAAUGGGAAAUAAUUGCAUUGACUAAUACAAAAUAAGAAUUAAAACUUUAAUACGAAAACUAUAAAGAAAAAGAAAUAGAAUUAAGGCAUUUAUAACUCGUGUUUUUAUACCCUGGGGUCCACAUACGGCGCCGUUAAGUUUGAUUCUAAAUUUAUAAUCUUUUUUUAAAAAGAAGAAAGAAAAAAACUCCACACUUAACAAAAUAGAAUAAAAUCAGUUCUUCAAAUAAAAUCCGCUUUAUUAGUUAAUUAUAUAUUCUUUGCAGAAAAAAAAAUAUUAUAUAUCAAAAUUUGGAAACCUGUACGCUUUUAAUUUUCAACUAAGUGACAACUCACAUUACCUAAUUCAAAUAACAAGGGUUGUGUUAAUAAAAAGUUGAAGAAAAAAGAAGUUGAGUCAAGUUGGGGUAUUGUGUAAGUAAGAGGUUGGAUUGAUACGGUCUAACUCAAUUAUGUAUAUAUAUAUAUGUAUACGUUAGCUUCCAUGUUGAAUGACAAAUUGUUCACCUUCAUAUUAAAAAACAAUAUAAAAUUUUAUCUAAAUUAUGAAAAAAAAAAAAAAAAUCAAUCCAUACUUUCAACUUAUGUCCACUCUUAGGGCAAUCAAGUAGUCUUUUAUAAUUACUUAGUUAGUUAUGACAUGUUUUCCCUUGCUCUAAUAUUUUUAACAUUUUUGUUAAACUUUGUUCGGUACUUGGAUUUAUAAAUUUUAUAGUACAUUUUUCCAUUCCUUUUUUCUUUUUUGAUUUUUCCAAAAGUAUAAAAUUUGAAAAUAAAAAAUCCUUGGUAAAAAAAACCACUAAAAUCUUUAAUUUACCCUUUAUUUUCAUGAAGUAUAAGUAUUUUUUCAAAUUCUCAAAUUUUCUAUUUUUGACUAUUUUUUUAAUGAAUAAUAUACACAUGAAUGAAUCAAAUACAAUAAUUCUUAGCUUUUAAUUAGCUAAUUUCUCACCACAACCAUUGUUAUACUAAAAAAAAUAAACAUAAUAACUUAUUUGUGUCUGAAAAACAAUAAGUCAAAAGGUUAAAAAUUUAUUUGAAAUUUUUAAUAUUCUAAUAUAAAAGAUUUAUUAGAAAUAGAGUGAAAGGUUAGGUCUCAUUUAUUUGAAAUUUGGUAUGUUUUUUUGUUGUAUUUUUUUUAGAAAUAGAAUGAAAGUUUAGAUCUUAUAUUAAAAAUAAGAUAAUAAAAUUAUUGACCUUAAAAUUGAUAGAAUAAGUUAGAUUUAAUACGUGCCUUCGUAAAAGAAAGUUAUAAAAGAUAAAAAAAGGUGGUUAAAAAACGUAAAUGACACAAGAUAAAGGAAAAGUUAUUAGAGAGUAUUAAUUAGAGAAAUAUAAAUUAAAUAUUAUAUAAAAUGUUUAUUUGAGUAUCUUUACUAUUAAUUUCGAGGUAAAAUAAGUUAUUUUCUACGCAACAUAUUAUUAAAAAUAGUUAGAAAGCAAAAAAGUUGGUGAGAUAAAAGAAAUGAGAAGUAAAAUUUUAGAAAGUUUUUUUCUUGUUGGUAUUUAAAAAAAAAAACUAUUUAAACUUUAUAAAAAAACAAUUUUGACAGUUUUCCCUUUUCUUAAAAAAGUUAGAAAAUAUUAAAACUUUUAUAGAGAUAAAAGUGAUUGAGAUAUAUUGAAAUUUGAAUAGAAAAUAAAUGUUUUAGAGAAUGAGAAUAUAACUUUUUCGGAGAAAAAUUAGAGGAAAAAUUUAGAAAAAGAAGGAACAAAAAAUCAAAAUUUUGAAAUAUAUAUACAGUAUUUUAUAAAUUAAAGUUAUAAUAAUGCUAAUGGAAAUACAAUAGAAGCAAUAACUAAUAUGUAAUUUUUAGUUUGUAGUAAUUAUCGAUUGAUAUUAACAUAUUAGUUAUUUUUUAGUAAAUGAUAUAUAAUUAUUUUGAAAAGUGCAAAUUCACAUUAUUCCUAAUUUAUUUUGAAAAAAUAUAUUUUUUUAAAUUCAUACGCGGAGCGAUAAAGUUGAUAGAAAUGUUACAUACCUCGAAAAUGAUAGGAAAAAUGAUGAAAUAGUUACAAUACAUUAUAUUGUCAAAGCCACAACUUUAUCACUUGGCAUUCAUUGAUCCAACCGACAUUGCACAAAAAUGAUAUGUCGUUGUUAAUAGAUGUUAACCAUACGUAAAUAAUAUUUGAUACCACAAUUUAUCUUUACAAUAAAUAAUAAUAAAUAAAGAGCACAUGACUUUUAUUCUUGUAGUUGGGAUAUAAAAGAUCAAACAAAUUUUUAAAAAUGAUUUCAUUAUAAACAAGUUUAGAGAUUGAUUUUUUAAAUUAAGUUGACUUAAGUAAUUGUUAAUCAUAUUUACUUACGCUAAUUAACUUCUAAUUCAUUCCUUAUGGUCUGCGAGGUUUCAUCUCGCCCUCAUUUAAUUUUUAUACUAAAAAACUAAUUAAUUUGAAAAAAAUGAGUUUAUCAAAAUAUUCUUUAAUUUGAAUUUGGUUAUUUUAUAUAUAUAUUCUCUCCCGUAGAAAGGAAUAAAACUUUUUAUUCUUGUACUGAAUCUCCUCAAAAUAAUUCAUAAUUGAACAUUACAAUUAAAAAAUAUAUUUGAAACUAAUUAGAGCAUUUGCUAGCAACUUAGGGAGCCACAUGAUAACAUUGGGACGCAAUUAAGAAUGAUUUAGAGUGGGGUUGGAAGUGAUAAUUGGACAAUCAUUUUAGAGAAUGAAAUUUUUGUACCAUUUAUAAACAAUCAAAUUUAGGUUCGAAUUAACUUUGAAUCGUUAUCUUUUGUUUAAAUUUUUUUACAUAUUUAGGUUUGAAAAUAUAUUUUUUAAUUUUGGUUGUUUCUUAGCAUUGUAUGUUUGUUUAUUGAAGAGAUUUCUUUCUCCCUUAUUUGAUUUUAUUUAUAUCAUUUCAUUAUUUAUUCUUUUCUUUUCUUUAUUUUCCUUCUUUCUUUAAUUUACUUUUAAUAAAAAAAGUAUGUUUCAUUAUAUUAUUGCUACCUGUUAAUUUCUUCUUUGUUUAUAUAGUUUUGUGUAUUUGUAACCUUAGGUUGUUAUACAAGUCUUUUUAUUUUCUAGCUAAGAUCUAAUUGUCUAAUGUGAUCACCUUAUUUACAUAUGUAAGCUAAAGAUAUCUUUUAUAAUUAGUUUUCAACACUAUAAAUUUAUUAGUUUUGCAUUGAUUCAAUAACAAAUCUAGUUCCUACAAUUUAUACAUAGUUUAUAACAUUUCAGUUUAAAAAUAUUUUAAAAUUGAUCUUAUUAUUUUACUGGACGAUAAUCACCAUGGGUAAGAUCAAAAUAACACAAAAUUUUCAAACAAAAGAAUAAGGAGAUGUUUCGUUCAAUCAACUUCGUAUAAAAAAGAUUAAAAUAGCACGAAGAUGUUUAAUUUCUAAACUAUGUAUACUUUUAAAAAUUUAAAUAUAAAUUUUCCUAUGUAAUUAAAUUUUCUUUUAUUUUGUAUAAAUUUAUUAUAUCAUGUAAUUACAAAUAUUUUACUUUUACCAACCUAUAAUAUUUUAAAUAUCUUUAAAAAAUUAAAAUUAUAUACUAUUUUAGACUUUAAAUUAAUUUUUUUUUACAUUUUUACAUAUAAUUAAAUACUAUUUUAAAAUUUAAAUUUAAUAUUUUGCUUUCCACGUGUGUGUUCUUUCUUGUAGUAAUAAAAGUUGUAAUAGUUGAAAGAAAAGUUGUUUGUAUGAUAUUUAUGGAUAGGGUUGAAUUACUAUUUUAGUUUUUAUAUACUUACUUCUUUUAUAUUUAUUUUGAGUUCACUUAUUUUUAAAUGUGCAUUUUAAUUUUUAUAUUUCCAAUUUUGAAAUAACAAAUACAAUAUUUUACACUUAUAGGAUCCACAAGAAAAUAAUAUAAGUAUAGAUUAUUGCUAAAAUAACAAUAUAUUUUUUUUUAAUAUCCAAUUAAAGGAAUUGUAUGCAGUGCAAGAUAAGAUGAUUUUAAUUCAUCUAAACUAAUGGAAAGUAUGAUAACAUUUGUCAAAUACAAUCACUUCUCCGAUGCAUGAUAUUAGUUAUACAAUAAAUUAUGUAAAUAUUGGUGAUAUCAAUGACAAAACUUGGGUAGAUAUGAUUUUAAAGUUGAAAUUUUUAGGUAAGCUAGUUAAGAAAAUUUUAAGUAAGUUUGAAGAAGGAACUUUUCGAUUUUGAUGGCUAGAUUACAAGUUAUGAACGUUUGAAUUUGAAAGAACAUUUUGAAAAUGUGUAGUUUCUAGGCAAGAUUGAAAAUGGACGAAGCAUUAAGUCACAAGGGUUUAGACCUGCACUCUUUUUGAAGGUAAGAAGGUUUUCUGGACGUAGAAUCAACAACACGACAUGGCCAACGCACAGCCUAACAACGUGCGGUACGCGCGUAGGCCAUUUGAUAGGCCAUGUGUGUGAGGGGCAUUUGAAUGUACAUGCGAGGAGAGAUGAGGAAUUGUGUCAUGCGACCAGGGCGAGUGACAUGAUGAGUGCGAGGCAAGCACACAACUAGGCAUCCUGAGGGCCUGUGUGCGUGCAUGCAGUCUGUUGUCCAUGUCGAGUGACCAACCGUGCCAUGACACUAGUUUUGACAAUUUUGAUUGUUUGAGAUUUGUGAAAUAAGUUUGGAUAUUUUAUAAUUUUAGAUAUUUAAAAUGAGUUUAAAAUUAUCUAAUUUCAUGGCAAGAAGAGAUUGGAAAAAUCCAUAAUCCGAUGAAUUAGCUACCAUCUAUGAGUGACAAAAUGAAUUUAAAAGUGAUUUCUAAACAUGAGUUACUAAGUUUAAGUUUGAAGCAUGGUUUGAGGUAACUUAUUUGAAAACUAUACCUGAUUUAUAUUAUUGAUUUCUAAAGCAUGAGUUUCAAGUUUAGAGAAGUUUGAACAACAUGAGUUUGACUGAUGAGUAUAUUGAGAAUGUUUUAAUUUCUUAUACAUUGAUUUAUGAGCAAGCAUAUGAUUGUCGAGCUUCUAAAAGUACUCAUGAGAUUGAGAUAAUUAUUUAAAGCAUGAGAUUGUUUGAGCAUGUUUUAGUCUAUAUCUAAAAUAUUCUGAGAUAUAUAGCAACCCAACGAGGAAUGUUCAAAGAUUCUUUGAUGAGGACAUUUAGUAUAUGAUUAGAGUUUCCAUCACUGAGACUAGGUUAGAAAUGAGGGUCUCUACGGACGCCUAGAUUUUUCAUCUCAUAGUUGAGUCAUGAGAUACAAUAACACUACUGAUAUACCUAGAUUUUGUCUCAUAGUAUCACAUUACGAGUUAGGGCUUUAAUAAUGCCUAGAUUUUAGUCUCAUAGAUGUACAAAGAUUCAUGUUAUUGCAAAAGAAAGAGAAAUGUUUGAGUUUGAAAUUAUGUAAUUGCUUUGAUUCACUUUAAAAGUAUGUGCUUAAGUUGUUUACUACUUAAAGAUUUACUAAGCAGUCACUCUUUCAAUUCCAAAAAAUAUUUCUUACAUUUUAGGUAAAAGAUCAUGGACCCAGCGUCUGAUUUCAUCUGUUUAUUUGCUUGAGUUUCUUGCGUUUCAUACUAGUAUGUGUUGUUUUAGUUGUGUAUUUUGGUCUGUACAUAAGUUUGGUUCAAUACUGUUAGUUGUGGAUUGUACAGGGUUUGAUAAUAAGUGUUUGAACUUCAGUUUGUGGCUAUGGUGUUUAUGUCUAUCACACUAGUUGUAGUUGUCAUAUGCUUGGGCUACACUUCGUAUUUAUAUAGUGUUUGUUUAUAUUUUCAUUGUGUAGUAUAUUCUAGGUUAGAUUAGUUUUAGUUCAAGAAUGGUUAGCAUAUAUUGUUAAAAGGAGAAUGCAUGAUCUUUGUUGGUUUCACACCAUCUCUUAGACUGAGAGUAGGUGGUUUGGGAGGAGGUGUGACACAAUGAAAAGUAGAGUUAUACUCUAUAAGUUCGUAUCGAAAGGCAUAACUUAGAAGUAAAGACUAAUGUUACAUAUGAGGACUAAAAGGGCAUAAUUAACUACGAGGAGUUCAUAAACUUUCAUAUCUAGAACAUGAAAAAAACGUAAGCUCGAAAACUAGACCUUAGGCCCUAAUUAAGCAUGGAAAGAGAGCACUUUGGGUAAAAGCUCAAACAACUUGCUUAGCCUUGAGUGCAAAUAAAGAUGGGUCAGAGUUUAGCCGCGAUGUUUGAUGAAAGGGAUAAUAUGCUUCGACUUAUUUGGCAGACAUCAGAAGAAAGAUAGUUUGGACGAAAAGGCUAAAUUGACCUUUUCGCCCAAGGAUGAGAUAAGGCUUGCAAAUUUGAAGAACGGGGCAUAGUAAGUGUAUGUCAUGAUCAAGUCAGCUAAAAAAUUGACCUUAUAAAAAUUUAUGAUAUGAAUGCCCUAUAUCAUAAUUUCUCUACAAAUACAUUCUUAUAACUUUACAGAAAUAAGUCCACUUUAAUAUUCAUUCUCUACUUACCACAGAAUUACACUAACUUAAUUGUUGAAACUUGUGUCGUAAGCAACACAUCGAUGUAGAAGCUUUUUUUAUCUUUCUGGUCAUGCUCUUUCCCAAAUUACAAUUUUGUUGUUAUUGUCACGUGAAAGUCAAAUAUGCUUUUCCCCAUCUAAAUUUUGGCAUAAAAAAUAAUAUGAAGAGAUAUAAUUGAAUUAAUUUUAUGUAUUUCAAUUCUACGAUUCUAGCUACAUCCACCAAUAAAUAUGGUGGUUUAUCAUAACUAAGAAAUUUUGAUUCUUACAUCGCUCUUGGUUGUCUCAAAGAAUCAUUCUACUUAUCAAAUUGUAAAAACACUACAAGAAAACAAAGGUUUCUCGAUGUUGUGAAGGACAUCGGCAAACACAACAUUAGGAAAAUAGACCCAUUUCGACACAGGUCAUGCAAUGUCGACUUUGACGCACAAGGCUGACGUCGUAAUCAAUCACGUCGGGCUUUGUUCGCCAUUUUCAUUUUUCAAAUUUAUCAUUGAACUUUUCCCCAUCACGGUGGAGAAGCAUGUUGGAGAAGGUUUAAUAAAUUAUUUUAAUUCAUGAGCAUUCCCGACACACUACAGAAACAUGUUGGGACAAGUUGACAUAAUUAUGAGACCAUUGAACUAUCCCGACAUAGUAGAGCAAGACGUCGGCGAAUGUUUAAAUAAUGAUAUAAAUCUUACAAUUUUUCUGACGUUUGUAAAGUGCGUCGGUAAUUUUGUAGAGUAAGGACGACGUACACAUUGUAUGCGUCAGAAAAUAUCUAAAUAAUAAAUUUUACAAACUAAUUAUUCCCUAUGUCAUUGGUGAAACAUUGGCUUUGGUUAUACUAAUGUCGACGUGUCACUUUAUGACACUGGAGAUAGUCCUAUUUGCUGAUGACUUCGAACUGCGUCGACAAUUCCUGACCCUAUUUGAUAUGUGUUCAUAAAACACAGAACACACACAAAAAAAGAGAGAAAAUGGAGAGAAAAAAAGAAGAUCCACCGUCGCCACCGUCGUUCGUUCACCGUCGUCUGCUGCACACCGCCAUUCUUCCUCCCUCAUCCUCCAUCGUCGCCAACCCCAAGGUAUAAGUUUUCUCUCUUUUUUUUUUGUUUUGAAUUUAUGAAAAUGUAUGUGUAAUUUAUGUAUUGAUGUUAUGUGUUAUUUGAAUUUUAGAUUGUAUGUGUAAUGUAUGUAUGUGUGAUUUAUGUGAAAAUUGUAUGAGUUUGUAUGUGUAAAUUUAAAGAAAAUAAGUGUUUGAUUGUUCUUGUUAAAAUCCAUUGAAACUUUAACUAAAAUAAAAGUAAGGUUUUACCAUGUUGUUCUUGUUGUUAUCGUUGGAAUCCAUGGAUGAAGAGCUUUCGAAGAGAAUUUAAGAUUUCAAAUUAGUUUUAGUAUUUAGAUGUUGAUUUAGUUGGUUGAUUUUAACUGUUAUGAUUUAGGAUUUAAGAUUGAAGUCAAAAUUCAAGAUUGAAGAAUGCAUAAUGUUGGGAGGUUAUUCUUUGUCUGUUUUUUGUUAUUUAAAUUGACAUAAUACUAUGUUGGAACUUUGUAUUUAUAUUGUAUGUAUAGAUUGUAGACUUGUAUUUACGUUUGAUAUUAAAUUUGUUGUAUAUUUCAAAAUUAUAUUCUACUAUUGAAUCAACAAAGAAAGAAAAGGAAGAGAAUGAGAAGACUAUAGAAGAGCUUAAGGUGCAAGAAUUUCCUUCAACUACGUUUGAGGACCAUGAAUCCAAGAGUAGGGACAUGAGCAAAAUGUGCAAAGAAGGAAGUUGAACAUUAUUACAAGUUGUGUCGAAAAAAUAUGAGGUUGCUUUAAAGAGAAACGACCCUUGCUUUGGUAUUCAAGAAAAUUGAUGGGAAAAGAGGAGCAGAAAAUGACGAGACCGAGAACCAAACAGGUAAGUCAUAGAAAGUUUUCCACUUCCUUUGGUGGUCUCAUAUGCAAGUGCGGAACUUUCUAUGGCUUACCUAUUUUAUUCUCGGUCUUGUUAUUUUAUGUUCCUCUUUUACCAAUCAAUUUUCUGAAACCACCAGAGCAAAUGUUGUUUCUGUUUGAGGCAACCUCAUAUUUCUUUCGACGCAACUAUGAUCAUACUAGGGCAAUUAUGUUGCGGCAAUGAUUUUAGUUUUUAUUAUUCAUGUAAUUUUUGAACCUACAAACGUGUACUUUUUUAAUAUUUGAAUUAAUUUGAAUUUCUAUUUGAUAUUUUAAUAUUUUUUAUUAAUUUUAUGUUAAUUGUUUUUAUUAUUGGACUAAUUUAAAUUGAAUUUGAUCCCAAUAGUGAAAAAAAGUAUAAUAAAUAUUAUUUUCUAUUAAUGAUACAUUAAACUAUAAUAAACCUCUAUCAAUAUUUAUCAUUAAAGUGAUAAAUGCCUAUCUGAGUCUAUCUUAAUUUAUAAUUAGAUAGAAAGUAAAAUUUUGCUACAAUAUUUAUAAAUAAGUUAACACAUUUUUCUUAUAUUUAAAAACUUUCAAAGAUUUUAUUCAACAAAUUCUAAAAUUUAAAUUUCACGUUCUAUAGAUAUUUUUUGAUUGGCAAAUUAAGAUAUGUGUUAAAUUGACAUGACAACCAAAUGUGACCGUUAUUCCAAUGGGUUGUGAAUGAAAGGACACCUUUUAUUUACUUAAUUAAUUUUGAUAUUUUGAUAAGACACCCUUUAAAAUUUUAAAAAUUUUGAUUGAAGUUUGAUGUGGAAUCAAUCUACCUCUUGUCAAGUGAAUAUUUCCUUAGAAAAAAAACAAAAUGGUUAGAAUUUUAUAUAAUUUUAUGAAAGAGUCUUUUAAGAAAUAUAAAACAAUGGUAAAAUAUUUACAUGUUAUAUAAAAAUUUUAAAAACAAAAAAGCUCAUAUGUCCAUAACGAAAAAUACCAAAACCUUCUCGUGAUUAAUUGACAUUAAGCGCACAAUAUAUUUAGAAAAUGAUUGUUUAGAUUUCACUAUUAUUUCCUACACGAUCCUUUAAAUUUAAUAAUAAUUUUUUGGUACAAAAUCGUUUAGAUUUGACUAUUCUUGGUAGAUUUAAUUGUUUAAAUUUAGGUAGCCAAAUCUAAACGAUUUAAUUUUUUUUUAUACAUUUAGAUUUGACACACGAUCACGUUGAAAUUUGGGUACCAAAUCUAAACAAUUUUAUUUCAUUUUUUUUUGUUCAAGAUCGUUUAGAUUUAAUCGUUUAAAUUAGAGUAGCCAAAUUUCAAUGAUUUUUUUUCCAGAUUUUUUUUCAAGAUUUUUUGGUACAUAAUCGUUUAAAUUUGAUAUAUGAUUGUUUAUAUUUGAAACAAAACGAUCGUUUAAAUUUGACUACCCAAUUCUAAACGAUUUUUUAAAAAGAUUUUUUGGUUAUCUUUUGUAUACAAUUGUUUAGAUUUAACAAUGCAAUAUCUUAACGAUUUUUUUUUUCACUAUCUUUAAGAUACCCAAAAGAAAAAUUGCAGAAUAAAGAAGAUGGAAAGAAAUGACAAACUAAAAUAUUAUUAAAAAUUGUAGAAGAAGAGAAAAAGACGGUUGAAAUAAAAAAAAUCGCAGAAGAGAAAGAGAACAAAGACGAUGAAAAAGAGUGCAAACCUAGAAUAUUUUAAAAAAAUGAUCAGUUUCAUGAGUUUUUUAAUUUUGUUACACGAGUCAUAAAUAUUGUGUCAGUUCGUUAUAUUUAUGAAAAUUAACCAUUUAUGAAUAUAUAUAUUAUUGCAUCUCAUAAGAAAAAAAAGAUAUAUCAUUUAUGUUUUGAAAAUGCCUAAAAUAGGGAACAUUAGUAAAUAAAUAAAUAAAAGCUCAUUUGAUAUCAUUCUCAUUUCCUAUUUUUUAUUUUUUUUCUUUUGAGAACAAAAAACAGACUAUGUUUAAUAAACUGUCCUCGUUCUUGUUUUUUGAAAAAAAGAAACAAAAACAUAAAUUUGUUUGAUAACUAUAUCUUGUUUCUUGUUUUUCACAACAAAUAUGUAUUGUUUCUUGUUUCUUGUUUGAUAUUGUUUUAUGCUUCAUGUGUGCGUGUGUCAGAAACUUAAAAUAAGAUGUGUGUUGAAAAUUAAAAUAAGAUAUAAAUCUAAAUAUUAGAUAAUUUUAAAAUUUAAAAUAUAUAAUAUAAAUAUAGCAAAACUAUUUUGAAAAUAACAAAAUUAAUUAAACGUUUUUAUAAAAUAUGGAAACAAAUAUAAUUAUGAAAUAUUAAGGGUUUAGAUGGGGGAAAAUGUUUUUUUUUAAAUAUAAAGUUGUAAUUUUAAUUUAUUCUUUUUUAUUUUAAUAUAAAAAUAAUAAAUUAUUUAAUGGUAGCAUUCUAUCACAUCAAAUAACUGUCGUGGAUGUGUUAUCUAAAAAAUUUCGUCUUUUUCUACCAAAAACGUAAAAUUUUCCAAUUUGUAACAGUUUUUUCUUCUCCCUCCCAUUUUGUGAGAUACACAACUGUCAUAGUAGACAGAUUUUGUUAUAGCAUAAGAGAAAAAAAAAGUAUCCAUUUGGGAGUUGAAAAAUGAAACAUAAAGAAUUAAUAUACAUAUUAAAAAUUAAAAUAAUAUAUAAACUAAAAUAUAGGAAAUUUUUAAAAUAAGAGAAAUAUAAUAUAAAUAGGAGCAUUUUUUAAAAUAGCAAAAUAAAUUAAAAAAAUUUCAAGUUAUAGCAAAAUUUUAGAUUUUAUUACUAAUAGUCUUCCAUCACUAUAGCAUAUCAAUGACUGUCACUGAUAAAAUUUGCUAUAUGUUGUAAAUAUUUUGUAAAAUUUGGUGUUUUUGAAAAUCUCCCAUAUAAAAUAUUGAAGAACUAUUUUUGUAAAAAAAUUAAUUAAAAAAAAUUAAAAAUAAAGAAAUGAAGUGAAAUAGAAAUUAAAAAAAAAUAAAAAAUGUAAGAAAAACUUGCUUACGAGAUUAACUUGCAAGAGGAAGACAAUUAUCAGGUGUGCCAAAUACCAAUAGAUCAAAACUGUUAAUUAUUGGAGACACUCGUAAAAAUAGUAAAAAAAUUUAUAAUAAUAGAAGCAAUGUCACUACAUUUUCUAAUUGCAAAAGUAACAAAUUAAAAAGUCGAUAACUCUCUAAUAGUCUUUUGAUAACCUUCUGAUAGCUCUCUGAUAUCAUUAAUUACUUGUCAUAUUUGUAAUAUGCAAAAAAGAUGUGUCAUGGACUGUUCUUUUCUAAAUGUUUUGUCAUCUGAUGUAAUUUUUCUAAUUAUUACUUGUGAGAAUUAUAAAGUAGAAAUAGAAACAAAACAUGAGAAAUUAUUUUUUGUUAUUUUUCAAUUUUGGUCAAUUUUUUAGAAAUGAUUCUCAAAUUUUAGAAACAAGAAACGGGUACAGUUAUUAAAAAAAUUAUUUGUUAAGAUAUGCGAAAUAGAAACGAGAAACAAGAAAAUGAAACGUUAUUAAAUGAACGGUAAAUCUUCUGAUCUUUCUUAAAGUUAAAAAUAGAGAGAAAUAGAAAGAUCAAUAGAGAACAAUUGCAAAAUAAAUUUAUAUUGGGAAAGUUUUUCGAAAAAACUCUAAGCUUUCCUUUUUAAAGGAAUAUUAAUUUUUUAUAUGAGAUUUUUUAAGAAAUAGAAUAAAACCCAAAAGUAUUUAUAAAAAGUUUACAGGCCUAUAGUGCAAAAUAUCAAAAAUACCACACGAUUAAUCGACCACACACGCCCAUGAACCACACACGCGCACACAAAGUUUGGUACACGAUCGUGAACCAAGAUCGUUUAGAUAUUGGUACACAAUUGUUUACCAAGAUAUAAACGAUCGGUACUAAUAUCUAAACGAUUUUGGUUCAUGAUCGUGUAACAAGAUCAUUUAUAUUUUGUACAAAAUAGUGUAAUAAGAUCAAAAUGAUCGUGUACUAAGAUCUAAAUGAUCGUGUACCAAAAUCUAAACGAUUUAUGUUCAAGAUUGUGUACCAAGAUUUUUUAUAUUUGGUACACGAUCUUAAACCAACAUUGUUUAUAUCUUGAUAUAUGAUCUUUUAGAUAUAGAAGAGAAAAUAUAUAAGAUCAGAUGACGAAGAAGGAAGAAAUUUUGAAGGAGGAAAUGAAUGAAUUACGAACAAGAACAAGUGAGAAUAUGGAGAAGAAGAAGUAAUAAUAUGAAGAGGAGAUUAAUAAAUCACAAAGAAGAAGAAGAAAAAGAAGUGAAAAACCGUCAGCAUUAUCAAAGGUAAAUCUGAAAUUUAUGAAAAUAUUUUAUCGGCUUCAUGGACUUUUUAAUUUUAUUAUAUGAGCCGCAAAUAUUUUGAUAUUUUUUUAUAUUUAUGAAAAUUAACCUUUUUAUAUCUAUAAGUGUUUAAUUCAGCUUACAAACAUCUACAAUAUUUAAGUAUCAAGAACACGUAUAUUAAAUUUUAGGUAAACAAUUACGAUAGAUUGAAUUCAUUCUCAUCUAAAGAUCUUUUAUAAAUAAAACACAUACUAUAACAAUCUAAGAUAGUUUUUAAGAGAAUAUUUGAUUAAUAAAAAUUAAAGGAAAAAAGAAUCAAAUUUAGACCACAACAUAAAUGAGUUAAAUUAAAUAAUAUUAGCUUUUAGAAUCAAAUUCUCACAUCCUUGAUUGAGUUGUAAUCCUCCAUUAAAAGAAGGGGGAAAAGACAUAGCUAAAGUAGAAUAAAGAAGAUUAAGUUUAUAUAGACUCAAACGUAAUAGUCACUAUUGAAGAAUGAAAAUUUUGAUAUUGACAAAUAUUUUCCUAAAAAUGCUAGAAAAUUUUAAAAAAGAAAAAGUGAUUUACAUCACUCCAAUCAAAUGAUCCAAUAGACGAAUGUUCACAAAAAAAAUUUGAAAAUUGAAAUUCUUAAAGAGUGAUUUAAAAUAAUAAUUAAGUUGUUAUUACGUCCUUUGGAACAUGUAUAUCUUCAUGUAAGGUAUUAAUGUUAAAAACAAUUCUUGAUUUUCAAUUUUUCUUAAAAGUAACAUUUACUCUUUUAAAUUUGAUUUGUAAUUAACUAUUUAUUUAGGUUAUGUAUUUUCAAAUUUAUUGUAAUAUAAUUCUUGAACUUUAUCAAAUAUUAAUUUGGAAUUUGAUUAAAAUAUAACAAAACGGCAACAUAUUUACAUUGUAUAGAAUAAUUUUGAAAACGAAAAAAGCUCACUUGUCCACAAUGGAAAAAAUACAAAAAUAAUGUUGUCAACACGUGAUUAAUUUUACAUUCACGCGCGUAAUAUGUUUGAUAAACGAUCUUGUAUCAAGAUCGUUUUGAUUUGGCUACACAAUCGUUUAGAUUUAGUACAUGAUUGUUUAUAUUUGACCACCAAAUUCUAAUUUUCUUUUUUAAAGAUUCUUUGCUACACGAUUGUUUAGAUUUGGUUACCAAAUUCUAAAAGAUUUUUCUAAAAGAUUAUUUGGUCCACGAUAGUUCUAAAUCUAAAUGAUCCUAUUAAUUUUGAGCUCAAACAAUAUUUUUCAAGAUAUUUUAUAUUUGGUAUACGAUCUUACACCAAAUUACACAAGAUUUAUGAUUGAUUGAAAAAAAAGAAAAAAAAUGACAAAAUUAGAAGAAGAGAAGAAAGAUGAUGGAAAGGAAAAAAAAAAAUAGCAAAAUAGAAAGAGAAGAAAGUAAAUGAAAAAGAAAGGUAAACCUGAAAUAUUUUAUAAAAAUGUCAGCUUGGACUUGUUGAUUACGAACCGUAAAUAUUUUGUUGGUUUGUUAUAUUGGUGAAACUUAACCUAUUUAUUUGUGUAUAUACUUAUAAAUUUGUAGAAUAAUUUACUCACUAACAUGAAAAUUUUAACAAACUUGAUUGUCAUUUUUUUAAAGAUAAUUUACAUAAAUGUAACAAAACAAAAAAUAUUUACAAUCAAUGUAGCAAAAAACAAAAACUGAUAAAAUAUUUUCAUAAUUUUCAGAUUUGCCAUUGAACAUUGCGAACCAUUCGUCAGUUCUCAUUCUUCUUCUUUUUUAUUUAUGUAACGCCCCUAGUUUAAGGAAGACGUAAAUGGGCUGAUAUCACAUCUGAAUCAAAAGGAUCCUAAGGACAUGAAAGUAAGAUUAAAAAAUACUUAAAAAAAUUAGAAGUUACUACCUAUACUAACACGUUGCUCCUUCUUUUUCGAUGACUUGAUUAUAGGAAUUUUAAAGUUAAGUGUGUUAGCUUGAAACAAUUCUAUGUUGGGUGGCCUUAUGAUAUUUUUUCUAGUAUGCAUGUAAAUGAGGACAAAAUAUGUUGAAAGGAACUUGUGUUACUUUGUGGAAAGAAUUUUUCACUCCAAUAAGCCUUUAAGAGAAGGGACUUGUGUUACUUUGUGGAAAGAAUUUUUCACUCUAAUAAGCCUUUGAGAGAAGCAAUGAUGACGUUGCCAGAGGUAGGUUUAUGAGAAGAACUUUCAAUCUAAUAAGUGUAAUAUUUUAACUGUUUUUUAUAUUUUUGAACAACCCAUUUUUUUAUUAGGUUGAAACUUAAUCUUUAUGAUCCAUGAAGAAUGUUAGCCCUUGAUUAAUUUUUUUUUUUAUCAUGAUAAGAGACUAAAUUGUUAUAAAUUGUAAAAUCAAGAACUAAAUAAUUAAUACUUGGUGAAAUGUUUAAUAACUAAAUUUGUUACAAAUUUGAGAGUAUAUAAGUUAAAUUGUUACAAGUCUUACUAAGUUUUUGUUUCCAUGAGGACCUAAAGUGGUUUUUAAUCCAAAAUUAAAGCGAGAAUAUAAUUUAUUCUACGUUUUACAAGUAUUUUGAAAAUUUAUAAGAUGUACAUAUUAACUUAUCCUUAAUAUCAUUAUUGAACCCUCCAAUUUAUCACUACAUUGAAAGAUAUUUUAGUUUUGUGUUGUUAUAACAUACCAUAUUUAUUUUGGCUAACAUUCAUUUAAUAGAUGUCCUAUCAGCUUUUAACAAAUAACGUUUACUAAAAUGAGUAAACAUAGGUAUUUUUAAAUUUAUUUUUGAUUCCACAAAAUUGUAAAACGAAAGACUCAACGACUCAUCUUUAAAAUGAUAUAUAAUGUCUUAUUCAUUAAGUUUGAAACCAUUUAGCCGUUUAAUUUAGUGACUAUCAAUACACAACAUGCUUAAAAUCAAAGUUAGAUUUAGUUCACAACCAAAAUGUUUGACGUUUUUUGGAAAGAAAAUGGCAACCUUCCAAAGAACAAAUUAGUGAUGACAGAAUGCUUCAACUCAUUUAGAAUAAAAGAAAAUAAGAGAAGGUGUUUCAUUUAAAUUGCAUAAAUUACAUAAUUCUUCCAUAUAUGUGUGUAGCAAAAUCAAUGCAAUACUCAAUAAUGUCAAUAUACAAACAUACAAAUCAUGGCGAUGAGUAACAUUUUUUAGGUUAAUAAUUGAGUGAAUAACAACAUAUUUAAAAAAUUGCAAAUAUAACAAAAUAUAUUUGUUAUAGACUAUUAUUAAUAAACUUUUGUCAACGAUAUACUUCUAACUAUCAUUUAAAAACUUCGAAAACUAAAAAUCUAAAUUCUGUUGUGUCUGCAAAUUUUGUAGCAUUAUGUUAUAUCUAUUAAUACUUUGAACAUGAUUAUGUUCCAUUAUGUUAUAUUUACUAAUACUUUGAACUUGGUUACUAUAUUUGCAAGUAAAGUUAUUUGAAAAAUGUGGGUUUUCUUUUGUUACUUUAUAUUCUCUAAAUUACAAUCACUUGAAAGUAUCUAAAAAUUAUGUUUUGAAAAACAUAAAUGAUAAUGCGGGUAUGGUAUCAAGUCUAUCAAAUAUCGAAUUAAGAUUUGGGGCGUUUUUAAAUGCUUACGAGAGCCGGGUAUAAUGAAGGAAGAAAUAAAAUUAUUUUUAAUAAUUUGAAAAGAUCUCCAAAACAAAGCCAUACACUUUUUCUAAAAGCAAAUUGAGUACUUAUUUGUGAUUUUGAAAACUAUGUCAUGGACAAAAUUGUGCAAGAAGUACAACCAAGUAAUGUAAGCUAGGAAUUAAAGUCUUCUAUUAGAUAUAAUUUUGAUCAAAUCCCUAAUAAUUGUUUGAGAUUUGAAAAUUUUGAAUAUGAUCACUAACUUCUUAAUUAUUUUAUUAUGUCUAAAUCUAUUCAACUAUGCUUAGGUUACUUCAAAUUUCUACCCUUGAUACUUAAAAUUGUAAUUUUAAUUUCUAUUAAUGUUUACCACAGUUAUAAUAAUAAUAAUAAUUUUCUUUAAUUGCCGUUAAACCUUUUAGGAAGUCCUAUUUGGUUCUAUUUUACUUUUAAAAAAAUUAAAUAUUUAUAAAAUAUAACAAAAUUUAAGAUGUACGAAGGUUAGACACUUAUAGACUACGACCAAUGACUAUCAAUGCACUAACUGAUUGAUAGAAGUCUAUCAAUAUUGAUCAUGGAUUGAAUUUGAAAUUUUUCUAUAUUUUGUAAAUAUUUUUGUUCAUUGGAUUAUAUUUGACUACAUUAUUUGUACAUCUAUUAUCAUUCUUUGAACCCAAUCGUUCUUUUAUUAAUAAAAGAUUUGGUAAAUUAAAAUUAGAAGUCAUACUCACACAUUCUUUGACAAAUAGGUAAAUUCAUUCACACCAUUAUUUAAACACAUGUUUCUUGCAUACCUUCACCUAAUAAAUUGGGAUAUUUUUAAAUAUUAAAAAAUAAAUUAAAGUAUUUACAAAUUAAAACAAAAUUUUAGAUAUGGAUAGACACAAAUAAGUAUAUAUGAUUUUGUACAUAUUUUCAAUAGUCUUCUUAUUAACAAUAAUCUUUCUAAUAAAUGCGAUUGUUUUGUUUUCUCUUCUCACAAACUUAAUUUUUUAUUGAAGAGCUAGCUCAAAAUCUACCACAAGAGAAUGAAAAUUCAAAGCUUCUUUUGUUCAUAAAAUAAACAUUGAGAUAUGAUGGAAUGGAGAAUUGAGAUUCUUUAUUAGAUUAAGAACUAUAAUUAUGAACAUAAAAAAAAUCAACAAAAACAAGAUUUUGUAUUUAAACACUUUUUUGAAAGUAAGAUAUAACUAUUCAAUAAUAAAUUAUUUGAAAAGGUAGGUAAAUAUAAUAACAAAAUGAUAAUUUUUAAAAAAAGUUUUUCUCCUAAAUUAGAGGUUAGUAAAUAGUUUAUUUUUAGUUUUUUCCUCAAAUAUAUAACAAUAUCAAACUCAAUUAUGGGAUAUAAUGUUAGACUAUAUAGAUGGUGAAUUUCUUUUUCAUUGAGUCCACCAUCAAUUUUUGCUUUUUUGGUUUUUGUUCUGUUCUUAAUUUUAAGAAAAUAUAUUUAACUAAUUACUCAUUUGAAAACAAAUAUUAAUAUAAUUGAAAAAACUAUUUGGAGUUUCCAUUCGAACAAAUAGUAUAUAGUUUCAAUUUUCUUUCGAGUUAGAACAUAGUUAAAUUAUACUUUUAUUUUUAUUUUUACUAGUUUAAAGUAUAUUUAUUUAAAAUUUAUAGUCGUCAAGAGACUUUUAAUCACGUGCGUCACACAUGAAUGAUAUAUGUUAAACUAUCAAUACAUAUGAAGUUGAACUAAUAAAAGUAGUUAUUACAAAAUAUAGAUAAUGAAAAGGGUCAUAUUUAAAAAUAACAAAAUAAAUUAAAAUAUUUACAAGCUAUAAGCAAAAUUUUGGAUUCUAUCGUUGAUAGUUUUCUACCAUCGUAUCAUGUCAAUAACUAUCAGUGAUAGAAUUUGUGAAUUUGCUAUAGAUUGUAAAUACUUUAUAAAAUCUACUAUUAUUAAAAAAUUUCUAAUGAAAAUAUAUCAACCAAUAAUAAUAAGUUCUUUAAUUGUUUGAUGAAGGAACAAAAAUAUAGGAAUAUAAGAGUGUGUUUGGAUUACCUUCUAAAGUAUUAUUUAAAAUUGAGAAAAAAAUCAUUUAAAAUGUUUAAGGGUUUGGUAACUUUUCAAGAUAGCAUUUAAAAAAAAUCAUUUUCAAAAUGUUAGCUUAAAUAUUUUGAAAAUGAUUUUUUAUGUCAAAUUUAAAGGGUUUGGUAGCUUUUGAAGAUGCAUAUUUUAAAAAAACGGGAUCGAAAAUUAAUUCAUUUUAAAGAAAACAAUGCGAACACCAAAUUUUGAGAAAAUAAAUUUUUAAACAAAAUGAUGUAUCUAAUGAAAUGUUUAAAUGUUAAAACACUUUUGAAAUAAAGUGGUUAGAAAAUGUAUUCUUCAAAUAUAUAUAUAUAUUUUUGUAGACAAUCCAAAUAUAAUCUAAAUUGAUAUGAAAAAUGUUGAUCAACUAUUACUUUUUCGGUCCAUGUUAUCAAGCAUUCAAAUUAGUCUUUUGUUUGAUUCGUUUUUUCUUUUCUUUUUUUUGUUCUUAUUCUCCAAUUUGGUUAGUUAUUUUGGUUUUUAUUUCUCUAUCUUUUGUGUGAACGUUUCUCCCUGUCCUUCAAUUUUGGGUUCCCUAAUUUUAAUUGAAUGUUGCACCUUUUUUCUUUGGUCUAUGCAUAAGACUUUUCUUUACGUCUUUUCUCUCAUUCUAAGGUCUUUUAUCAUGAAAGAAGAAAUAAACAACCAUAGAAUCAAGCUUGAGAAAAAUCAACUCCAAGAUCUACCCCGUUCCAUUACAGUAUGUUAAUGGUAUAUUAAUGGUGCACUAGUUACAUUUAUUGUAGGAAAAGAAUCGAUUUUAUUAUCUUAAGGAGAAACAAAAGUACGAAACACAGAGAUGUGUACAUGUACGUAUUUGAUUGUUGUUUGUCGUCAAUUCCAAAUUUAAAGUGUUGUAUCAUGGAAGCCAUUGUUUUGAAAAACAAAUUCAAUUGAUCUUGAAUGCAAAUUGUUUGUGUCAAUUUCUCACCAAGGUUAGACCAAAAAAAUUUAAGAUUUGGAACCAUUCAAUUCUCAUAUUUGAAAAAUUAUUACACAUCAGUCAUUUAUAUUCAAAACUAAGAUGAUAACAUUUAAAAGAAUUAAAAAGUUAAAGAAAUAAAAGUUUGAUCUUUUUAUGUACAAACUUGAGUAUAUAUGUCAUGUCCCACCCCAAUGCUGCAAUCAGAUGGAGGGCGUGUCACUUAGAUAUUCAUCGCAUACCUCUUGCGAGACAACGCGUUAAAUGUCUAGUAAGUGGAAUAACUCUUUUGUUCCGUCUCUUUGCAAAGAUCUUCCACUUUAGCCUGAGAGUCCAUCACCUCAUUUUAUAGGGGAAACAACUCAAGAAAUUAACACUACGAAAAAAUUAACUCUUUCCUUUAUUAACUUAAAUCUUACAAAAGUACAAAUUACAAAUUACACUUUGCUUUGCAUAAAAAUAAACCAGCUCUGGCCUUCUCACAUCAUUUUUCUUUCCAUCAAGGUGCAACCUUUCAUGCCACGAUGGAUGAGACUUUGUGGAAAUCUCUUGGCACUAGUACUCAACAUCCGCUUUAAUUACUGCCCAUUUUCCUUCUUUGUCUCUUCGAUUGCUUCCCCGAGGUAGGUGCUUAGAGGUGAGAAGCUUCUCUUUCUCUUCCUUACUUCAUUCACCCCAUAGGCUCCAGCUAGAAGACAAUCUUUAAGACUUCAUUUUCCUACCUCAACUUCUCAAAAUGCUUACGCCUCUCUUCCCUGUGUAGUUGGGAUUUGGACAUUAAAGAGCAACAACCUUACCAACCGACUCCUUGAACGCAUGACGAGAUGCCAUGUAAGACUACAAAUUUACUUUGUCUUUUGUCCUUAGCUUGGCUACACAGUUUUAGAACUAACCUUCGCAUGGCCUCAACACCUGACAACCCGAGGAGGGGAAACACUUAAAACAUAAGCCAAAGGGACUUAGUGAGCGAUGAGUUUUAAGAAAAUCUUUUGGGAAAUCACAAGGAAUCUAAAGAUUAAUAAACAGUAAGCCAUACAACAAUCACAAGGAAAUCACAAAGAGUCCACACAUAAGGUUCGUUACAGCGAACAUUUAAUGCACAUUUGAUAACCACCACAAAUCAAUAACCACACAACGAUUUACCAACCCAUACAACAAUCACAAUCACAAGCUCAUUUUGAGACUUGAAAAUCUUUCCUAGCUGACCUGGGAUUCAGUCUCACCAGUAUCACACGAGUUAAUUUUCCCAUAGCUAGUUGUCAGACCGCUUGACAAUAUGUUUACUUCCUCGCUUCAAACCCUUGGGUACAAAUACUUCUUGAAGUAUCUUGUCAAUGCCUCGCUUAGCGCAUUGCCUUUCUCGCUAGCUAUUCUUAUUGCAUUACUCAAUUUCAUGCAAUAUAUAGGACCUCUGGCUUACGCUUUUCUCUUUGUAUCCUUCCUUGUGAGAUGUCUCAAGGCUUAUCCGAAACAACUUUCUAACAAGGAUUUCCUCAAGAGGACGUCUUUUUCGAAUCAGGGCCUUACAACUUAAACUCUUGAUCAAAGGACAACAACAAGACAGCUCGUCUCGACUUGGAAAUUAUCCCCUCGCUAACCUAGGAUUUGCUCUCGCCAGUAUCACACGAGUUACCUGGGAUUCCAUCUAGUAUCAUGCAAUAAUCCAAGCCAUAACCGUACAACACAAUAUGACUGCUUACUCUUAUAGCACAUAUUAGCACAACUAAUAAGGUAUUUUGUGAUCAUCAACACAGAGAAAAGAAUACUCAACAUACAUCGUGUAUAAAACACCACUUUUCAUAACGAUGAUCAACCAAUGGUUUUAGAAAUGAUAUUAGAAAUCAAAUAACUAACCAACACCGCUUAUAAAUCUUUACCAUUUUUCAAAGAGUGCUCGUAGAAAACAUUUAGCCUUUCCCUUAUUUCUAGAAAAUAUUUAUGAAAUGAGUCUUAUUAGUCACAAAAAUAAGACUUAUAAAGCAUAUUUGGCCAUUUAGAGAAAGAUAAUAAGUAGAUACAGAAAUAGUACCUUGAUCUCUUGAGUGACUUUGUUCAUUAAAGAACAAUUUUAGACAUUGCCCAAGAUGGUACUGAUUACAUUCUUCAUAAAGAGGUUUAUUUUUGUUGCUUGCAACCGACCUCUGGUAAUUGUUUUUUGGGUUUUGGGACUGGAACAAGCUUCUUUCCUGUCUCCAUUCUUAAAAUUAUUUCUUUUUUAUAUUCCAAACCGAAGCUCUUUUAGGUUUCUUUUUCCUUCUGUUAUAGUUUAUCUUUGAAUUAGUUUGGUGAUCCAUACCACCAGACUUUCUUGAUGAUAAACUUGGUUCCACUCUUAAAGCAGUCUCAAUCAACUGUGAAAAAUUCUCCCAUUUUGAUGUUGUUGGCACUGGAGUAUGAAUUUCUUGUCUAAGUCCUUUCUCAAAUUUUUAGCGUCUAUUACUUUCUAAUGCCACGAUCUUAAGUCCAUGAAAUAAAAUACCCAACCACACACUUUUAGAGGUUCUUUGGCCUUCAUUUGUCGCCCAUAUAACCUCCAAACCAUCCUUUUGACACUUAACCAAUUUUUCCAAUCUUUCUCUUUUUCUCAAUUCUAAACUCAAAUUUCAAGUAUUUUCACCUUCUUUUGUCAUAAAUUUCAUUCUCUCUUGUCCUUGACUAAGCUUAACAAAUUCCAAAAGUUUAAGAAAUUUUGGAGUUUCACAAUUCUUACCCCCUUAAGAAAUUUUAUCCUUGAAAUUUUAAACACCAAGCAAUAUUCAUAAAAGAAUACUUUUAUUUACAUAGCAUAAAACUUUAACAUAAUAGUUCUUAACUUCUCAUAAUUCCCUUUUGUUUCAUAUUGUUGGGUCCUUCUCCUCCUGGGAUUGCCUUAGGUUGAUUUACGAAGUCUUUCAUGUCAAAAUUUGUACUCAGCAUUGAUCAGACAUCAUUUAUGACGUACAAAUUUGAUUCAAAUAUUGAUGUGUCAUCUACAUAUAAGCAUAUGAUAGUCCAUAAGCCAUUCCCAAACUUAUAGUAUAUGCACUUAUCACUCUCAUUUACUUUGAACCCUUUAGAGAUGAUUAUAUUAUCAAAAUUUUCAUGCUAUAUUUUCUUAGGAGCUUUGUUUAGACCAUUAUUGAGAGACUUAAUUAUCUAGCUUAUAGACUUUAGAUUCAUGAUCAUGAACUAUGAAACCUUCAAGUUGUUCCAUAUAUAUCUCUUCUUCUAAAUCACCAUUUAGGAAGACAGUCUUAACAUCCAUCUGAUGUGCUAAAAAAAUGUUUAAGGAAGCUAUAAAAAUCAACAGUCUAGUUGAGGUGAUUCUAGUCACUCGGGAGAAGGUGUAGAAAAAAGUCUAUGUUUUGACUUGUCUAAAACAUUUUGCUUCUAGUCUAGCCUUAUACUUAUCUCCUGAUCCAUCAUGUUUGAGUUUCUUCCUUAAAACUUAUUGUUUUGCAGCCAAGGGGUAGGUCAACUAAGUGCCAAAUCCUAUUUGAUUCAAGAGAAAUCUAUUUCAUCAUUUAUAGCUUUAUUCCAUAAGUUGACAUCUACUAAGGAUAAGACUUCUAUUAGAUCUUUAAGAUCUCUUCUACAUUAUACAUUUCGAAGUCUUCUCCAAAUUUUUUUGUGGUUCUCACUCUCUUACUACUUUUAGGUUCAUGGUCUACUUCCUUUUCUUGGGUUUGGAUCCUAACUGAAGGUAAACUACUAGAACAUGAGCCACUAGUUUGUCAAUUUAGGCCCCCACUAUUUUUAGAUUUAAAGGGAAAUCUAUAUUGAAAGAAGUUUGCAUCAUUUGAUUCUAUGGUUCUUAUUUUCUAAGUCAUGGAAUCUAUAGGCCUUACUAUUUUUAGCAUAUCCUAUGAAGACACACUCAUAGGCUCUACUGGCUAGUUUUCUUCUCUUAGGAUAAGAAAUUCUAACAUAGGUUAGGGAACCCCAAGUUAUGAGAUAAGACAUGUUUGGUGUUUUAUUCUUUAGGAUUUCGUAAGGUGAAGUUGUGUUGUUUAAUUAAGAAUCCUAUUAAGGAUCAGAAAAAUAAGUUAUGAUUAAUUAUACUGCCUAAUUUGACAAUUGUCUAUUUUAAGAUUUACACAAAUAUGAUUAUAAUCCAUUUUGAUAAAAGAUCCCACUCAUUAAACAUUUUUGUCUAACCUCUUAAAUGUUUUCUUUUAUUCCCUCUAGGUAGCGAAGGACCUCCGACGUUGAACUUGCUACCCUGAUUGCCUACCGUGCCUCCUUAAUCAUAUCAUUUUGGUAGUGGUCACUUCUCACAUAGUGUGUAGAAACUAGGCGAGCAAAGUUAAGUCGCUGUCUUGAGUUUGCAUUUCAUUUCUUUUGAAAGAAUUAUGUACUAAAAGUCAAAUGAACUCUUGUGAUUCGUUUGUCACUGAAGUUUCUUGUUUUUAUUCAAAUUCAAAUUUGAUAUUUUAAAUUUUGUGGUAUAAAAAGUUGUUUCGCUUACUAGACCUUCAAAGUUUAUCACGUGGUGUGGUACACAUUGAGGGUAGGCAGAAUGCCUCCCCUUAGUCGAAAAGAAUGACUUUGGAACGGGGCAUGAUAAUUACGCAUAAUAUGUCUUCCAAUGCCAGAUCAGACAACAAGCAAAGAGUAUCUUUACCAAUUCACACAGCAAGCAUAAAUCACACAACAUGAAUAGGACAUUCUAUUCACAAUUACACAACAUGAUUAAAACAUUUCAUACCAAAUCACACAACAAGGAAGAAGCAUCCCAUUCAAGAUCACACAACAUAAAUAGGGUAUUCUAUUCAAGAUCACGCGACAUGAAUAGAGCAUUAUAUUUCAGACCACACAGCAGGAAUAUAGCAUCUCAUCAUAGAUCACACAACUAGGAUUAGACAUCCCAUUCAAGAUCAUACAGCAUGAAUAAGGCAUUUUAUCGUACAGGGUACAAGGAUAAAAUUAUUCAACAAUAUGAAGUUCUCAGACCUCCUUUAAGCACAUAAUUUUUAGUGUACAGUAAAUCAUAUUAAUUGUAAAUGGUAUACAUUUCAAGAAUAGGAAAGCAUAAGAUAAUAUAAGUCAUGGUCUUAAUAUAAAAGAAUUUUAAAAACUUUUGAAACUUGGAAUUAUUUUGUAAAAGAAACCACUUAAAACACUAGAGACUCCACUCCCUCCUCCUUACUUUCAAAUUUCUCUUUGCAGUUUAACUCUCAGACUCCUUUUUUGAUGUAUUAUCCAAAUGGUAAUAUCUUAUGUCCCCUUUUCUUUCGGUCUUUAGUCCUAUUUAUAGUGACCAUUCACAUCCAUGGGUUAUUUUCAUAGUUUCCAUGUGUCACCUUCUCAUUUCACCUUGUUAUGUAGCCAACCCAAACUUGACACAUGUAAGGAGGGGUGACCACAAGCUUGAGAACGACAAUCAAGAGUGCAACUUGUAUUGUUCCCCUCUUUAACCUUCUGUUUCAUUGUAUGUUAGAUAGGAUAUGACCAUCUUUAUUUGUAUCACUAUCGUGAAUGACCAAGAUUGUAGUUCUUUUCUUAGGGUUUUUUACUUAGUUAUGGAUUGUAAUGCCCAGUCCCAAAAGUCACUCUAUGUGGCAAGUGGGAAUGUGACCGUUUAGAAAUCAUAUGCAAGUCUCUCCACGAGAUAACAUGUAGAAUGCCUAGUAAGCGGAAUAAACACAACCAACAAGUUAAAUGCGAAAUGAGAACUUCGAUUGAAAUUACAUAAGUUCAUUUAACACAAGUAUAUAUUCUUCCCAAACUUCAAAAGAAACUAUAUACAACUUGAGACAUUUUUUUACUCUUCUCACCUAGCUUCUACUUGCUAUGCGAGUUAGUAAUGGCUACUUCUAAAAUGAUUCAUUUUUUGUAUGGCAUUAUAGACGCACUACAAGAAUUUUUUGAUUUCUCGACAGCUAAAUCGUUGAGAAAAAAGGCGUCGAAAGAGAUGGUAUCUCUCGACACAAUAACUAAAGCGCCGAAAGAUUAGAGAACUUCAAACGCAUCGUUGAUGGCAUCGAAAAAUGGUGGGGAUUUCAUGAUGCACGUUUUGAUGCGCUGAAAAAUGGUCGGGAACUCUCGACGCGCAUUUGGUGGUGUCAAUAGUUCCCCACCAUUUCCAUAUGCAUUAAAAUGUGUGUCGAUAGUUAUCCUUUAAAAGUUUUUUCUCGUUGAAGAAGAAGAAUGGGUUUCGAAAAAGGUAAUGCGAAGGGGAGAAGAAAGGGUUUGAUGCCACCGCUCAUUCCACAUAUACUUUCUUCUUCACUAAUUAGUUUCUACAUUCUCAUAUGCUUCUUUCGUUGAUGUUAAAAUGUUAGAAAAUUUGUUUUAUCCUUCUCGUUUUAGGUUUUCAACUAUUAUUCUAUGAAUGCAAAAUUUUAAGGGCUUAGCGAAAUUAGAAUUUUUUUUUACAUUAGGAUUAAACUGAGGUUGAGAGAGCGAAGAACAACGUUGAUAAUUAUUGGAUUGUCGUGGAAUGUUCAUAGAUCCGUUCAGAUCUAUUCUUUUAGAUGGUGAGGAAGAACAUUUAGAAUGGUAAACUUUACUUUCUUUCGUCCAUUGUUUUGUAUUCUUCACUUUGGAGUUGACGAUUUGUAGUUCAUGACGCACAAUAUGAAGCGUUGGGAGAUGUCUAGGAUCCUUUGACGCUUCAUGUUGUGCGUGAAGAGAUCCUCUCUCGACUCAUUUUGCCUGACUUCGAUCCCAACGCGCAUUUUUGCGUCAAGAGAUCAUUUUCUGACGCUUUUUCAUAUAUCUCUUGACGCUUUUGUGCGUCAGGAGAUCUUCAUUUUCUUAUAGUGACGAUCAAGGCUGCAAGUUCAACGCUAGAUGUCCUUCGCUACGUAGGGAGGGGUAAAAUAAAACAUUUGAAAGAUUAGACAAAAAUGUCUAGUGAGUGGGGUCUUUUAUCAACGUUUUUAAUAAAUCAAACUUUACCUUAACACUUUAUAAAUCAUUUGGUCAAAUGAUAUGAUUCAUAUACUUUGUGUUUCAAUAAUAGAAUAUUGAGCUUAAAGCAAUUCAUUUCAAUACAUUAGGCAAUUAACACCUUUCAAAUUUCAUUAUCAAACAUUUACAAAUCAUAUGGAAAACCAUCUCCUUUUAAAUCAUGCAUCGGGUUCAUAUCGCGUAAAAACUCAUUCUACAUAAUUCAUCAUAUCAUCAUAUUGACAAAUCAUUCCACAUAUUAAUUACAUCUUUGUACCAUUUUAUCAGCUCAAGCGUUUAUCACACACUCUUUUACAAAGUUGUAGCUAUGCGGAGUAGUCUCAACACAUUUAGAAAAUUUUCAUCAAUUCCAUCACGCAUAACGUGUCUUUCGAUGUCAUAUCACAUAGCAAGCAAAGUGCAUCACAUAUCAGAUCACACAACAAGUAUAUGAGGCAUCCUAUUCAAGAUCACAUAGCAUGAAUAGGGCAUCUUAUCCCAUAUCAUAUAGCAAGUAUGAAUUAUUCUCAUCGUAUAGAGUACAUAAGAUGAUCUUACUUCAUUUCAUCAUUUCAUCAUUUCAAUUCAUGUUAAACCCAUUCAUUUUGGGUUUAGGGUUCAGAGAUUCCAUAGAAAUACAUUCAAAGAUUUAAACACCUUGGAAAUUCUUUUGUUUUCUAAAAACAUGUAUAGCAAGAACCAUUCACAAUCACAAUCAUCUAGUUUGCUCGUCGAGCUCCUUAGCCAAGAGUUUCUUUGUACUUCCUUACAAUUCCCUGCCAGAUUCAAGCUCGUGAGGAAUCUCUAAAAAUCUUGAAAAUUCUCUCAACUCUUUCUUAAUUAAGUAAACACAAGGAAAAAACAGCUUCAAAAUGGUCGAACUCCAUCCAUUUAUAAGCCUUUCUGGUGAGUCUUUCCAUGCAGGAAUGAUGACUUUUGUUUGAUGGUGAGAAUCAGAUAAUGCUAGAAUGUCAUGUUCACUGUUAUUCCUUUACCUUGAAUUUGGAUUGGAUGGCAAAGUCAAAUCAAUUUUCGGCUUUCUUACAUGAGAAUGACAUCACUACUUUUUGAUGAAAUAAGCUUAAAAUACAUAAUAGUUCCUUCCGUAGCCUUCAUCACAUAGACUACUCUUGUUGCGUGAAAUCAUAUCGCAUAAGGCAUAAUCCAAUCAGAAUUGUUACAAACUUGUCGAUUGUUUCCUUAAAUUCCUUGACUGAGGUUUGAAGGAUUGUUAAUUGACAUCUUGCUUGUCAUAGAGUGUGUUAAGUUAGAAGUAAUAUGCUAGACUAGUAAUCAAUCAUGCACAAAUGUGAUAGAAGGUUAAUGGAGACUAAUAAUGAAUGUUUGUAAUGUUGUACCAAAUUAAUUUCAACUAUUUCAGUUUUUAAUAUAUUUCUUAUCAUUUGGUACGAAGUGAAAAUCACUUGUAGAUCUUCAGAAAUACAUCACGAUAAAGAAGGAAGUUCAAAUACCUUCAAGAACAAAAUUUCCUCGAAAGAGAACUCUCUCAAAUUAAUUUGCACCCUCCCACACACUGAACAAGGGUAGAGCUUAGUUAUUUAGAGGCAACACAAUUAAUUCUUCAAGAUUUUUUUAUUUAAAAGAUUCAUAUUAAAGAAGAAAAUCUUUUAACAUAAAUAACUAUGUAUCCCUUAUUUAAAUAAGGAACGUUCAUUAAAUAAUAAUAAAAAGAAUCCUAUUAAUUCUUUUUUACAAAAAUACCCAACAAUUUAUUUUUGUCUUUUUUCUUCACUUCUAACUUACACUUCGUGGGUAAAGAAAAACUUCAAUUUUAUUAAAUGGACUUUUGUAAAAGUAGCAAAAAAAAAAAAAAAAAAAAAUUAUGACAAUAUACCUUAUGUCACAACAUUUUGUAAAUUUGUAAAAAUAGCAAAUUUAAAAAUGAUGACUGUCUGAUAAUCGUAUAAUUACUCUCUAAUAUCUCUCUGAUAGUUCUAUGAUUACUGUCUGAUGGUUGUGUGAUAUCACUAAUUUUGUUAUAUUCGCAAUAUGCAAAAUAUUGGUGUCAUAAGCUGUUUUUUUCUAAAUGUUUUUGUCAUUUGAUGCAAUUUUUCUUUAUUAAAUUAUUCUAAUAUCUCUUGUUCACACUACUAGAAAUUUGAGUUUUAAUGACGCAAAACUUGCAUUGUAAAGAGUUUCAACGAUACAAUUUUUGCAUCAUUGAAGCCCCUGUCAAGAAAUGAUAUUUACAACACUUCAAAAAACGUGUCAUUUAAUAUGCUUAGAUGACAUCAAAAUUGUGUCAUUAAUACUUUUACUUUGAUAAAAUAAAUAUGUCACCGUUAUCUAUAACUCGACACCAAUAUAUGUUAUCAAUACUCUUAAAUUGACGCUUUACAUGUAUCACCGUUAUCUAUACCUUGACAGCAAUAUAUUGAUCGAUAAUAGUUUUUGUUAGGAUAAAUUAAAUAGAUUACAAACAAUUUUUAUAUCAUAAAACCUAAACUAAAAUUGCUACAGAAUGAAAUUACCUACAUAUGUUAUUUAAAUAAUUUAAAAAGAAAACACUUUUAGCGAGAAAACAACACAAACAUGUCGCAAAAGAUGAUUAUUAUAGAUACAAAGGUUCGUUAGAGAUGUUUGGACAAUGCCAUGCGCAGUUUAAAGUUGGAGACACAACUAUUUGUAUAUAGAUGGUUACACAUCGAAUCAAUGCAAUCGUUACAAGUAUGGUGCGAUUCAUGUAAUAGAAUUUACAAAUUUAAUUGCUGGUUGAUAUAUGUAGUAAAUUGUUACGGUUACUACACUUCACAAAGUAUAUUAUAUUGUUAAUAUAUACAUGAAAGUUAUAAGGUUUUAUGUCAAAAGUGAGUAUUAUAUGUAUAUCAAUGAGAUACCAUUAAACGGGUGCAGGCUGCAUGUAUUGUACACUGAAACAGAUCAUUUUCCAAUUUCACAAUAUUAUUUGAUGUUCUUAGAGAGUAAUUUAAUUGUAUCAUAUAUAUUUAUACAAAUGUAAACAACUAAUUAUAAAUACUUAUAGAUCCACUGCAGUACAAGCAAUUUCGAUAUACUAAAUUUCUGACUAAUUAAAACAUGGAUAAAAUAAAUUAGCACGAUUCACUAUGUAAAAAAAAAAAAUGAAUUGCUAAUGUCGAUACUAAACCUUUACAAAGAAGAAAAUAAGAAACGAUACUAUAAAUUAUAAAAUUCAUAGACAAUUUAUCGCAUGUGGAUCAUUGCUAGGAAAAGUUGUCAUUUCGUCUCCUAGCUCUUAGUAAAUUUUAGGUCACUAAUUAUUAUACAUCAAAUAGCUAUGAUUCAAUUUUUUUAAAAAAAAAUUUUGCAUGUAUUUACUUAAAUUUAAAAGAUUGGGUAUAGAGAGAAUAACUUUUCUACACAAACCAGAAGGCUAUUUUUAAAUAAUGACAUUGUAGAAGUGUAGGGUUAAUUAUUAGCUAGAUGAUAUGAUUUGAAAGGCAUCUACAAAUAUAUGGUUGAUGUUGAUCAUCUAAAGGAAUUUAGAUGCAAAAAUUGAUACCCCAAUUCCUAUAGUUGAUUUGAUUGUGCUCUUAUCAAUUCAAUAGAUAGCUAAGAACAAUCCCAACAAGUUGAUGAAAUGGACAAACAUAUCAAAAGAAAAUAAAAGGAAAAAAGAUAAGAAAUAUCACUCACUAGUCAAAAAGUUCUAAUAAAAAGAAUAGUUAAACACAUGCUUGCAUGUCCAGAAAUUUUGUUGAUAGAAAGCUUUAUAAAUAAAAAAUAAUCUAAAAAAAAUUGUAAAGAAUGGAGCUUGAAUUGAAUGUGAAAUAAUUUUACCACUAAGAUAGAUUUUAAUAUUAGUAUUAUAUAACGAGCGCUAAAAAUUCGUGCACCUAUACUAAAUCCGUCGAAAUAUAUUUUUUAUUACUUGAUUAUUAGCUUUAGCACUCGUAAAAAUAUUUCUAAAUUGACAAUAUGUUUAUAUUAAAAUUAAGAAUUUAUUUGAAAUAAAAUGAUUGUAAAAAGUAAAAUAGAUGAAAAUAUUUACAAAAUAUAACAAAAUUUCAAAUUAUAUCUCUAUCAAUGUCUAUCUUGGUUGAAUAUAAAAUUUUGCUAUAUAUAAAUUGUAACUAUUUGAAAUGGUUAAUUUCCAUAUAUAUAACAAAACUAAAAAAUAUUUAUGGCGUGUGUAACAAAAACAUAAAAGCACAUAAAGCCACAUCAUUGUAUUUUUAUAAAUUUCAUAUUUACCCUUGAAUAUUGCAGGACGAUUCUUCAAUUCUUUUUCGUCUUAUUCUUUUGUGAUUUAUUCAUCUCUUCUUCUAGAUUUUCUUACUUCAACAUUUAGAGUAUAAGACCCAAUCGUUUCAAUCUUCUAUUUCAUCUUCGACAAGUUGCUUUGAAGCUAUUUCACAUUUGUUUCAAUAUUAUUUUCAUUUUUCUCAUAUUCAAGAAUAACAAGAUCGAUCGAUCGUUUAAAUAUUAUUUUACAUGAUUAACAUGAUUAUUAAUUUGAAGUUUUUCACGAUCAUUUACAUUGGGCUACGCGAUCGCUUACCAUAACCAACACAAUCGCUUACUAUGGUCAACAUAAUCGUUUGUCAUGGUCAACACGAUUAUUAGAUUAUUUGAAAUUUUUAGUGAUCAUUUACAUUCGCCUACACGAUUGGUUAUCAUAACCACCACAUCGCUUACCAUAAUCAACACUGUUGUUUACCAUGAUCAACACGAUUGUUGACCAUGGUCAACACGAUCUUUAAAAGUAUAUUAUUAAACUACAAGAUUUUUUAUCCUUGUAAUAUCUCUAAAAUGAUCGUGUAGUUAUAGUAAACGAUCAGGUAUCACAAUCCAAACCAUCAUUUAGACUGUAGUACGCUAAGGGUGUAAGAAUAACCUGACAACUCGAAUAACCUAGACUACCCAACCCAUAUUAUAUGGGUUGGAUUGAGUUGAGUUAAAAUAUUGGGUGGGUUGGGUUAAAAAGUUUGAAUUUUUAUGGGUUGAGUUGGGUCUCGGGUUGGAGGGUCGAAAAAUUUGAUUCAACCUAAUCCAACCCAAAUUAAUAAUAUAUACAUAUAUUAUUUAUCUAAUAAAACUUAAAGAAUAUUAGGCUUUCUCCCUCACAUUCGCAGUUCUCUCCCUCGCGCACCGCAGCCACAUCUCCUUCGUCUUCUCUUCUUACAUCUCCUUCACGCUUUACCUUCUCAUCUUGUCUUCUCUUCUCACAUUUCCUUCACGCUUUACCUUCACAUCUUCUCUUCUCUUCUCACAUAUCUCCCACGUGCCACAGCCACAUUCAUGCUUCACCUUAUCUUCUCACAUCUUCUCAUCUCCUCUGUCUCCUUCGAUCUCAGAUCUCAAUUCGUCAUAUCCUAGAUCUCAGUCUCUUCCGUCUUUGACAUCUCCUCCGAAAACCAUUAGAAAUUAGAAGUGAAAAAUAAUAAUAAUACAACUCAACAACCCAACCCAUAUUUUAGGGGUUGAGUUGGGUUGAAAACUAAAUUCGGAAUAUUUGGGUUGCCAACUCAAAUAACAUGAAAAUAUGGAUUUGGUUGAGAAUGUCUCCCAACCUAACCCAACCUGAUUAUACCCCGAUAGUACCCCGAUAGUACACGAUCGUUUAGAAGAAGAUUACAUGUGUACUGUGUGACCAAUUAACCGCAUGUUGACUGAGAUAUUUUUGGUAUUUUACAUUAUGGAUCUAUGGACUUUUUUCUUUUUAAAAUUUUUUCUUGUUUUAUUAGUUUGUUAUAUUUUUUUAAAAAAACUCAUAUGAAAAUAUAUUUUAAAUGUUUAAAAAUAAUUAGUUCUAAAAUUUGACUGGAAAUUUAAGAAUGAAAAAAAAUCCUUUUAAAAUGGCUUUAAAACAUUAGAGUUAUUUUAUUUUCCAUAAAAGUACCAAACAAUUUGCUAAAAAUGUCGUCCAAGAAAUGCUUUAACUAGGAUCAUGGUUUGGUUUGCCCUUUCAAAAGAAGUUAUUUUUAAAUUUAUCAAAAUGAACCUAAAUAUUAAGGACGUACAAAAUGUCUCCUUCCAUUAAUGAUAGAGAUUGAUAGACAUUGAUACACUAUUAUCAUCUAUUAUUCAUAAACACUAAUAAAUACUAAUAGAUGUUUACUAUUAAUAGAUGACUAUCAUAUUUUGUUACUUUUGAAAAUAUUUUCAAUUGUUUGACCACUUACAAUUAUUUUUAUUUUUAUUUUUUAUAUUUUUUACCUAAAAUAUAAGUAAAUUACUAUAAUAUGUACCAUAAAAAAACCUAACAAAACAACAUGUUUGGAUUAAUUUAGAAAAAGGAUGCUUUUCAAAAAGCCUUUGCACUUAAAUACUUCUGAUAAAAGUUGUUUUGGCAACUUUUUUUUCUGAAAAAAAUAUUUUUUAUUACAAGUUUGUUUGCUUUGUUAUAUAGUAAAGGAAAAUUGUCAAAAAUAGUAAAAAUUUGACAAAAUAUUUACAACAUAUAACAAAAUAUUAUGAUUCUAUCAAUAAUAGACAUUGAUAGACAUUGAUAUGCUUCUAUUAGUAGCAUUGAUAAACAAUGAUAAAAGUCUAUUAGUAUAGAAUCCAAAAUUUUGUUAUAGCUUGUAAAUAUUUUAAUUUAUUUUACCAUUUUAAAAAAAUACCUUUAUAUUAAAUUUGUUUUCAUUAGUGUCAAAUUAUAGUUAUAAAAUACUAUACAAACUAAUAAUUGAAAAGUUAAAAGUUGUUAGGGGUUGGUGGAUUUAGUUACAGUAGGUGGUCGUUGGCAAUGAUGUUGAGAGCUAGGUGGUCGUUGGAGUUGGUUGUAUGUGACCGUCAAUGUUGGUUGGAGUUGAGGGUCGCAGGUGUUAGUGGCGAGGUCAGCGGUAACUAGGGAAACAUAUUGUGUAGAUGAUUUUGAUAAUUUUAAGAAUUAUACACGUUAGGAAGAGACUAACCCAUUAAACACUCAAUUUUGAAAUCUUUUUUCUAAAUCAACUUUUUUAAAAUAAAAAAAAAAACUUAUUAACAGAAUUAAGUGUUUGAACAAAAUAUGCUCUAAAUCUCUCCCAAUAGAUUUAUUUUGUCCAAAGACUAAUUCUCAAACAAGAAAAAAAUCUCAAGAUGUUGCACAAAGAGAGAUAUAACCAAAACUUCAUUUUUGACCAAGUUGUAGACCGGUGGAGAUGGGUCCUCAAAAUACAAAUUGGCAUAAUGUACAUAUCCAUUUUUGCAAAUUGAUGAACAACAUUAUUCGUUGAAAUGACCAAAAAUUAAAUCUUAAUUAGAUCAACUAUCAAAGUUUGCUUUCUAUUCUAACAUUCAUUCUAUCCAUAACACGUCUUUUAAUAACUUUUCUCAUUGUACAUUCAAUUUUAUAUAUUAUACCCCAAUUACAAAUUUAUUCCAUUUUUUUUAUAGGGGAUAGGAAAGAAGUGAAUAUUUUCCUCAUCACUAAAUGAUAUAUAUGAACUACUCUUAUCUUAUCACUCUCAAUUGAUUUUGAAAUAAAACUACAUCUUUACGUUGGUAUCAUAACCCAUAUUAAGUUUAAAAAAUAAGUUUUCCAUAAAAUAACGAUGAAAUCAAAGAAAGAUACGACAUUGGAGAACAUAUGAAGAAUGUCAUAUUUUAUUAGAAAGAUAAAAUACAUCAUCUCUAUAACAUGUGUAGAGUUAUAUUUUUCACCCAUAAUCAUUACAUGGGUAUUGUGUAUAUACUUGAUAUCUUCCUUCACAAUCUAUAUGUGUUUGCAACCAUGUGAUGGUUAUUACAUUACAAGUGUUUGAAUUAGUAUUAUAGUAUUUUUUUUUUUUUACUUUUAUGUUAAAACCCUACCUUGUCUCUAGUUGUGUCUCUCUUUUAAAUUAUCAUAAUAAUGAAAACAAAAUAAGACGACUCAUUCUCAAAGUAUUCAUCAAUAUAGUAUAGUGAUAUGUGGAUCAACAAACAUCACAAAAAUUGUCUUUAAAAGUUUAUUUAAUAGAAAUAAUUUUGUGGAAUUAAUUGAUUCACACGUAAUAAUUAAAGUUAAAUGGUUAAAAGAAAAAGGGAAAAAAGAAUAUCAAUUUGGCACAUGUUUAACCAAUGCUCUAUAAAGAGAGAAGAGAUUGAAGUGUGUGGUGUUUUAUGGGGAUGAUAACAGUGUGAGAUAAUGGAAAGGGCUUUGUAGGGUAUGUUUUAUCUGUUGAUGUCCGAAAAGCUCCCAUGAAAGGGACUCCCAACUUGUAGUUGUUGGCCCUAGUUCACCACUUGUAUCCCUAAAAACCACAUUUUUUUUAUUUUGUAAUAAGAAGAAAAUAUUUUCUUAAUAAAUAAAUAAAAAGCAAUUACCUAAACCUAAGGCAACUAGUUAAGACAUACAUAUAUCCCUCUAGGAACUCUAGGAACGGUUUGUUUUUUAAAAUGUAGAUAAUCGAAAUUUUAGAUGUUCAAAACUAUAGAUAUAUGAAAUCAUAGAUGUUCAGAACAUGGCUAAGCAUGCUGGUUAGAAAAAUUAGGAUUAGAAUUACAUAGUAAAGAAACUUACGUUCAACAUUCUCUCCUAAUUUUACAAGACUUCAAGUAUUUUCUAUUCUCAAACUGAUUCGAGAUGAAGUUUUGUGGAAACUUAAUUGGAUAUUUAUAAAAAGUACAGACAAUUUUUCUCCCUUUUGAGAGAUGAUAUAGAAAGUUUGAGUUGUUUGCUUUUUCAUAACCACUCUAUCUCCCUCUUGCAUGCUUACUUCCCUUUUCUUCAUCAAGAGAAGAGAUCAUGACAUUUUUUUAAUUACUCCAUUGGAGUUAUUAAUUUAACGUGAAUUAAAUGAAUAUUAAAAUAAUUAAUUAAUUAAAUCCUAUUUAAUUAAUAUUUUAUUUAAAUCAGGAAUGAAUGAAUGUGUCUUAUGUAACUUAUAGUCUUAAUUUAAUCAAAAUAUGAAUCAUAUUUAUAUAUAAAUUUUUCUCGUAAUUUAUAGUUUUAAUAUACACUAUGUAUGCAUUGAAUUUUAACCUAUCGUUUUAAUAUGAAUCUCAUUCACAUUAAAUUAAUAUUCAAACUUAUUUAAAUAUUUUACUAUCUUGUAAACUAAUUUGGAAUCAAUCUAAAAUUAAAUUUAUAUAAUAAAAUUUAAUUAAAAUAUAAACUUUACAUUAUAAUGUUUCACCAUACAUAUUAUAUUAUUUCCCUAAGUAAAUUCGAACAUUUUAAAUUACAUCUAAUAUGUAUUAACUUCAUUACCCUUUACAAGCUAGGAGGAGGAUCCAUUGGGUGUUGAACCUACAGAUCAAAAGCUACAAUAAUAUGAGAUUAAUUUUGUAAAGCCCCAAGCCUAGGAUUUGGAAUUCGGAUCUCCGACAUUCCCCUACGACCUGGUAGCAUCAUCCUUACUAUAUCUUUAAAGGCUUAUUAUAGUGAAAGUUCUCCCCACAAACCAACAUAAGUUCUUUUAGCAUGCUUUGUUCUAACUCACAUGCCUCUUAGGAAUAUUUUCAAGAGGUCACCUAACAUAAAAUUGCUGCAAACUAAGCACACUUAAAACGAAGAACUUUGGAGUUCUUAUGAUCAAACUACUGAAAAGGAAGGUGCACCUUUUUUAAAAGUUUUUUUUAACAUUACUUUCAUGUCUUCAGGGUAGAAUUUGGAAUUUGGAUCCCCGACAUUUCCCUACGACCUGGCAACGUCAUCCUUACUAUCUCUAAAGACUUAUUAGAGUGAUAGUUCUCCCCACAAACCAACACGAGUUCUUUCAGGAUGUUUUGUCCUCACUUACAUGCAUUUUAGGAAUAUUUUUGGGAGAUCACCCGACAUAGAAUUGUUUCAAGCUAAGCACGCUUAACUUUGGAGUUCCUAUGAUCAAGCCACUAAAAAGGAAAGUAUAUCUUAUCGGUAUAGUUAUUAACUUUGAAUUCUUUUUAAGUCUUUCUUAACAUUAUUUUCAUGUCCUCAUGAUCCCUCUUAUUCAGAUGUGAUACCGGUUCAUUCAUGUCUUCUUCGUAAUCUUGGACAUUACAAAUUGACUAAACUUGUAUACCACAUUAAUCAAUAUCUGUAAGUUGUGUGUACACUCCACUACCUAUUUUAGUUCUCGAGAAAUUUGGUUUCCUCCCCCCUCCCAUUUGUUGCCUAAUAGAAGAAUACCAACCAGUUCUAGAGACCAAUCCCACGAGGAAAUUAGAAAUAUUAAACUUUUUAGUUAUAUUGGUUUUGAGUAUCAGUAAAUAUUAAAUUUUUACUUUGAUAAAUAUUUACAACUAGUUUUUGUUAAGAGUUUGUAAAGAUAUCCCAACGACACAAUAAUGUUUCAUUUAUGAUCUCAAUAAGGAUAGGUAUAUUUAUAAUAUCAUAAGUUAUUAAAUAAUCAUAAACAAUCGUGGUUAUUAUGAAUUAUUAGUUUAGUGGAAGUAAUUAAACUAAUGUUCCUAGUAUGAUAUGUUUUUGGCAUAAUAAUGAAAACUUGUAUGAAUAGUUCUUUUAACAAUGAAAUGUAAUUAUGAGAACAAUGAUAACACAAUAAAUGUGUUAUUUUAUCUAAUUAAAAUAUGCUAUCCUUUCGAGAUUUUCAUGAAUUUAAUCGACGUUUUAUAGAAUUUGAACACAAAUAGACAAAUAGGUAGAUAGAGUUGUUUUCCUUCUUUCAAAGCUUGAGAAGCUAAAACAGUAAAAAAAAAUCAAUCACUAUGUGUGAAAUUAAAAGUAAAGAUGCAGUAAAAAAGUUCAAGGAUAUGACAUCUCAACGUCACGGAGUUAUUAAGAUGCUCCCUACAACAGUUGUAAAAGUGAAAUGGUUGCGUCAAGAAAGGUUCAAAAAUUUGAAAACACCUUUAACUAUACUUAACUCUAUUAGCAUUGAGAGAUUGUCCACGUCUCUAUAUUUCAUAUUGAUCACUGCAUAUAAGUUUCUCACCAAAUUGUAAGUACUAUUUAUGAAGUUCUAUCCAACUACGAAAAUGAGGUUCUUGCUUUACAAUAAAAAAAAUAGAAAUUAGAAAAAUAGAAGUUAGGAAUUUAAGAGAGAUUAUCGGUUGGUCCAGUUUAGGUGGCUCUAAAUGAAAAUUGGAUCAAACUAAAAAUCUUAGAUUUAAGCAUAUCUCAUUUACAAGCUUACGUCUGUCAGCCAUGCAAGUUGACAGUUCAGUUGUUGUAAUCUUUUAUUUACAUUGAAUAUGUUCGGGUAAUCACGUUAUUUAAACACAAAAUCACCCUAGUGAUCACUAUACUUAGGAACUACCACCCUACUCUAGUGGUUUUUGUAAGUUGGCCUCAAAAUUACAACACAAGUUUAUUAUUUAGAAAGAAAAAUCUAACUUCAACUUAUAACAUCCCCACAUCCCCCUAGGGCUAUGAUCCUAAAGAAUGGAAAGGCCUAACUUCAACCUAAAGUCUAAGUUCAGUGGGCCUGUCUCACUGUUUGGGCCUACAUUGAAUUGGCCCAACUCAAUACCCCCGUGCUCCAUGCUUUGGUCUUGGCUCCUUGCAUUAUGAAACAAUUAAAAUGAACGAACCUAUUUAAAACACAGGGUCUUGUAAUUGAUUCAAAUUUCUUAAAACUUUUUAGAAAUAUUUUAAAUUGACUAAUAUUUUAUAUAGAUAUAAUGUGUAAAUGACCAAUUUAUCAAUCUUUAUUAUUAUUAAUAUAUUUAUAAAAUUGAAAAAUGUAAAGUGAAAGUGAAUCAUUAUUAAUAUUUGUAUUUAUUAGAUAUAUUAUGCAAAUAUGGUAAAUGAUUAAUUGUAUUAUGGUAAUAUUAUAAUAAAAAUUGUCCCUUAAUUACUUUUGUUUUGGUGAUUUUGUUACAAAAUUCUUCUCUCUCAAUUUCAAACCUCUCUCUUCAUUUAUUCUUUCUUUCGUUUUGCAUUGUUUUUCAAAUAUUUCACAUAAUUAUAAUAUAUAUAUUAAAUAAUUCGGUGUAUAUUUUAUGAAUGAAAUAUUUUUAUAUCAAUUUAUUUAUGUAUUUUAUUUAAAUAUUCAUAUCUUACGUAAUAAAUAAUAUGUUAUGUUUAAAACAAUUGUAAUUAUGUAUGAAAGUUGUAUAUGUUUAUAGAAACAUUAAUAAGAAAAAAAUUAUGAUAAGUCUAUGCAAUAUAUGCCACUAAAACAUUAGUUAUUCUCUGGUAUAUGUAAUGUUGAGGAAAACUGAAUAUGUUUGCGAUGUAGGAAUUUUGAUAGAUGAAUUGAAGAUCCAAAAAAUUGUAUGAAGAACUGGUUGGAUGUUAAAUUGGUUUAGGGUUUAGGGUUUAAAAAAUUUAUCAAUUUAUAUUUAAUGACGAGAUCUAAGACUUUUUGGCAUUUAUUUUAUUCAACUAUAUAUAAAGACCUUUCUUCAACCAUUUUCUUACAAACAUUUGAAUUUCUCUCUAUUUAGGUUGUUUUUCUUUUUUUUACUCGUCAUACGUGUUUUUCCUUUUCUAGUAAGAGUAUAUGUUUUUUUUCCUUAUAAUAAUUUAUAGGGGUCUUUUCAAAAAUAUAACAAAAUAUUAAAAUAUUUACCCUCUAUAGAACAAUUUCAAAAACGAAAAAAGCUCACACGUCCACCAUGGAAAAUACUAGAAAUGUCUCAUGAUUAAUUGACAUCUAGCGUGCGUAAUAUAUUUGGGAAACGAUCAUUUGGAUUUGAUCGUUCUAGAUUUGAUCGUUUUGAUUUGGCCAAAUCUAAACAAUUUUUUCAAGAUUAUUUGGUACACGAUCGUUUAGAUUUGACUAUUUUUUUAUACACAAUCGCUUUUAUUUGGUAAACGAUUAUUUAUAUUUGGUACAUCAUCAUUUAUAUUUGGUACACAAUCGUUUAGAUUUGAUCGUUUAAAUUUGGGUAACCAAAUCUCAACGAUUGUUUUCAAUAUUUUUUUGUACACGAUUGUUUAGAUUUUGUAUAAGAUCGUUUAUAUUUGGUACACAUUCGAUUAGAUUUAAUCAUUUAAAUUUAGAUUUUUUAAAGAUUAUUUGGUACACGAUCAUUUGGCUUUUUUUUUUUUUUUUUUUUUUUUUUUUUUGCAUACGAUCGUUUAGAUUUGACUUUUUUUUUUAUCAAGAUCCUUUAUAUUUUUGGUUGACGAUCUUGAACAACCAACCGUUUGAAAAAAAAUAAAAGUAGAUCUUUUAUAUUUGAUACACGAUCGUGAACCAAAUAACAAUUUGAAAAAAACUAAUAAUAACAAAAGAAGAAAGAAAAAUGACAGAAGAAGAGAAGAAAGACGAUGAACAGAAAAAAAAAUUGCAGAAGAUGAAGAGAAGAAAGACGAUAAAAAGGAAGGAAAAAUCUGAAAUAUUUUAAAAGAAUGGCCAGCAUAAUGGGAUUUUUUCAUUUUGUUACAUAGGCCGUAAAUAUUUUGACAAUUUGUUAUAUUUUUUAAAAGUAACCAAAUUUCUAUUAUAAUAUUGAUUAAUCUAACCCUCAUCAUUCAUCUUUAGCUUUACUUUUAUGUUGCAAUAUAUUUUUUGUGUUGCAAUAUGUUAAUACUUGAUAAUUUAAGUGAAAAACUCGAAGAUAUACACGUAAGAGAGUGUAGAAAAAUGAUCUAAUGUCAUUUGUGACUUCAAGUCCAAAAAUGUCACCCCCUCCCGAGGUCAGCCCACGCAACCCGAGGAAGGAGUGAUCGUCGAGGCUCCCAUGUUAGACUUAUUUGAAAUAUAAUAUUAUAAAUGUGGUCCAUAUGCAAUAUAUGCUAUUUUAUCUCUUUCAGGCCUAUUAUUUUAUUAGACUCAUUAGGUAAAAAGAUAAUGUUUUAAUUAAACAUCGUGAUGGAUGAUGUCUAUAAAUAGAAUCUUAGGGAUUACGAUUGACUACCUCAUUAAUUAAGUAGUUCAUUUUUUCCAUCAAGAAAUCUAAUUAAGAUCUAAAGGAAGACAAGUGAGAGAAACAUCAUUCCUCAAGAAGAUUAUUCAUGGAUCAAGGUAUGUUAUUCUUUAUCUAAAUUUAAUUUGUAAAAUCAUCUAGUUCAAAGAUCUUGACACUUAUUGUUAGAUACAAUGUUAGAGUUUUAUUGUAUAAUCAUGAAACUAAAGUUUACAUGUGGUAUCAGAACCUUGAUUGAGAACUUGUGAUUUUACAAGAACGCUUUAAUCAUUUGUUUUUAAUGUUUUUGGUGCAUGUUUUCAUCAAUUUGAAUUACAUUAUUUAAUUAUCAAUUAUCAUUUGAAUUAAAGAAUCUUGAAUCACUACAAGAAAAACUGUCUAUUAUGACAGUUGUGUAUAUCACAAAAUGGGGGAGAAAAAAAAACGGUCACAAAAUGUAAAAUUUCACGUUUCUGACGGAAAAAGACGAAAUUUUUCGGAUAACACAUUCUGCAAUAGUUAUUUGAUGUCAUAGAAAAAACAUAAAAUAAUAUUUUAUUUUUUAUUAAAAAAAUAAUAAAUAAAGAUUAGAAAUUUAGAAAAUAUUUCCCCAAAUCAUUAACCCAUAUUAUUUUCCCCAAUCCAAUCCAAUCGUCUUUCAUCUCCAAUCCGACCGUCUUUCGGCCUCGUCACCAUCCGCCCCUACUCCUGCCGUCUGUUCACUCUGGCGUGGCCGUCUAUUCGCUCUGACGUGCCCAUCUGUUCACUCCGGCACUGCCAUUAACGAAUGACGAAACCCCCGCAAUCCCUCCACAAUCUCCGAACCUUUUCAAUUUGUUCCCGUCUUCUCCGACGCUACCAUUUGUGCCUGCCAUCAACUCCUUUGCCGGUAAGCUUCUAUUCUUUUUCUCUUUGUCUCUCUCUUUCUGAAUAUUGUGUAAUUACCUUUUAUAACAUCGACAACUUCAAUAUUAAGGGAGUCUCAUAUAGCUAAAAAGCCUCCAGCAGAUCCCGUGUUUAGUAUUUUCAUUCCUUUCAUUCCAUGUUGAGCUUAUUAUUAGUAAUGGCAUGCAUAACACAAAUUCUAUUCUUUACAAGCUAAUUGUGUAGUUGUUUGUUGAAUGAAUUUCUUUCUAUCACUAUUAUCCUUUUCCACAACAUGUUCAACAACAGAAACCUCAUCGAAUAAGAGGUUCAUUAGCAGUUGCAUAAGAGGUUCUUUCACGAGUUUAUGAGUCUGCUUGAACAACCCAAAUUUUUUUUAUGAAUUUUGAAUACAUUUAUAAACACUCCAACAAUCCAAUACCUUUAUACAUGCAUUUCAACUACCCCUCUUCUUCAUACCCAAGUCAGGAGAAGAAAAAAACGCUUUACAUAGCUCUCUUUGUCCUCUUCUUCAACUUUUUUUUUUUUUUUUUUUUUUUUUUUUUUUUUUUUUUUUUGUAAAUGGGGUUAAAGUAGAUUCUUAAUUCUAUAUUUACUUAAGUUAUGGGUCUCACGGAGAAGCAACAACAGAAUCAGAAGGAGACAAAAAGAGAAGGAAUCAAGAAUGUGGAGCAAGUGAAGGAGGGGCGAGUUUUUUUUUUUUUUUUAUUGUGGAGGUUUGAAUUUAUAGACUUAAUUUUCAACAACAAAAUGGUCAUGAAACAAGCGUAAGUUUAAUUUGAAUUUGAGGGGAGACAAUAUUUGCUUCCUACCUUUAGGCAUUUAUCUUAUUGUAUGUUAGUCAUUUUCUGCAGUGUGAGAUCUCUUGUUGCUUUGAAUCUUAACAACUAUGGUAGUGGCAGGCAUCAGUGGAGAAAUCUUACACCAGAGUACAUGGAAAAGGUUUAUAGUUCCAUUUUUUCCCUUUACAGAGCACACAAUAAUUUUUUUUGUUUAUUUUUCAUCAAAUUCUACUUUCUGGCUCAAUUCCACUUGGACUCUAAACAAGAGAUAAUUUUUGCUUAGGGCUUGGCCCUUUUUAUUGCGACUCUCAAGGAAUGGGAGAUAACCUGGAAUUUUAUUUUGGAAUCAUAUUCUUUUUUUAGACUGUUGCCUAUGUGGUCUUGGAAGAUUUUUAUCACAUAAGACCACAAUCUCUAUUACAAACCAAACUAAACUCUAAAGACCUUCAACAAAAGUUGGAAAUCAAAGUGUAGCAAACUACCAUCUCUAGAGAAUGCAAUGUGAUCUAAUUCCUCAAAUGCUUCCCUGCUACGAAUGCACGGGUGCAGCUCGAACACAAAGAAAGAUUAUCCCUGUAUAUAAUCUUUUUUAUAUGAAGCAUCUUUGAUAUAAUCUAUAAUAUUAACUCCCUAAUGCAAGUUCUUUGCCUUCUAAUUAUGCCACUCUAGAAACUUGACAUUCUUAGAAGUUUCUUCCUUUACGGCGAGGUGAAGUUGAAAGUAAUGAUAUUGAUGGUGUUGACUGUGCAGAAACUAACCUAAACUGUAUCAAACGAUUCCACCUCAAGGUCAUGAAUCAUGAAUGUUGGAAUUGAAUCACUUAGUUACUUUGUGAAUCCGUAUUUAUUUAGUUCUUUAACUAAUUUAUAGAGCUAGAUAAUGAUAUUUUUUUUCAAAUUUUGUUAGGUGAUUGAUGUGUGGAGAAAACAUUGGAGCAAACACAUAUAUGUGGGAUAAUUAUGGUAUUGCUACAAUUUAAACAUCUUUUUUUAUCCUAUCAAAAUUUGGGAUUAUAUAUAUAAAGUCAUUUUAUUUGAAUUAAGAAUUUACUCGUUCUAGUAGUUAAGGACUUUGUUGGAACUUAGUAUUAAUUUUUUCAAACCUUUGAAUGUAUAUAAUGCUUUCUUUUUCUUUUUUACGUUAUAAAUUUGAAUAUUUUGGUUGUAAUUAUUAUCAUGAAUUUGGAUGAAUGUGAACUAUACCUUCUUAGUAUGGCAAAUUACGACACAAUAUCUAUAUGAUUAUAAUUUGAUUUUACAAUAAUAAUAUUAGAUAGGUGUUAUUAGAUAAGUUAUAGUUAUGUUUGUAUUAUUACAAAAAAUGCUAUAGAGGGUCAAUCAACAAUAAAGUUUGUAGGUAAAAGUGUGGUAUUUAUAACUUUUUUCCAUUACAAUAAAUAAUGCUAAUAAAAAUAAGAGACCUUCAAUAACAUAUCUAGUCUUUUAUAAUGUCUUUUUAUUGUUAUACAAUUUUUUAUGAUACUUUUUCAAUAUUAUGAAACGUUUCUGUAACAGUAAAUUAAAGCUAUAAUAUAUCAAUUUUUUUAUAUUGUUAUUAAUAGCUCUACAAAAAUCGCUAUUAAAAGUCAAAGACUUUUUGCUACGACAACAUUCAUAAAACGUUAAAAACAAUGGUUUAUAGCAUUUUUUCAAUGUUAUUAAAAUAGCUAUUGAUUGGUUUUAAUAACGUUUUUCUGAAUGCAGUAAAAAAAUGUACAAAAAGUCUUUUAUAACAAUUUUCCAAUGUUAUUAAAACGCUAUUGAAACAUUUUGAUAACAAAUUUUCAAUGUUAUUAAAAUAGUUGUUGAAACGUUUUAAUAACGUUUUUUGAACACAAUGAACAAUGCUAUAAAAUGUCUUUUAUAGCAUUUUUCCAAUGUUAUUGGAUCAUUUUGAUAACAAUUUUUCCAACGCAAUAAAAAUCACAAUUCAAUUUUCAAUAGUGUUUUUUUUUUCAUGUUAUAAAAAACAUUUAUAUCAUCAUAUAUGUGUUAUUAAAAUAGAUAUAUUAUAACAUUUUGCACAGUGUUGUAAAGACGCUAUGGAAAGUCAUGGACUUUCAAUAACAUUAGCUACGACAACAUUUUGAAGACGCUAUUGAAAAUUAACAAUAGCGUUUUUUUGAUGCUAUCGUAACUGAUAUUUCUUAUAGUUAUUAGAAGGGAGACAUGAAUGAACCGGUAUCACAUCUGAAUAAGAGGGAUCCUGAGGACAUGAAAGUAAUGUUCGGAAAGACUUAAAAGAAUUAAAAGUUAAUACCUAUACCAACAAGGUUCACCUUUCAUUUUGGUGGCUCGAUCAUAGGAACUUUAAAGUUAAACGUGUGUAGCUUGGAGUAAUUCUAUUUUGGGUGAUCUCAUGAAAAUUUUUCUAUGAUGCAUGUGAGUGAGGACAAAGGAUGCUGAAAGGACUCGUGUUCGUUUGUGUAUUUACUUUAAGAAUAGUUAGGAUGACGCUGCUAGGUCGUAGGGGAUGAUGCAGGGGAAUGUCGAAGAUUUGAAUUCCAAAUCGUGGAUUUGGGGCGUUACACUAAACACUAAUAGACCUAAUAAAAUAAUAGGCUUGAAAGCAUAUAAUACGUAUGGGUCAUAUUAAUAAUAUUAUUAUAUUUAAAAUUUGAUGGUUCUAAAAUUUUCAUCGUCAUUUCUCCAAAAUUAUGCAUCUUCCACUGAGUGUUAAGAUGAAAAGGUGAAAAUAGUUUAGUACAUGAAAUCCAUGGGACAAAUAGUUUUUUCUGUCUUCUACAAGGGUUUAUUUUUUAUAUAUUUAUGUUAUUUAUGAUUUUGACUCAAAAGUUUUAGAGAAGUGCACUAACUCUCGAACCUUAGAGGCACAUCUUAAUAUGAGUUUUUCUUUCCAAUAAAAUUGCUCAAUCGUGAACUUUAUUCCAAAAUAAUGUGAUUUGAAAAAUUAAUGUAAAAAAUAAGAUUCGACAAAAACGAUUGACAAAAAUAUGAUAUUUUUGGGUCACACCUCUUCUUUUAUAUAUAUAUAUAUAUUAUAUAUAUAUAUAUAUAUAUAUUACUCAUGGUCUCAUGCUUUCUUUUUUUAUUAUUUAUAUAUUAGUGGGUCAUACACCUUCUUCUUUUUUCUCAUUAUAUAUAUAUAUAUCUUUACUUAUUAAAAUUAAUACCAACUUCCCAAUUUUAAUUAAUUUAUUAUAUAUAAAAAUAUAUUAAAUAAUUCAAUAUUUAAUUUUUUAUUAAAUUCACCUUUUCUAAUUUAUUAUUUCUUAAUUAAAAUUAUGCACACUUUUUUUCCAAUUUCCAACUUUCUUUUAUAAAACAAACACCUAUAUUAACAAAAUAUGUUAUUAAAAAAUACAUUAAACAAAAUUCUAAUACAUUUUGUUUUGAUAAAAAAAUACAUUUUAGUAUCUCAUCUAACUCUUACAUUUUAAAUUUUGUAUCUUAUCUAUGUGUAGCCACCUAGUUUUAUCCUACAUUUUUUUUCUUUAAAGAAUAAUAAUAGUAAUAAUGACUAAGAUUUUAUUUUUUUAAUAAUAUAAAAUCCUAUAAUAUUCAUAUUUUUUUAAAAAAAGAAAAAUAAAACCUUAAUGAGCAUAUGUAUCAUUUUAGGGGAAAAAAAGAAUCAAUUUAUAUUACCUCAUUUUAUUUGUUUAUAUUAUUUUACAAAAAAGAAAUAUAAUUUAUUUUACAAACAAUCACACAAUAUCUAAUUUGAUUUUAUCCCUAUUGAAUUUUUUUAAUAGGAUACAACAAUAAAUUCCUCGUACUAAUGAUAUAAAACUAUUUUCUAAAUUUAAUUUGGAAUCGAGCCAUAAUUUUCAUCGAUCAGCUUUAAAUUAUUUAUCAAUUCUUGUUCUUUUUCUUUUUGCCAUAAACAUAAAUUUUUUUAUGAGUUUUACUUUGAGAAAAUAGCAAAAGUAAUUUUAAAUUGUUAAAAUAGAAAAACAUAAAAAUUAAAAAAUAAUAAAUAAAUAAAACAAUCCCUCAAAUAUUAUCCAAUAUGUAAAAUACAAUUGUUCACCUAAACCCUAAAUACUCUGUAAUUGAAAUAACGCAUAUGCUACAUAAAAAAUUUCCUCCAAAAAUAUAAAUAUUAUAAAAGUUGUCAUUAAUGAGAAGCUCCACCUCAUGCCUACAAAAUUUAAAACUUGUGCAAAGUGAUAAUUUUUUUCCUUGGAAUUUGGCCGCUUACUUUCUUCUUUGAAAUUGAUAGUUGCAAAAUUGAAACACAUUCAAUACAAGAGUUUGGCUCUACAUCUGUGGAACAACCAUAAUCGAAAGCUUCAAGUUGAGAAGGGGAGCAUUGUUGAUAUUAUAGUAAAGAUGAAAUCAUGAAAUUAUAUCAUAGAAUUCAAAACUUAUAUACAUCUUAGCAAGAUACACAUCGGUGAAUUUGUCCACUCAAAUUGGUGAGUUCUUCAAGUUCUUCAUACAUUCGAGAUUCAUUUGAGUAUUCUCCUCUCUUGUUUGCAAGAAAAAAUUUAUCGCUCACUGUGUUUGUCUGUUUGUCUCUUGUCGACUGCCCCCCUCUAUUAAUCUCCUUCUUUUUUUUUUUUUUUUGCUAAUAAAACCUAAAAGAAGAUUCAAAUAAUUGCAAAAAUGUCAUUGAGACAUAAUUAAAUUCUAAAAAUUAUUUCAAAUUGUUAUUAAAAAUAUAUAUUAUGUAUUAUUUAAUAAAUUAUUUAAAAUAUAACAAAUUUGAAAAUCUUGUAUAUAUUUGUUAUUAUUGUUGUUGGUUUGGUAACAAAUCCAUCUUAAUGUUAAGUUUUUUGAAUUGGAAAAAAUAUAUGAUAAUAUGAUCAAAUAAAUAUUAAUAACUGAAUAAGUGAUCAUGAUAUAAAACGAAAAUAAGAAGCAUAAUAAAUUAAUUUUUUAAUAAAAAUCAACGAAAAUAAGUGUGUACUUUGAUAUAUAAAUUAAAAUAACUAUGUACUAUCUAAUAAUAUUUUAAAAAUUAAUUUGAAAUAUAAAGGAUACGAAAAUAUUGAGUUAGUGAUUUUCGUUAUUUUAGGGAUUAGAUUGAGGAACGGUUUGAAAAUAUUUUAGCAACUUUUUAGGGAAAAUAUUUAUUAAACAUUAGAUUUAUGAAUUAAAUAAAUAGAUGUUAAUUAAAUUAAUUUAAAUACUAAAUAUCCAAAAAUUUGUUAGGAAUUAUAGGCAUAUAUUUAAGAGAUAUAAGGGAAAUCUUGUCAAUCUUGAAAAUAUCAUAAAUUAGUUAAUAUUUUUCAAAACUGAUUGUAGUGUACAAAAUACAUUGUAUCUGUAACUGUAUGAUAUUUGGUCUCAUUAUUUAUAUCAUGCAAAUAUAUUGGUAAAACACGUAUUAUCCUACAUGAAGGGGUAUAAAAAAACGUAUUAUACUUUUUGAUUUAGACAUGUAUAGCAAGAAGGGUUGGAAAUAAAACGUCUAAUUAAAAUAAAUAUAAAUAUUAACAUAAUUAAAAAACCAAAAUAAAUUAUUUUUUAAUAAAAAUCAACCAAAAUAAGUGUAUAAUUAUAAUUAGCACGAUUGUAGGAAUGAUAAAACUUUUAUUUUUAAAUUAUUAUUAACCAUAUGUACUAUGUAUUAUAUGAUAUUUUAUUUUAAAUAACUUAAAAUAUAAAUAAUACAAAAAUGCUUAGUUUAUGCUUGUCAUUAUUUUAAGGAUAUGAUUAAUAAUUAAAAUCAAAAUAUUAUGAAAUAUGAUGGUUGAAAUUCUCAUAACCAUUUUUUUUAUCAAUACGUACUAUAUAUUAUUUAAUAACUUUUUUAAAAUAAUUUGAAAUAUAAAUCAUACUAAAAUAUUGAAUUAGUGAUUAUCAUUAUUUUAGAGAGAUUUCAUAAUAAAAUAUUAUGAAAUGUCAUGAAUGAGUAACAGUUUGAAAAUCUUUUAUCAAUUUUUAGGAAAAAUAUUUAUUAACCAUAUAAGUUUUAUGAAUUAAAUAAAUAAAUGUUAAUUAAUUUAAUUUAAAUAUUAAACAUAUGAAAAUUUGUUAUGAAUUAUAGGCAUAUAUUUUAGAAGAUAUUGGAGAAAUCUUGUCAAUUCUCAAAAAUCAUAAAUUAGUUAAGGUUGUCAAGAAGAAUAGCAAACUAUAAGUUUUACAUUGGAAAAAUAACAAAAAUAAUUUUAAAUUGUUAGAAUAGCAAAACAUAAAAACUAAAAAAAUAAAUAAAUAAAACAAUUUCUUAAUGCCCCUACUCAGUGUGAAAAAUACCAUUGUUCACUUAUACCCCAAAUACACUAUAAUUGAAAUAACAUAUGUUACAUAAAAAUUUCUUCCAAAAAACAUAAAGAUUAGAAAAUUUGUCAUUAAUGGGAAGCCCCACCUGCGUACAAAAUUUAAAAUCCGGUGAUUAUUUUUUUUUCUUGUACUUCAGUUGCUCACUUCCUUCUUUCAUUAACCCUAAAGAAAGCCAUUUGAAACUUUUCAUCUUCUUACAUAUCCCUUCUGGGCAAUGGUCGAGCAGAUCACUUAUGGACAUUCCAAAUUUCUUCCUCUUUCAUACGGUUUUUUUUUUUCAUCUUAAAAUCUUACAAAUGAUAUAUUUUUUUUUCAUUUGGACUUCGCCCACUUACUUCCUUCUGUUCCUCUAUCAUUCGGACACUUUUUUUUUUCAUUCGAAACCCUACAAAAAACCAUUCAAUAUAAUUUUAACACUGUUUUUUUUUUGGAAAAAUUCAAAUAUGGCAAUUGUUGUGGCUUCUGUAAAUUUGGAAGCUUGGAAAGAGAAGAAUAGUUUGAAUAAAUAAUUGUUGUUUUUAUUAAUUAAUUAUAUGAUAUAUUUAGAUAUAACAAACAAUUUUUUUAUAAUAAUUAUUAUUAUAAAAUAAAAUGUAGUACACUAUCUCCUCCAUUUUAAGAGCAAACAAAGGGAUUGAUUUGUAUUAUUUGUUUUGAACGUUUAUUAUUUUAUAAAUAUUGUAGAAAAUCUAAAUAUGAGAACGGAUAGAUUAUUCAAAUACGGUGUAUUUUCAACCGAACCAACAGAUACAUAAUCAACAACCACAACUAGGAAUUUCAACAUAACCAACAUAAGCCAAUACACGUCCUUGUCUUCGAUAAACUGAAUAAGGUUUGAAUUGUUGCAUUACACAGAAAGAUCUGAAGAUGGAAAAAGUGUACUAUAAAGUCAAAUCUACCGUGAAAGAAAUUCGAAUGCAAACGCUAAAUUAUUCUUAGUACUAAAACUAAAAUCGAAUAUUAGUGUAAUUCAAAAUAAAAAUGUCAUACAAAAAUUAUUGGUAUAAUUAAAUAAUUUUUUUAGAUAAAAAUCACACAAUUAUCAUGAUUUUUUUAUGAGAUCUUGAAUUUAAAAUCAAAAUUUUAGUACUUUCCUAAUUAAAUUUUAAUAUCAAUUUUAAAAUAACACUUAUGGAGUAUAUAAAAAGGAUAUUAAAAAUAUUAUCAUAAAAUUUUGAAAUUAUGUACGUUUGCCAUUAAUUUAGGGGGAUCAAUCAAAAAUCACGAUGUUUAUGGAUGAUAAAAAAUUUCUUAAAAUAAUAAUAUGCACGUUAAAUACAUAAUAAUUAUAAGGGGAAAAUAAAAUCAUUUUAGGUUAAAUGAACUAUUUUAUGGAAUUUUUAAUUUCAAUUUAUUAUGAUGUUAAAUGAACUAUUUUAUGAAAGUUGGUUAAAUGCAUAAUUACAGGAAAAAUAAAAUCUUAAUAUGAAGUUGUUAUUAUAUCAAAUGCACGAUUUUAGGGAAAGAUAAAAUUAUAAAUUGAAAAUUUGAACAUAUUUCAACUAAGAUUUCAAAUUCAAAUAAUAAAAUAAAUAUUUAUAAACGUUGAAUUAUAAGUAUGAAAAUUGUGUAUUAUGUAUGAUAUAAUAAAAUGUUACUAAAUAUUAACCAAACCGUAUGAAACGUUGAAUGAAUAAAUUAUAUUAUCAAUUAUUCUAUGGAUAGAAAAACGAAUAUAAAUUAAAUACCUAUUAGUAUAUAUUUUAUGAAUUAUAUAAAUAAAUUUUAAAUAGUUGAUUUGAAACCUACAAAUUCGAAAACCUGAUAUAAAAUGUUACUAAAAAUUAACCAAAUCAUUAUAUGAAAAUUUAUAUAUUUAUAUGAUAUAAUAAAAUGUUAUUAAGAAUUAACCAAACCUUAUAAAACGUAUAAUGAAUAAAUUAUAUUAUCAAUUAUUUUAUGCCUAGCAAAAAAAAGUGAACUAAAUAGCUAUCAUUAUAUAUUUAUUAAUACAAAUAAAUUGUUAAUCAUUUGAAGCCUACAAAUCCAAAAAUCUGUUAUAAAUUAAAGGUAUAAAUCUAGGAGAUAUUGGUUAAAAGAGAUCAAUCCCGAAAAUAAAUAUUUAUUUAAUAUUUUUAUAAAACUGACUAAUAUGCAAAUACAUUGUAUUCGUAAAUAUGUAUUAUAUUAUAUUAUUUUACUCUGCACAAAUACACUGUAUCUGAGAAAAAUGAGUUUCAGUCUUCUAAAAUUGGUUGACAAGUUGUCAACAAAUAUCUACUUCAAGCGGUUUUGCUAAAAAUCAAAUUAUUAUUGAGAUUUGCUAUUUUCCAAAUUGUACUCCAUUAUUAUUUUGUCAUUCUCAUGGUUAUCUCAAUUAGUUAAUAUUUUCCAUUGUAGUUUGUAAAAUACAUUGUAUCAAUAUUUGGCCUCAUUAUUUGCAAGCAAAUAUGUUGUAUCUAUAAAACAUGUAUUAUCCUACAUAAAUGGUACAAACGGUUCAAAAAAUUAUGUAACCAUCGGUUUUGCCAAAAUUUUUAAUAUUUUUCAAAUUUGCUAUUUUUCAGUUUGUUAUACUAAUUUUUUUCAUUCUCACGGUUAUCUCUAAAAUCAGGGGUUUAACAUGUGAGGUAAAUUGAGAGUUUUUUUAUUUAAAUUUUAGUUCUCAAAUUUAAACUAGUGUUUUCACUUCCAUUUUAAAAUUAUUAAUAUAACUUUUGGAUUACAAGUUAAAUAAAUCAAAGAUUUAAAUAAUUUGAGUUGGUCUCACUCAAAAAGAUUAAAAAUUUGUUUAUAAUUUUAUGUAUUAAAUAAGAAUUUUUUUAGUCAAAAUAGUUAGUGUAGUUUCUUAUUGUUUUGAGCCAAUAAAUAUAGAAUUUCUUUAUUUUUUGUAUAUGUAAAAUAAAAAUAAUUUUUUAUUACUCAAAUAAAAAAAUAAAAAAUGGUACAUUUUUUUCAAAGAAUAAAAAUAAAUGAACACAUUGAAACUUUUCUUUUCAUCUUUGUUUUGUCAUUUUUUGUAUGGAAAAAAUAUAAAUCCUCUUCCUCAGUGAAACUUGAAGAAAAUAAAUGAAAAAAAGCUUAAAAUUUUGAAUAUAUUUGACACAUAAUUAAAUUUUAAAACACACGAUUAUACGUAAUUUUAUGUUUUAAGAGUAUGUCAUACCUAGCGUACAAAAUAAGAUUUCAAUAUACAUUUUUCAUUUUUUUUCUUUGGUUACUCUAACUAGAAGACUUAUGACUUAUUUGGAUUGACUUAAGAAAAAAGUAUUUUUUUAUAAAAAAACUCAUUUUUAUUUAAACUCUUUUGAUAAAAGCGGUUUAAAUAUUACAUUGCAUGUGCAUCAUAUGAAGGCACAUAAGUAUCACUAAAUGUGAUUCUAUUUGACAUAGCUAUUAGACCCUUUUGAAUGUUUUGCUUAACUAAAACUUUUUAAAACUUCAUCUGAUUACAUAAUUUGUUAUAUUUUAUGAAUAGUUUAUAAUAUUCUUAAUAAAACCAUUCAUUUGAUACAACUGUAAUAAAAAUUAUUGUUAUUGAAUAUUAAAAUUUUUUGUUUUUAUAUUAUUGUCAUGAACAUCAAUAAGUCAAGAAAUUGAAUUAUAUGUACAAAAUAUUAAAAAAUCAAUUAAAUAUUUUUUAUAUGAUAAACUUAUAAUGUACAAUUGACAAAAAAAAAAAAAAAAAAGAUUAGCUAAGCGUAGGAAUUCAAAAUCAACACCCCAAACACAAACAUUAAAAAUCGAGAUUACCAAUUCUUACACUCAAUUCAUGCACUCCAAACAUAAGCAUUUGUAAUUUUCAGAUAUCAGAACCUCAUCAAAUAAGCUCACCGUCGUUUAUUUUCAAGGUAUUUGAUUUUGAAGCUACACCCUAAGUGUCCCCUUAGGACAAAAGAUGAGUGAAAAGUUCAAUUUACCUUUAAAUGAAAACUUCCCUUCUCUUUCACACAACAAACUUACUCUCCUCUCCCACUUGUUAUUUUCUCCCUCUAACUUCUCUCGCUAAUCUCUUUCAAACUCUCUUUCUCUUGAAAAAUUGUUUAGUUUAAUUAUUAAAAAAAUUGGAAUAAAUUUAUAUUAAUUUCUACUCUUACAACAUUUUUAUUUUAUGUUUUCAUCAACUUUUUUCCCCCUGAUUUUCAAUUAUGUUUUUUUUAACAUGUCAUAAAUUUAAACAAGUAUUAAGUUAGAUUGUCUUUUACUUUUUAUAGUUACAUAAAAUAUAUAUAUUUUUUUAACUUACCUAAUUGAAUUUAGAUAUGAUUUGUUCUACAAUUCGGCAAUUAUAUAUAUUUUUUGUUUCAUCUCUAUGAUUUAAAUUUUAGAACAAAACAUUUAGGUUUAUGAUUAUUUUAUCUUAUUUUAUCUAUUUAUGUGAAAUUAGAUAGGUGCAUACCCAAACUUUGAUUUCCUAUUUAUUUAAUGGUUUAUUAAAUUUAUUCUUUCAAACUUAUUACUCUUAUUCUUCUUGCCAUGCACUUUUGAUCAAGUUGUUGAAUUAUUUGGUAAAUGUUAAUUUAGUUUUUUUUUUACUGUUAUAUUCUCCUGAAUUUUUUUUUAUAGAGAAAUUUUUAAAGUCGAUUUUUUUUAAUUGAGCUUAUGAUUUCUUAACUAAUAUAAAAAAUUAGCAUGAUUUUACACAUUAAGGAAGCUACUAUCAUUUAUACCUUGUAAACAUCUCACGAGUUUUAAACUUGAAAAUACCUAAUUUGAAAUCAAUUUUAUACUAAUUUUAGGUGAUUUUACACAUAUUUUAUAGAAAUAGGUUCUAUUUUAUACAAAAAUAAGCUUAGUUCAACAGUAAUUGAUAUGAUUUUCAAGUCAUUUUUUGAAAAACUUUUUGAAAACUACUCAAAAUAGCUUUCAAAUACUUCAAGUUUAUUUCGGCAAUUUUUAUAAAAAAUGUUUAAAUAAAAAUAUUUUUUCUAUAGUCAAUUCAAGCAUAACGCUUUUAUCUACUAUUUCUUAUUUUAUUUUUCAUCACCAUGUGUCUGUGUAUGAUAUGUAAUCAAAUGAUGAUAGGGAGAAUGAAGCUGGUCUUAUUCAUGAUCUUGUUUAGAAGGUCUCGUCUAUAUUAAAACAAACACAAUUACUAAAUGUAGCCAAGCAUCCUGUUGGAAUUGAUUCUCAACUUAAUGCUAUUGAAGAAUUAGCCUCCCAUGGUGUGUCAGAUAAUGGUGUUAACAUGGUGGGGAUACAUGGGAUGGGAGGCAUUGGUAAGACAACUUUGGAAAAAGCUUUACACAACAAAAUCACUCAUCAAUUUGAAGCCGAUCUUAAAAAGGUUCUUACAUCCUCUUGUUUUGUUAACAUUGAUUUUGAGCAUAUUAAAUCUCAAUUCCAUAGGACCUUUAAUUAAGGAACUUCAAAAGAGAGCUAAUCGUAACGUACAGCAAAAUCCCGAAAUUUUACAACAAUCAUACCAUAGAAAGUUCAAUAAGUUUUAGCUUUCAACAUAAUUCAGAUAUGAUCAUACCUGUUUUGGUUGUGUGUGUUGUUUUCAAUGUGGAUGAAGAUUCAUGUGAUACUGAGGCUUUUACUCAUGUUCAAGUAUUGAAUGAUGGUCAAAUGCUUAUGAUGCCUACUAUGGGAGGUUGGUGCAGGUCAAAAUCAGAACAUAUGUUGUUACUAAGAACUCCAUCACAAUUGAUAUACUUGAGUGAGAAUAAUCAACACAAAAUCGAAGUCUUGUUUCAGGUUUGGAAUUAUAAUAAAAAGGCUGGGUGUGUAUGUUGUUGAUGAGCUUUUUGAGCAAUACAAAUGAUAAUUGAGGUCAAGAAGAAAGGAAGGGGACAGUUCAGUGAGUGAUCAUACACCAUUAUUCCCAAUUUUUAUUGAAUGUUUCGGUUUUAUUGUUGUCUAUCAAGUUUUUCUUUAAUUCAUUGUUUUUUCUCUACGAUGAUAUGGUAUUGUCCACUAUUGGCACAAUGAGAUGAUAUCAGUGAACACAUCAAAUUUAAUAAUUAGCCCAUCUACUUUGAAAACAGUAACGCAGACAGCCAAAAGCUUGUUGGCAAAGAUUAAAAUCUAAACAAAUGCACAACAAACCUCAAAAUCGUUGUUUGGGGCCUACUCGAUCAAUGAAUCUUAAAUCUCAAUGCCAAAUAUCUUCUUUACAAGCCAUUAGACAAAGAAACAUCAUGAGCUUUGGCCAAGAGGAGCCAAAACCAUGCUUAAAGCUCCCAAAAUCAGUCCACUAACUCUCCUCUCUUACCCAAACAUGAAGGCAAACUAUUUAUAAUGACUGUCAAAGAGCUUUGCGACGCCACUUAUGCUGUUGCGGUUUUAGAUGCUGGAACAGGUUGUUGUAGACUGUGCGUUCGAGGGAGACUUGUGACGAUGUCUCAGGGUCACACUGGAUCUGACCUCCGCUCUCCUCUGAAGCCUCUGGAACUUGUGUGAUGCUCGAAUUCCUACAAGAUAGACACGUAAACUGAUUAAUAAUUCUAAAAAAGUUAGAACAGAGGCAUUAAGAUAGUUCAUUCAGGGAGCUAUUAAUAAGAAGCCAAACAAGGAACAAUGAAAUUGUAAGGGUGUAUCGGGUGACUCACCAAGUUUGCCUUUGCUGCCCUCUAACGUCAAUAUGGACGCCCAAACUUCUUAUGGUUGCUCUAGCAUUAUCAUAAGUCUUGUUAAUCGUACAGGAGACUUGACAACUCAUGCUCACAGAGCUAAAUGUUAGAGGGGUCGUUAUUAACCACAUAUAUUCUGAUUUCGAUGAGGGCCGGACGGUGAUCUCAAAAUAUUUUAGUGAUUCACCAUCAAUGAAAAUAUCAUAUUUUAUAGAAGCCUUCGCUUCACAUGAAUCUCCAUCUACUUUGAAAAUAACACAGGCAGCCAACACUUGUGUCUUUUGUGGACAGUGUUGAAGGCUAACGCUUAUUGAACUUGUUGUAGUAGUUUGAUGGUUGAACCAUUCUGGGAUCAUACCAUUCAUUAGAAUGAACUCUCUUGACCCUGAGUCAUUUAAUCUAUCCUGCGGAACAGAAAAUCAUAUGCAAAAAAGAUAUGUAAGGAACCUUAUAUGGACAGAGAUAGGAAAAACUAACAAUAUCUACAUUAUAUCAAAAUCAACUUCUCCAUAGGCUACUCUAAACUUGACAAAAGAUGUACCUGAUUUGCAUAUAUUAUAUCGUCAAGGUUGUCAGGACCUGUAACCAAUGAUUCACAACCUCUAGCAUCCAUUGUUUGUAUGCUAUGGGGAAGGUUUGGGAUUUGGAGAAGGAAGUUGCAAUUCUUUAACUGAAGCUCCUUCAAUGAAGUAAAUUAUGGAGACAUGGUGGUAGAACAGAAAAUUUGUUUUGAGACAAAUGUAGCUGAGAUAAGAAAGUGGAGACAGUAGAUAAAGGUUCCAAGAAAUCUAUAUUUGAUAGGUUGCAAUUUUUAAGGUCCAAUAUAGUCAGCUUCGAAAGAAGGAAUAUCUGUUCGGUAGUUGGACAAGGAAACAUGUGGAGUUUAGAACAUCCAGGAAGACGAAGUUCCACAAGACUUCGUAACAAAUAAAUUUCACUUGGAAGAGCUACGAGGUUUGCACAACCUUUAAGGCUUAAAAACUCGAGCUUAGCAAGAUGUUCAAUCGAUGAAGGUAACUCCUCUAUGGCAGUAUAGUCUAAAAUCAUCCUUGUUAAAGAUUUCAUGUUUUCAUCAAAUUCUGGAACUCGUUGAAGCUUACGACAGUCCGAAAGACAGAAAGAAUCAAGAGACUUUAACAUGAGGUAGCUAGGAAGCUUUUCAAGAUUAACACAACCCUCAAGGUCUAAGGUUAUCAGCUUGUUAAGAGAAGAAACAGACUCGUGAAUCGUUUUUAAGCUUAUGCACCCUCUCAGGUACAAAUACUCAAGGUUUACUGCAACAGAUAAGUCAGGAAUUUCUUCCAAAAGCUCACAGUAACUGAGAUCAACAUGCUUCAACCGUUCACAAUUCUGAACACAGAAGGGAAAAAGAAAGUCAUAAUUAAUAAUAUUUCUGGAAAAAUAUGGCUCACAAACUACUAACUAUAAUUUACCUCAAAUCUAUUCCCCAAAUAUUUGAUGCAACAAUGUUGCAUGUCUAGUCCAACAAGCCCCUCUUUCACCAAAAAGCUUGCAGGCAAAGAUGAAAAUCUAAUUCCAAAGCUAGAUAAAACCCACUUGAACUUAUUAAGACCAUACUCAAACAUAUGUGAAGAAAAUGUUAUAUUUCGAAGGAUAAGCAAUUUAAGAUUUUUCAUGUUUUUAAAUGCUUGUGCAUCAAUGGAUGUCGGUGAUAAGUCGUUGGAUAAGUCCAGCUUUAUGACUUUAACUGCAUCUGUUCCCUGCAUAGUUGUAAAUCCCGUGAUUAAAAUUUCUCAUUAACUUAAUUAAAGUGAAAACAAUUUGUGUCAAGUUACUCACUGAAUUCUUUUUCUAAAUACCAAUAACUUCCUUCGCUACCCACAACCUACUCCUAUUUUCAAGGUCAAAUGAUUCACCACGAACAAUGGUAUGACCCAUUUGUGGUAUUAAAUCAUGCAUUUGCACCUUACCAUUUUCAAUAGAAAUAAGAGAAAGAUCAUUGAGAACUGUAAUUCCAUAAUCUGGAUUGAGAUCACGUGCCUUCAACAUACUCUUCAUGCAGUAAACAUCAUCCCCAACGAACAAGCAACAAAUAUCAACGAAGAGUUCCUUCAAUCUGUAUUCAAGCCCCUCAUAACUUAUUUGGAAGAUAUCUUGAACACCUUUCUCGAGGGAGAUGACAAGUUCGUCUAAUUUACUUUUCCAUACCGACUGUUCUCUUUUGUAAAGGAAGAACCCAAAAGAACAAGAGCCAAAGGAAGUCCUUGACAAUAACCUACCGCAACUUCUGCAAGCUCUAAGUAACUGCUUGAUGGGGACUUAUCCUUCAAAGCAUACCAACUAAGAAGCUCAAGGGCAGUGUCAAGUUUGAGCACAAAAGAGGAACCAACAAUCAAGCUACCGACACUUUCAACCGUAAAAGCCAGCAUGUGACCUUAUGUGUAUGCUAGCCCCAAUGCGUACGAGUAAAGUUGAUGCAUCAAUGCAUGAUAUCAUUAGAGAGUUCAUUCAAAAGGAUCCCUCUGCCCAAGCUGUUAUUGCUCUAGCCAAAGCCGGUAAAACAAGACACUUUUGAGUUGAAGAAGACUUAUUAUUAACAAGAGGAAAUUGAUUAUAUAUUUUCUGGGAGUAGAUGAUCUUAGGAAAAAGUUACUGCAUGAAUAUCAUGACACACUGUGGGCAUGCCUUCUUGGGUGGCAAAGGAUGUAUGCACUAUUGAAGAAAGGCUACUUAUGGCCUAAUAUGCGAGACGACGUCAUGCAAUACAUGAAGACGUGCCUCAACUGCCAACCAGAUAAGAUCGAGAAAGUGGAAUUUUUUAGACUUCUCGAACCCUUGCAUGUUUCGACAAGACCAUGGAAGAGUGUUUCCAUGUAUUCCCACUACCAAACUAUGUUCUACCAAGUUGACUAUACAGUUAUUCUUUAAACAUGUUGUGAAGUUUUGAGGAGUCCUAAGAAGCAUUGUGAGUGACCGAUAUGUUAGAUUCACUGAUACCUUCUCAAAUGAGUUAUUUACUUUCUUGGGGAUGAGCUUGAACAUAUUCUCAAGCUACCACCCUCGGACUGGUGGCCAGACUAACCGAUUCAAUUGUAUGCUUGAGGAAUAUCUACACCAUUUUGUGGAUGCGAGAGAGAAAAAUUGGGUCUAGUUAUUGGAUGUGGUUUAAUUUUGUUUCAAUGCUCAAACAAGCUCAUCAACAGGGAAGAGCCCCUUUGAAAUUAUAAGUGGAAGACAACCCUUGAUGCCUUAUAUUAUUGACCAUUCUUAUGUAGGAAAAAAUCCACAAGCUCACAACUUUACGAAAGAAUGGAAGCAGACUACAAAUAUCGCUCGAGUUUACUUAGAGAAAGUCUCAAAGCGUAUGAAAAAGUGGGCUGAUAAGAAGGGACAUCCUCACGAGUUUCAUGCAGGAGAUCAAGUCCUCAUCAAGUUGAAAGCAACAAAUUCGAUUCAGAGGGCAUAAAGACCAAUGUCUCGUCAAAAAAUAUGAGGUGCCUGUAGAAGUCCUUAAGAAAACGGUGUUGAGUUUUAUGCUCUAAAACUCGUAGAUAGUAAAUAUAAUCCAUUGACCGUUAUUAAUAAAAUUUUAUUAUUUCAAUAAAUGCUAUUGAUUAUAUUAUUAGUUUUGUCUUAAUAAUCUAAAUCCAAUAAACUAACAUCCUAAGUUGUUUGAUGAGUCUUGAACAGUAUGUAGAGACAUACAUGGAUUAAUGUUCGAGAUCAGCUUAAAAUGGUCUAUAAUAUAGGGAUAAGGAUGGGUACCUUAUCCUGGUAACACUAUGAAUAUGGCUCACUUUGUAUUUGAUACAAACGCAAGAAUCCAACAUGUUCGUGUAGGUGACAUGUGAGUGAGGGUAUGCUAUGCAACGAGUUUGCAUAAGACUGGACCACGAAAUAGUAACCACUAGAUGUAACUUCGUUAACUAGUUAGCUUUAUAUUUCAUUAGGAUGACCUAGGUAACUUAGUCUUAAUCCUGAAUAUAUUAUGAACUCCUCCUUGCGAGAAUUGUCAUUUGAUUUGUUCGGGUAAGAGUGGUCAAAUUGUCGACUCAAUGUGUUUAUCAUUUUUGGGGACAAGAUCGAUUAGUGAGCUGAGAACAUAAUCACACAAGAUGGAAUUCACUCAUUUUCAACUUUAGGGUAAGUAGAUGAGUGUUCUCUUAAAUGGUGUCUCCAGAACUUGAACAAAAGGUUCUAUCCUCUCUAUAGCACGAGCGGGGUUUGUGUUUAGAUGUUGGACCAUAUAAACAAGUUGUUUAUCAGAGUAGGACUAGUAUUUAAGGACUAGAAGUAACCCAGGGAUAAAACGAUAAUUUAAUUCAGUUGGUGUUACGAGCACUUGUGAAUGACUAACUUACUGUUAUUGGUCUAUAUUUGUGAACAUAUAAAUAUAUCUACAGUGAUAAGAGUUCAUUUAUGAGUCUUUAGUGGAGUGUACACAUAGUUAACGAAUAUUGAUUGAUAAAGUUAAUGAGUUUAGCCAAUUAAUUUCAUAUCAUUGUAAUUUCUUAUAUGUAGGCUAUUAGGUCCCAUUCCUAGCUCGUAAAGGGUAAUGAGAUUUAUUUGUAUUAGUUUAAUUUAAAAUGUUCAAAUUUACUUUGAAAAUUAAUACAAUGUUGGGCGAUACAUUAUAAUAUAAAGUUUAUAUUUUAAUUGAACUUUAUUAUAUAAAUUUAAUUUUGGAUAUGACUCAAAAUUAACUUAUGAGAGAUAAAAUAAUUGAAUGAGUUCAAAUAUUAAUUUAAUGUGAAUUAGGUUCAUAUUAAAACUAUAUGUUAAAAUUUAAUAUGUAUGUGAUACACAUUAGAACUAUAAAAUUUAUAUUUGAAUAUGAUUCAAAUUUAGAUUAAAUUAAAUAUAAAAUAUUUAAUUUAGCAAUUAAUUAAUUAGAGAAUUAAUUAAUAGUAUAGUUUAAUUUUAUUAAAUUAAAUUAAAAUUAUAGUUUAUGUGAGUGAUAUUUCAUUUAAAUAUGAAUUAAAUGAAAUAUUAAUUAAAUAUGAUUUAGAUGAAAUAUUAAUUAAAUAUGAUUUAGAUGAAAUAUUAAUUAAAUAUGAUUUAGAUGAAAUAUUAAUCAAAUAUGAUUUAAAUAAAAUAUUAAUCAAAUAUGAUUUAAUCAAUUAUUUAUUUAUUUAUUUUAUUUUAUUUGACCACGUUCCUGUUUUUCUCUCCAACUUCCCUCUUCUUCAUGGAGUUAUACUUACGGCAGAAUCAAGAUUUUCAUUGAUUUGCCUUUGUUCUGUGUAUUCUCUCUUUGAAGAAUUCUCUUUGAAAAAUUUCUCAUUCCAAUUUUGGUUCCCACCAACUAAAAUCCCGCUUAGAAAAUAGGGAGGUUUUGGUCACUGGCAGAUCCAAAGUCGUCUAGGAAAGUAUGUUUCUCUUUUCUGUAUUUAUGCUCUGUAUUUUUUUUUUAUAAAGCAUGCUUAGCCAUGGAAUUUAAUUGUUUUUCAAUGUAUUUGGUAUUUUUAAGAUUCCAUUUAAAUUGAGUUUAAGGUCUCUAUAAAUCUUUCACUACUAGGACUUUUAUCCCUUCAUAUAGGAAAUGCAUCGUAUAGGGUGGCGUUGUCCGCAUGGAUGAAAAUCCAUCCAAUAGUUCAUGUGAGCAACUUAAAACCCUACCAUCAAUACCUCAAUGACAAGCAGUACGAUGACGGUGUAUGACCAUCUUUCGACCUGAAGCAGAAAGAAGAUAAACAAGUUGAAAAGAUCCUUCCUGAAAGAGUAAGGAAAGGUAGAAGGCCCACACAAGGAGAAUCCAUGAAUUCCUAGUCAAGUGGAAGAACCUCCCCAUGGAAGAAACAAGUUGGGAACGUGUCGAAGACCUUGAAGCGUGAAAGUAGAAGAUCGAAGAAUUUCAGCUUCGCUUGUCGAAAGGGAUGUCGACUAUUUAAGUGAGGGAGAAUGUCACGAGCAUGCUUGUCCAAGGCGUUGUUUGCCUAUGAUGGCAUGCUCGAACAUCCUCAAACCACCUUAUCUUUAUGUAUUAUACUUUAGUUUAGUGUCAUUUGCUUUCCUUUUGUUGUCGUCGACCAUGGGAGACAUACUAGUUGAAUUCUCGACCAAGUCUUGUUGUAGUCUUUGCAUUCUAAGCUUUCUUUGCAAUUGACCGUCUUCAAUAUUUUCUUUAAUGAUAUUUUCAAUGUAUUUCUUUCUCUAUCACGUUUUAUAAAACCAAUUUCUCUCAAAACGUGAAGGGAGGCUACAUUGUACCGCAAAUUUGUCUGUGAGUUUCAGAUUUCAUACCGCUGUCUUGUUCACUGAGCUAGAACAAGUGCCACACAAUCGCCAGUCAUGUGAUUGAAAAGUUGUGAUUGUGACAAGUAACUUUUAAUAUAGUAAGGAUAUUUUCUGACGUGGUUUCUUCUAGUUUCCAACAACCUUCCUCUCUCUCUUUUUCUUAUUGAGUUUGAAACAAUGUUUCCCCCAAGUCUCUUCUUUCUUUUUAAAAAAAUUAUUGUUUAGUUAAAGUAUUAUUUUAUUGGCAGGUCUUUAUAGAAAGAAUAUAAGGUAGGUGCAGUCACCAUGCAUUAAACUCAUGACUCCUUAUUAGCUCUUUGGGUUCUUUUAUUCUUAUGUUCUGUUAAUAUGGAAGGUUCAAAAUGGUUUUCAAAGUCAAAGCUAUCCCUUAUUAUUGAGGGCUUUCACCACCUGGAUACUCACCUACUCAGUCGCAAGGAUCAAAGAAUUUGAUUGACAAAGAAUAUUGCGAGGCUCAAAGAUUCUUAAUCAAUUGAUUCGACCACUUUUCUGGAGGGGUCCUCCGGACUAUUCAACCUAUUAGUUUGACGUCUGAACUUUUUUUAUUGCUUCCACUUUCUGGGAGUAUGAAAGAGAAGAGAAGAAGCAGCAGGGAGGGGAGGAAGAAAAGAAAGCCUAAAGAACAGACAUUCAGUUCCAUCAAUUCCAAGCCUAUCCUAACCGCUCCGACGGAGCUUUCGCAAAUUCUUUGCGCCUAACCUUUGCGGUGAGUCCUUCGGACCAGCUGACUAUUCGCUAUUCUAAAACCGGGGAGCCGAGCACUCUCAAAUAUAGCUUAAAGGAAGAUCAACUACUAGUAUGAUUGUAAAUGGGUUAGUUGGGUUGGGGAGAUCUCUUAAUUUUUACCAACUUGAAUUUUUGGUUGGUCAAAAUAUAUUGACAACCCAAAUAAAAAAGUAUGGAUGCUAAUUGAAAUCAAAGAUUCCACAAAUGAAAAUUAUUCAGGGAUCAGUGAAUUAAUGAAGUUAAUUAAUUAAUUUUAGAAAUCCAUAUCAGAAUACAGUACUAAGAACCAUAUAUACUCAUAUAUAUAUAUGGUGAUGCUUCUAUCAACAUCCCUCUCUGGAUUCUUCAAGAAAGGGUACUUCUUCAUCAUACUUGAACGUCGUUUAUGGGCACUUUACGACAUUCAAGAUCCAUAUUCCAAUGGUCCCGUUUUAGUUGAAUAAGCUUCUCCAUUGAGUAGCUUGAAGACAAAAGAUGAAAAGGGAAAUUUAGAUCAAAUCAAUCACCUUAAGCUCUUGGGUAGAAAGUCGAGACUUUUAGAAGAAGUGGCCAUUCCGAACUUUGAGCACUACCAGGUUCUUCACUCUUUCAAUAGCUUUUGAAUCAAUUUCCAGCUCCAUAGGUUGAGGAAAAUUUAGUUUUGUGGCUUUAACUACUCUUGCUUCCUACAAAUUAUAUAUAUAAAAAAAAAAAACAGACAAACAUUUCAAGUCAUUCAAAAAUAAUAAAGUUGUUCUUAUAAUUAAUAUACAUAUUCAAAGUUUGUGUGCAGAUAGUUGUUACGUUGUUGCCAUUUAGGACAUCCAUACCAUCCUCUUCAACCAACAAUCUUUUUUCUUCAUCAGAUUUGAAAGUGUUUGAAAGAGCAAUUGUCAUAUCCAUUUGUUGUAUUAAGUCAUGCAUUUCAACCUUAUUCGAUUUUUCUUUAAUAGUAUGAAGUGAUAGAUUCACGAGUUUUGACGUAAUUCCCUUUUCCAAACAUGAACAAUAACAUUCCUCCAACAUCGUUUUAACCAUGGCGUUAUAUCCUCUCUUGUCGUAUAAAGCUGAAACAAGAAAUAUCUUUUACAUCAUAUUCAAGUCCAUCAUAACUUAUUUGAAGAAGAAGUUGAAUAUCUUUGCCAAGGUAGGAGUUUUUGUAUUCAUCCAAUAUACGUUGAAACUUGGGUAUAUCAGUAGCAUAAAGGAACCUACACUUCUAAGAUCUAGGGAAAGACCUUUACAAAAUAAUGUACAAGAUAUCUCUUGAAAGGUCUAAAUUAAUAAUCACUCGAUGGAAUACUAAUUAUUUUGAAAGCAUGCCAACUAAAAAGCUCAAGAGUUUCAACAUAAUCUAAACCAUGCACGAACACUUUUUGCAAUAUAUCAAACCCAUGAAUAGCAAGUAAAUGUUUGUUUCUUAUUGUCACCGAUGACCAUACUUCCAAGUCUAAACCAGUCAUGUCCUCCUGCCAAUGCCUUCAUCAAAAACCAAAAGAAUCUUCUUUGAGCAUAGUCCACGCCUUAGGAUGUUAAUUCCUCUAUGAAGAUUGCUAACUUUGAUGAAAUAUUUCAUCCAUUAAAAUCUCACAAAUAAUUAGCUUCUUCUGUAGUUGAACAAGGCCCCAUAUUGAUUUGAAGCUUCCCUAAUAUUUGCCCAAAAGCAGAAACCUUCGAAGUCAUUAGCAAUACUAUUGUAUAAAGCUUUUUUUUGCUAAAGUUAGUCCUUACACAGUUUAUUGCUGAUUUUUCAAAAACAAAAAACAAUAUUAUCUAUUAACAUUUUAGAUUUUACUAAAAAUUUUGGGAAAAUUUUCAUAUAUUAUAUUUUCUUGCAUUAAAAUUAAUAAUAUAACUUUCAGGGAUUAAAUUUAAUAUUAUUGAAAAUAAAUUAUUAAAGUUAAGCAUUUUAAAUUAUAUGUAUUAAAAUUCAACAAACUUCCACAAGUAUUUUCUCAGUAAAAAAAAAACUUGCAAAAGAAGAAGAUCACGGCAAGGAUGACUUGGAAAGUUUUAAAAUUAAAAAAGAAAAAGGAGUAUGGUUCUUCAAAAAGAAGUCAAUAAAUGUGAUAUUUUUAUCUUAGAAAAAUUCCUAAAGUUAUAUGUGAGAUGUAAAAUCAAAGAAAGAAAAGAAACUUAAAUUAAAUCCAAAACCAAACAACAAUAUUAUCUAUAAGAAGGGAGUGGGGAGACAUAGCAUAACUAAGGGGAAUAAUUCCACAUUGAUCCAAGAAAUCUAAGACUUACUUAAAAUCAAUAUUUGUCUAUUAGUUUUUAAAAAUUAAGCAUACAAAAACAUAUUUCUUUCAACCAUACAUUUCUACUAUUUGUUGUCUACUUUUAUUUCAAUUAUUUUAAAAAACUAGGCAAACCUUUAAAAAUUGAACUUAGAAAAGUAGUUUUUAAAAUCUUUUUUCUUACCAUUGGGUUAUUUGUUCAAGUGUUUUUAUAUCAUAGUUUAAAACCAUAAUUGAAAAAAAGAAGCUCAAAACGAAAUUCUUAUGGAAUGGAACUCAAAUAUUAGUUCAUCUUCUGUCCUUCAAUAACAUGCUCUCUUCCGAUAACAUAUAUAUUUAUAAAAAUAAAAACUAGAAGUCCAAAAGAGUAAUUAGAGUCCCUCUCUAGGUUUGCAUAUUCUAACUUCAACUUUGGCAAAUUCUUCUCCAAAUUAUUCUUCUAUGAUCACGUCAAUGAAUACCACACAUUUUAAUACUUACUUUACAGUACCUCAAAUAACACUGUAAUUACAUCCAAAAUACUUCUUUAGGAAGUAAUCCUAAAAAAUGGUCGACUUAGAUCAACCUUCGUUGACUUGUUCAUAAUAUCAUCACCAUAUGGGUUGAAAAGUAUACAAGGAUCAAGUACUACCAUCCAUAUAUAGUCACCUGGUUAUCUUUCUUCAUAAAUCAUACUCACAAAAGAUACUUGACACAUGACUCCGUACUUCAAUAUCGUUGAUAAACACUUCAUUCAAGCUUAACAAACGGAUUACGAACCUAUUUGAAAUUUGACACAAGGAGGAAUAAAAGCCUUUCUUUUUCUGACUUACAUAACCAGCUAGAAAAAGAAACGUUAUUGAACUCUUCAUACUCUUAUACCUACACCAAUCUGUAAUAUCACAAUUCGAUAAUGUGAGUUCUUUGAUUCCUCCGUCUUUAUAAUAUUCAUGCACGAUGAGAGUAAAUAACUAAAAGUUAUAUUAAUUAAUGAAGCAGUUAAACUUAAUUAAUUUUUAUAUGAAUAAAAUACAUGAGAGAUGAGGCCAUGAGAAAAAAAUGAUACACACCGCAUUAUAUAUCAUCACAAGCUAGAUAUGAAAUCAUGUAUGUUGUCAAGAAAUCUGGCCAAUGAUUAACAAUAUAAUUUUGUUGAACAAAUUUAAGCUUUGGCAAAUGUUGUCUUACCAACACAAUUCAUUCCUUUUUAAAAAAAUUAUUUUCUAGUUAAAAUAUUAAUUCACCGGUGGAUCUACGUGAAAAGAAUAAGAUGAUAUGUGGUCGUCAUGUAUUGAACUUAUUACUUCCUAGUUAUUAACUUUUUAGGUUUUAUUUACGUUUCCAACUACUACUAGACAACUUAUUUUGGUUAUCAAAUUUAGUUUAUUUCUGAUUUUUCUAAUUAAAAAAAUAUUAUUAUCUAUUAACACUUUAGAUUUUACUAUAAAUUUUGGGAAAAUGUUCAUAUAUUAUAUUUUCUUUCAUUAAAAUUAUUAAUAUUAUUUAACCAAUUUCUAUAUUUUAGAAAAGUUAACUUCCAGAGGUUAAAUUUAAUGUUAUUGGAAAUAUAUGAUUAAGUUUAACCAUUUUAAAUUAAAUUUAUUAAAAUUAAACAAAACUUCAAAGCAUUUUCUUAGUAAAAAAAUGAUAUUUUAAUAAAAAUUAAGAUAUUUUUAGCAAAAAGAAAAUUUAAUUAUUAAAAUGGAAAAUAGAUAAAUGUUUGAAAUUGUGAAAAAUACCCUCAUUCAACUUUAAAGAACUGGACUUUGAGAGAAUCGUUGAAUAAUAACUAAACUAAAUAUCAUAAUUAUUAGCACAGCCACCAAAAAUCAAAUAUAUUGUAUCUAAACAUUCUAAAAACAAAAAUUAAAUAGCAUCCAAAAUUUAACUAAAAUAAAGCAUUUUUUAAUAUAUAUUUUAAUCUAACACUUUAAAAUUAAUAUUAAAAUACAAAAGUCGAGAAUGUGAGGAGCAUCUCUGGCCUCUUAAUAAAUCCACCAUUGGACACAGCUUCUACACCAGAAUUUAGUAAAAAUAAAGCAUUACUUUGUAAUCUAAUGCUUCAAAAUUAAUAUUAAAAUACAAAAGUCGAGAAUGUGAGGGGGACAUGUGUCUCCUUGGCUUCUUAAUAAAUCUGCCCUGAAUCGUAGUAGUCGUAGUAGCGCAGCAAGAGUAACGACAGCGGCAGCAGCAAGUAAUGAUAAUAAUAUUACAGUAACAAAAAUAACAAGAAGAAGAAUAAUAUUAGUAGUAGUAAUCAUAUUAUUAUAAUAACAACAACGACGACAGUAAUAUAUAUAUAAAGUGUUGAGAAAAUAAGGAAGAUUUUGUUUAUUAUAAUCAAUUCAAGAAGUUGUUAGAUAAAAUCUAAUUUGAUAAUAAAUAUAUAAAAUUCAAUAGAGAAAAAUUAGGAAAAGAAUAUGUAGAAAAAUCAGGAAAAGAAUAUGUUCAUUUACAAUUACGUUAUAUUUCUAAUUUUAUUUUCAUUUAGGUUUGAACAAUUAUAAUGUCUAUUAUGAGUCCAUAUAAUAAUACUUAUUUGUUUCUCAAAAAGAUAAAUUUAGUGGUACAACAAUAUAAUAAGAAGAUAAUGAAUAAAAUAUGAUUAAAAAUACAGAAAAGAAAAUUUGAAGAUAAAAUUCAAAUGAUAUAUACUUUUUGUAGAUGAUAAUAUGUACAAAGUAAAAAAUAAAAUCUUUAACAGGAAGCAAAUAUAUUAAUCUGAAUUUAAAAUAAUAAAUCAUUAAUAAAAUACUGUAAAAUCAAAAUAGUAUUUCUAUUCAAAUAUUUAAAAUGUAUAACCAAAUUAUACAUCGCUUCAUUUUAAAUAUUUCUCGAAAAAUUGUUAUAUCUUGAAUUCCUUAAAUCUGAAUUUCAUACCCAACUCUUUUCAUUUACAUUGUAUUUCUAUUCAAAAUUGAUACAAAAUAUAACCAUUAUACUAUAUUAAAGAAAUGAUAUGACUAGAACAGUAAAUAAGUUUACUUUAAAUGCAAUCAACAAAUUAGCAAAAGUAAAAACUUGAACCAGUGAAUAAAUAUGUGGGUAGAAAUAUAACUUUUCUUGAAAUUGUUGUUAUCUAAAAUAAUAAAAAUUGUAAUCAUAAUAAAAGAUAUAUAUAUAUAUAUAUAUAUAUAUAUAUAUAUAUAUAAUAAAACCUAGAAGAAUGCACUAAUUUUACUACUUGUUUAAACUUUAAUUAAUCUAAUGGAUCAUUACUAACUCAUUGAAAACAAUAGAACAUGAUUCAAUCAUUUGAUAAAUCUUUUUACUUUUUCAAUAUAGAGACAAUUGUUAUAGAUAUUAAUCUUUUUUUAAAUAUAAUUGGACAUUUAUCUAUCAAUUUUUAUAAUGUAACCAUCAAUUAACUUUUGAAAUAUUAGAAUCCAAAUAUUUAGGGAAUGGGAGGAAUCUUUUAUCCUAAAGUAUUUACUCCCUUUUUUAACCAAUACAAAAACAAACAAUAUAUUUUCUUUAAUAAAAAUGUAAUAUGUUUUUAUAAUUUGAAGCAAACAUCGAGGAAAACAGAAAAGUUGAAGAUAAUUAGAAGAGAAAUAUGGGGAGAAAAAUGAGGAGAAUAUUUGGUUUGAAUGGAGAAAAAUCUGAAAAAUGUCUAUUUUCCUUCAAAUCAAAUCAAAUUAAUUUUCGAUUAAUAAAAAAAUAUUUUGAUAUUAUCAAACAAAUUAAAGUCAAACACAUGUUUUGAUAAUUUAAACCAAUCAAAAUGUAUUUUUUUAUAUUUUGAAUUAAAUUAAAUCAAAUCAAAUAUAAAAUGGGAACCGAUAAAAUAUAGCAAAAUUUCAUAUUCAAUCUGUUCAUUCAUUGAUAAUUAGAAGUUUAUUGAUAUGAUAAAAUUUAAAAUUUUACUAUAUUUUAUGAAUAUCCAAUUAUAACUAAUUCAAAUUUUAAAAUAGAAAAAAAUUAUGGCAAUGUUAGUCUCAAAUUCGUUAGAUUGCAAAUACAUAUGGAAUGUUUCCUAUUAGAAUAUAUAUAAUGACAAUUUCAUGUACAAAGUAGUCGAAAAUCACAUCUUUUUUUACAUAAAACUUACUAAAUUCAUAUUUUGCCAAAAAAAACAAAAAAACAAAAGAUCAAUCAGCUCCGACCAAAUUUGCCAUUUCCUCCGAUUUCCCUAAUAAAAGAUUAGAAAAUGGGGGUUUUAAAUAAAAUAAGAUCCAAAUGAAAUUGGGCUCAAAUAUGUUUGAAGAUGACUAACAUUAGGCCCAACAAAAUGUAUUGGGAAGCCCAACUCUUAGACCAAAUAAUAACGGGAUAGUUCAAAUUUAGCAAUUAAAUUCAAAAUAAUUGAAUAUAUAACAAUAUUUAUAAAAAAUUUAUAAAUAUAGCAAAAUUUGUCAAAUUCUAUCAAUGAUAUAAGUCUAUCAUCGAUAGAUCAUGUUGUAAAUAUUAGUCUAUCAUCGAUACACCAUACGAAUCUAUCAACGAUACAAGUUUAUCGAUGAUAGUUUUGCUAUAUUUACAUUUUUUUUAAAUGUUACUAUAUCCUUAAUUAUUAUUUCUAAAAUAGUCAUCAAUUAUAAUUAUUCGUAAUAAUAAAACCACACUUAGACUAAGAGAUUAUUCAAACCCAUUUUUCAAUCCCUCAAAUCAAACAAAAAUUAGAUUUGAAAGAAAAAUGUUGUGUGAUUCAUCUGAAGCUAUACUACAUGCAUACUUCACUAUAUAAUCAAAUUAUCUACGUGGAUCACUCGAAUUGUGACAUCUGGUGCCAAAUAUUUUCUUUUAAAUUUAAAAAGAUUUUUAAAUUCUUUUAUUUUAAAACAUAACUUUUAUCUUAAUCUUUUUCUUUUUAAUUAUUAUUAUUAGGAGCAUACCUAAAUAUAGCACAAAUUUAAAUCUAUCACUUAUACUUGAUAGAUUUAGUAAUCAUAGAUCUAUCAUUCAUAAAAUAUUACAUUUUACUAUAUUUUCAAUACUUUUAUCAUUUAAUAUCAUUUUUUUCAUUAUUAAUUAUUAUUAAUUAUUGCAGUUGUUAUUAUUAUAUUUUAAUUCAAUUUAUCAAUAUAAAUCUCAUUCUCCCUUUUCUUGUAAUAUAUCUCUCAUUUUUUAAUUGAAAGAUUAUUUGAUUGUUUACAUUCACAUGUCUACACUUUUGCGAUUCUAUUUUUUGCGAAUUUCAAAUUUCAACAUUUCAAUUGGGAUUUUGUAUCAAGGUUUACACAUAGUUUUGAGUUGAGUAUAUAGUAUUUAAUUCAGAACCAAAAAGAAAAUUUUGUGCGGUUUUUUAAUCCAAUCUCAAAAAAAAAAAAAAGAAAAUCGCAUCAAUUUGAAAAAAAUAUCAUAAUAGAUCUAAAUUUACCAAAAUAUAAGUUAUAAUGUGAGUUUUGAACGAAAAUUGGUCUCUCUUCUCUUUUGAUAGAGAAUUAUUUGUGUACCAAGAUAUAUUAUUCUAUAUAAAAAAAUUGGAUGCUUAUUAAUUUGUGUUUAAUUUGGACUGAUUGUGCUAUAAUAUUAUUAAUUUGAUUCAAUUUGGUUUGAAAGUUGGUUUACCAUAUUGUUAUGUUUAAUUUGUUUAGAAAAAGAAAAUGAUUUUCCAAGGAAUUCUAAUAUUCCUUACAUCAUCUCAAUAUGGUAGCCAAGAAGAAUCCAUGCAAUUUAAAAUAUCAAACUGCCAAUAAGAUUUUUCUUUCUUUUGUAUUUAAAUUAUGUUUGUCCCUUUGCAUAGGGAUUUCUUUUAUUUUGUGGUCGCAUACCAAACCAUAUUUGAUUCUUGCUUCUUUUUCUAUAUACUCAUACUCAUAUUCCUUUCAAAUAUUUUUAGUCAUGAUAAGAAUGUCUUGAAAUACGACAAAACUGCUUGUCUCUAAAGUUUAUUAUUUUAAUUAAUGGACAAAAUUUUAAUAAAAACUUGUAUAUAAAUGUAUCACUUUCAUUUUGCAAUAGGUUAAGUUAUACUCAAUAUCAUACCCUUAAUCAUUAUUAUAAUAUAUUAUCACAUUCAUCAAAUAUUGAUAUCUUUUAAUUAUUAAUUUGUUCUAACCAUUUGAUUGUUUACGUUCUUUCUUAUAUAAUUUGUUUUCGAGUCAAAAUGACAUAUUGUAGAUAGUUAAAAAUUCAAAUCUAUCUUAAAAUGAGUGUAAUUCAAUAUGCAUGUAGUUUGAAACUUUUCCACGUCUGUAGAACUAAAAAAAACAAUUUGUUUUGUUGUAAAAUAAAGAACAAUAGGAACGAUUGAUAUAUAUAUAUAUAUAUAUAUAUAUAUAUGUAUUUGAAGAGUUUCUUUUCAUUUUUUACAUUUCCCUUGUAUAUGUAUUUUACAUAUUCAUUUUAUUUUCACUGGAUGUUUUAAGUUAAUUUAGUAAUAUAAUAUUUUGAUCCUAAAAAAAUUUAACACACCAUCAAACAAAACAACUAAAAGGUAAAAUUUAUUACACUUAAUUUUUCUAUAAGAUAUAAAUAUUUGGUCAAAUGUUCUAUUUUGACUAUUUUUCUUUAGAAAAAUUACUAUACUACAGUUUAUUUCAUUUUUGAAGAAACUUCAAACAAGUAAAUGUUAGUUAUUAUUAAAUUACAAAUUUAGUUUCUAAAAGUUACUUUUUAUUUUUCUCUUUUAUUUGUAGUCUUUUCAAUUGAUUUUUUUUAAUUCACUAUGUUUUCCUAUCACUCGAUCAUCCUAUUUUAAAAGAACGAGAAUACUUCUGUUUUAAUUUUAUUUUUGUAAUAUUUUAUAAAAGACGAAGAACUCUACAAAAAAUUAAACUUCCCUUCUUAAAAAACGAGAUCUAUAAAUCAAUAAAUUUGAAAGAUGCUAUAUUUAAUUUAUUCUAUUAUAAUAAAUUUUUAAACAAUUAUUUCUCAUGGUAAGGGAUGGUUUUUUUUUUUUUUUUUUUAAGAUUUAUCUAGUAAGUUUUUUUUUUUAAAAAUGAAUAAUUCAAAUAUAUUGUAAUGUGCAACAUUUGAAAGUCAAAAGCAGAAAGUUGAAAAUGGAUCCAUGAUUGGAGAGACCAAAACUAUGGUGUUAACAAAUUAUAAAUUAGAGAAUGAAAAUGUUGGGAUAAGAUUGAUUAAAUUAAAAUACUAAAAAAGAAGUUUAUAAAAAUGAUAAUAAUAUAAUGAGGGAUUGAAAGUCAUGAGUCUUAAUUUGUUAGGGGCAUUAGGGUCAUCUCCUUUGACCUUAGAAGACAAAGUGUUCUACAAACUCUUUUCUUCUUCCACUAAAAAAAGGAUGCCAAAAGAAAUUUUUGUGGUUCACUUUAAUUCCUCAUAUAAAAAUGGAAUUUAAGUGUUAGAAUAGGAAAGAAAUAAGUUUUAAUACAACAUUUUGGUCCUUUUAUUUUUUGUAUUUUUGUUCAUAUAUAUUUUAACUUCAUUCACUUUUGUCUCUUCCAAUUUAUACUUCAUUUAUUUUGUUUUAUUUAUCCAAACCAAAAUAGUACAUUUACUAAAAUUAUAAAAUCCAAUAAAUAUAUAGAUAUAUCUAUAAACAUAUGUGUAUACACAAUAUAUAUAUAGAUAUAAAUGUACAUAUAUACACAUUUAGGAUAAGAUUUGAAUUUAACCACUCCCUACUUAUAUUUAAUAUUAAAAUAGAUUUAUUUGAUUUUAAAAAUCUAAAGUAUAAGACUCUUAGAUUGUCCCAAAAUGAAGAUAUCUCUCUCCUUAGGUAUCACAUGGACAAAAGAUCCUAUAUGUACUCAAAUAUUAUUUCAAUUCUCAUCCAAUCUCUUAAAACGGUUGCUUUUAAAUAUAACAAAAUAAAUUAAAAUAUUUAUAAAUACAGUAGAAUAUCAUUUAUAGAUGAUGUUGAUAAACACGAAUAGAUAUUAGAAUCAAUCGCUAUUUAGUACUUAUAGACCAUAAAAUUUUAUUACUUUUGUUAAUAUUUUCACAUCAUAUUUAAAACAAAUUCUCUUUUAUAGCAUUUAGAUAUAUAUUUUCGUCAAUGUAUAUAAAUAUAUUAACAUAUUAUUUCUUUUAAUAUUUAAUGUAUCGAAGAAGAAGAUAGGCAAAUAUUUUGUUCAAUACAAUUGGUUGAAUGUUUCAAAAAAAAAAAAAAAACCAAUCUUAGGAAUCUCACAUCCAUCAAAGUGGAUUGUAUCCUUCAGUGUGUUACUACUGGGGACGAUGACAAUUUAAUUUUAACAUGGGAGAGUGUUACAAUUAUAUUUGAAGGAAGUAGAUUAUGACCCCAUUAAUUAGCUACUACAUACAAUGUAGCAUGCAAGUAUUGAUAUAUCAAACAAAGAUAGAGGAUCGAGAGAAGUGUGGUGAUGCAACUAUGAAAAAAAUAUGGUUCCUUGUAAGAGUUCGUAUGAGCUACCUAUCAAACUAUACAAAACCUAAUUAUAAGUUGUAUUGACGGGACGAUUGACGUGUAGGUUCUAUAAGAAUUUAAAACAAAAAUUACGUUUGCUUGUUUCCUUUUUUUUUUUUUUCGUUUAUAAAAAAUCAACAUAAUUUUGAAACUUUUGUAAUUUUUCAAUGAAAAAAAUAUAAUAUUUUACAAUACAUUUUUCAUCUAAUCUAUAUAACUAUUAAAUUAAAUCUUUAUUUGUAACUUUUUUUGUUAAUAAAAAAAUACCAAAUAAAAAGAAAAUAAGAAAAAUGAUUGUAAAGGAUAAAAUUUCUAAAAAUAUUUAAAAAAAAAAAACAAUAAAAUUUUAGGUUAAUAAUUUCCACAAAACUGAUAAUUAUAAUUGAUGAAUAUAAAAUUAAUCUUUCAUUAUAAAUUAUUUAAACUAUUUUUUUUCUAAAAUAAAAUCUUCAAUGACGAAACCCAAUUAUAUGUGAUUAUAUACCUCAUUUAUAUAAAAUUCUAUGCCUUAAUAGAUUUGGAUUGCCUUACCAGGCAAAAUGUAAACUAAUACAUCUAUUGAGAUGAAAGCCAAAGGUCAGGCUCUCCGGCCGAGGUAUCGAACUAAAAUAAGAUCUCAGAUUGAUAUCUUGAUAAAGAAUAUUUCAUGAAUGAGUGAAUCAUCUUUUUACUCGAGGUGUAAAGAAUAUUGCGAGUUCAAGAUUAGUUGACAAGAUUGGAAGGAUAAAAUGAAAGGAGCUCGGUUUGUUUGCGCCUUGAUUUUGUGAGGAGGUCCACAUUGUUAAAAGAAAGUCUAUCCCAUAGAUUGACACCUAUUUUUUGGAAUAAGACUCGUCAAGAGCUAUAUACUCCUCCUACGGUCCUUUGAACUAUGAAAACUAUUUCUUUGGUAGUCCAUUUUAACGGCUAUUUUUUGGAAUUCAUACAAAUUCUUUCUCAAUAUUCUUUCUCUCCACAAUAUUCUUUGCGCCUCCAGAAAAGUGGUCGUUUUUGGAUGAAGUACCGAAAAGUUUUUCGCAAAAUUAGAGCAACGAUUCUUAUUAACAAAUCAAAUAUGUUUAAUAUUUACUAAUAAUUGUAAGAGGAUAUAUUUUCAAAAGUUUUAAUAUUUAUUGACAAAGAUAAGAAGUUUGAUUUGAUUGUUAAGUUGGUUAAUAUUUAUUAAUAAAUAUAUGGUUGAUAUUUAGAUUUGGUUGUUACUAUAUAUAUUUUCAGAAGUUAGUUAAUAUUUAUUAAUAAAUAUGUUAGAAGUUCUUAGUCUGUGUAUCUUAUUUUGUUUGGCUCUCUCGACCGUGACAAAAAGAGAAUGUUGAAAGGAAGGUUUUCAAAAAUAAUAUUCUUUGACAAAGUGAGAUGUUAUUUUGUUUCCUUUUCUACUAUUCUUUCUCUGUCUAUGAAGUUUCCGUGUUGGUAUGACCUUCUAUGUAUGGUUGUCUUGUGCUUCUUGUGAGAUGUGUCGAAAUUAUGAGAAGUAGGUUUUGACUGCUGCAACUAUCUACGAAAAAAGAUGGUGAAUAGUCUUGAUCGAAGUUCUGUUGAUCGAGAUAUUUUGUUGGACCAACAACUUGUAAGUUAUCUUUUGAUAACAUGAUUAGUUGCUGGUUUUCUUUAAUGUUGGAGGAUAAAUCUUCCUUAUCAGACAGAUUACAAAAACACUAGUUGCAUUUUGAUGAAGGAAGAUCUUCCUUAUCAGACCGAUAGAAACACUAGUUGCAUUCUGAUGAAGGAAGAUUUUCAAGGGAGACUCUUCUGAUUAACACCUUAAUCUAAUGAUAAGUGAGUUGCAUGAUUAAGGGGAGGAUUUUGUUUGGCAAAAUCUAACUUUGAAUUGUAGUGAUAAACUGAUUUGUAUGACCGUUAGUAUUGAGUGAACUAGUGAAUUUGAAUCUUUUUACUAAAAUAAUAAUAUGUUGAUUAUGAUUUCUUAUUAUCAAAGUAAUAAGAUCUCUGAUCAAGUGUCAAGGAUCUCAGAUGUAGACGCUGUGUCAUCGAACUAGGUCAACAAUGUUUUGUGUCUCUGUUGUCUUUACUUAAUGUUCUCAUUAUUGUUUCCUUUGCAGUUAACACUAUCAUCCACUGGAGUUUGUUUAUUGUCAUUAUCCCCUUGUUGUUUUUUCAAAAUAUAAGAAGUUGGCUUUGAUUGUUUUUUGGUCUUGACCUAAAAUACAGCUAUGGGCUUUGUGAGUGAUAAAUUUAUUUAUGUGGAAGACAGAAGUGGGUGUGUACGAUGAACAAACUUUGUAUUGAAAAAGUCUUUUACGAGUACUCAAUUUGUGUGGUUUGUGUUAUUGAACACCUUGGUUACUAAUAUUGUGAGACAUUUGGUUGAGAAGAUUUGUGUAAGAUAGGGGGAAGUCUAACAUUGAAGGUUAUUUUGACGAGUCUCUCAAAGGAACAGUCUGAACAUUGAGACACAAGGGUGAAGAAUGCAACAUAUGAUGUACGAGGAGCCUAGAUCAAAUCUCUUGUUCACACAUGAAAUGGUUUAGGUGGAUUUAAACAUUUAUCUUGUAAAAGUCGCACAUGUAAUUCAAGAUAGUUGAUUCUCAAUAAGUAAUGUACUUGUGAUCCUUUUGAAUCUUAAUAAAAAUGAUCUUUUCAAUCGACCUAAAGACCCCAUAUGUAGGUGUUCUAUUCUGUCUUUUUGUACGGUUUAGUUUAAUUAUUAGCUUGAGACUUAAUUUUAAGUCAUUAAGUUAAUCGUGAUUUUUUUUCAAUCUAAAUUAUGUACACAAAUUUUUUAAUUGCAAAGUGAACUUGAAAAUUCUCAACUUUAAUUCAACCUAAUAUUUGUAAUUUAAGUCAUUAUUAGUUUACUAAAACUAAUUCAUUUUUGCUCUGUUCCUUUUUAUUUUUGUUAAUUGAAUUAUCCUGGAUUUCAACUUUAUUUUUUUUUAGUUUGCCGUCCUAAUAAGUAGAAGAAAAACAUUAAAUCAAUUUGAUUCAAAGUUAUUAUUAUACUCUACUUGUCUUAGUUCAAGUGGGACUUUUUUUAAAAAAAUUUAGCUAGAAGGGACGUUUUAGUUUUUUCAAGAAAAAAGAAUAGAAUGAAUAUUUCAAAGAUACAUUUAUAUAAAUGUGACAUUUUAAAGUCAAAAGGAGAACAUUGAAAAAUUGUCCAUAAUUAAUUAAUUGAAAGACCAAAUCUAAUUUUCCAAAUUAUAAAGAGAAUGAAAAAGUUAGAAUUGGAUGAGUUAAUAAUUAAUAUACUUAGAAUAAGUCUAUGUGAAUUGAUAUAAUUUUAAUAAUAAUGUGUAUUUAUUUGGGGGCAGAAGUGACAAUAUGCCCACUUGAGUUCAUUCCUUUGACCUAAAUUUUCUCUUUUCUUUUUAGAACAAAAGGCUUUUAUAAACUCUUUUCUUCUUCCUCUCAUAAGGAUGAUUAAAUUUUUGGGAUAUAUCUUAAUUUCCUGUUAAUUAUUUUUAAAAAUAAAAAAUAAAAAAAUUCUUACAUUUUUAUUACAAAUAAAGGUGGAAGUUUGAACUACGAUCCUCCUAUUUUUAACAUUCAUGUGUUAAUUGGGCUACUUAACUCCAACAAGACUUUGUUCCUUUAAAUUAUUAAAAAAGAACGUUAAAGAGAGAAAAUUUAUUUAGAUAUGUGUUUGACGGCAUAUUAAAAUGUUAGAUUCUAGUUUUAAAAAAUAUUUGAAUGUGUUUGAGACUAUAUAUUAAUAAAUAUAAAAAUAGUCUUGCUUAUUCACUAAAAUUUAGCUGAUUACAAUAAGUUAUUAUUAAUUUAUUUAUGAAUACAAUUUAAUUAUAUUUAAAUAAAUUGUUUAAACUGUAAUUUUAAUCUCUAUUGUUUGGAGAAAGUUAGAGUUUAGCCAAUAGUUUGAUAAUAUAUAACUAUAUGAUUUGGACAACUUUCAUAAAUAGUUGUUACGAGCAAGACUAUUUUCUAUGAUUUUAUUAAACAAAAAGGACUAAAUUAUAGUUAUAAACCAUAUAGAAACUAAAUCCUAUCCUUUUAAAAUCAUGACCAAAUUUAUAAUUUAACCUAAAAACUUAUAUAAUUAUUGUUUUACAUUAUUAUAAACUAUACAAGGGAAUUUAUGAAAAGAGAAUUGCAAAAUGGAUAAACUAUUUACCCUUUGACAAAAGGAAGAACAAUCAAUUUUUGUUCUUUAGUGGUUUUAAGGUAAAUAGUUUGUAUUUUUUUUUAUUAUUCUUGAAAAUUCCAGGAUUUUUUUUAAAAAUAAUGUGUUUUGUGAAAGUAUAUACGUAUUUAAUAUAAUUCUAUUUUUUAAAUGUAAAUUUCAAAUUCUGAGCACAAUAAAAACAUAUAUAAAAAUGAUUUUUAGAAUUUGCCAUAUUCCGCUGAAAUAAAUGUGUUUGUAAAAUAGAAUCUAAACUCUCUAUCAAAUAUGCUUUAAUAUUUUUCACUUGAAAUUAUUAUUUAGAGACCAGUUAAUAAUAUAUAAAUGCUUAUUGGAGGAAAGAAAUAACCUCCAAGAUGUAUAAAUCUAAAUCAGAACUAUGUUUAUGUCAACUAUACUUAUGAGCUCAUUCAAACCAUAAGCUAAAAUGGUUGAGUUACACUCUUGAACUAAUAUAUAUAUAUAUAUAUAUUAUAUAUAUAUUAUAUAUAUAUAUAUAUAUAUAUUAUAUAUAUAUAUAUAUAUAUAUAUAUUAAUUCUGAUUUUAUCCGUAUAUUUAAAUUUAAAGACUUUUUUUAAAAAAUAACAAAAACAAAGAAAUAUUAAAUAAUUUUAAAAAUGGAAAAAACCCACAUGUUCACAAUAAAAAAAAUAAAAAAAAAUGUCCUCCAUCAAUAUCCAUUAAUUUGGCACUUGCAUGUAUAAUAUAUUUGGUACUAAAUCGUUUAGAUUUGGUUACAUGAUUGUUUAGAUUUGAUUACACGGUGGUUUAGAUUUGGCUACCAAAUCUACCUAAACGAUUUUUUUUCAAGAUUCUUUGUACACGUUUAGAUUUUGCUAAACGAUUUCUUUUCAAGAUUUUUUGGUACAUAAUCGUUUAGAUUUUACAAUUUUUUGUUAUUUAGAGUUGAUCGUUCAUAAAUCUAAACAAUUUUUUUUCAAGAUUUUUCGGUACAGUAUCGUUUGAGUUUAGAUUUAGCUAUCCAAAUCUAAACGACGAUCGUGUAUCAAUAUCUCAACGAUUUUUAAAGAUAUUUUAUAUUUGGUAACGAUCUUGAACCAAAUAACAGUUUGAAAAAAAAUAAAAGAAAAAGAAGAGAAAAAACUAUGAAAAUGGAAAAAAUUGCCCGCGGGCCAAAAGAAAAAAAUCCCAUGACUUUUCUGGAGCAACAACUCCGGCCGAAAAAGACCUGGGAAAGGGAUAAAUCCAAAAUAAAAGGCAAGCCUAUAGAAAAGGAUGCGCCGGGAAUAAUGUUUAAAAGGAUAUUUUACGAAGAAACGAUAGAAAAAGGAAGAACAAACCUAAUAUAUCUAAAAAAUAUUCGGCUUCAUGAAUUCUUUUAUUUUGUUACACAAAUCGUAAACAUGAGUAUUUUAUUAUAUUUAUGAAAAUUUUCCAAACUUAAAUUUAAUAAUUAUAUAAAUUAAAAUUUUAAUAAAUGUAGAGGAUUUAAACUUUCUAUAAGUGUGCUUUAAGAUUGUUGAUGCAUCACUUUCACACAUUUAGAGGAUUUAUUCAAUUUAUUGAGAAACAUGAAAAUCAAAUAGUAACCAUUUUUCAUGAAAUUUGGCCAUUUUUCUUUUACUUAUUUAGAAGGAAUUGAACAAUUUUCUUUUCUACUUUAUUGAGAAUUUUGGAGGACCUAGUUUUAUUCAUAAAUCCUUAAUCCUAAACAAAAUUAAGUGAAAUUAAAAUACCUUCACAUCACUACUAAAAUUGUCAAAAUUGAUUUAAUUAUAAAACUAUAGAACUUAAAAGUCAUGCAAAAUUAAUUUGAAAGACGAUAAUAAUUCAUAGUUUAAAAAAGAAACAUUUGUAAUAUGUGUCUUGAUAAUCGACUAGCUUUACAUAUUAUUGAUCUUUUCCUUUUUCUCUAAUUAUAACUUGACGACGGGACUAACCAUAGUGAACUUAAGUCAACAUAAUUGAUAUUCUAUAUGAAAUUAUUAGUCAUCCUCAAGCUUUCAUUAACUCGUCAGCUUUUGCUUAAAGUGCUACACGUUUAAGUUUAUUAGCUUUCCAAACUAUGCUUAGUUUAAUCCUUAUCGUAGUUCACUAAUUAAGCUCAAUUAGUAAAUUUUUUAGAAAAUUCCUAACUCUCAACCAUGGCUUUAAUUCAGUUUUUUUUUUCUUUUUUCUUUUUAAAUAAAUGGAUGAUAAUAUAAUUAUAAUUAUUGAAAAAUAAUCACAAAAAAUAUUAGUCGUAAUGAUAACUAAUUAGCUAUAUAUAUGAUUUAUUAAUAAAGUAAUAGUUUACCGUUUUUGCGAGCAGAUAAUCUUCUCAUCUGCUUCUUCCUUCCUCAUUCUUUUUCUUCUUCCUUCCCAUACUGAUUUACCAAUAAGUAGUUUUUUAGCACAUAUUUCACGAUACUGAUACACAAUUAUAUCUUUCUAUCAGUUUUUGCUACUGAUAGAUAAUAAUAAUAGACUAAUACCAAUAAGAAGAACUACUAGUGAUAGAUAUUGAUAAUAAUUUAAGAUGUUUUGGUGCUCUACUCUUCUGUGCAAACAGAUUCGUACAACCCCAUCGUUUUUGGGAUAAAAUAGUUGUGUUUCGUCAAUUAGAACUGCACUGAAUAUUGAUCGAAAUACCAACACUCAAAUAGACACUUCUAUGCUCAAUAUAUGAAAACAAAUAGAAAGAAAAUAAAUUUGGUCGAGAGAGAGAGAGGGGUCGUAGAAAGAGAGACGAAAGAGGAUGUUUUUCUUGUCUUCUCAGAAGAGAAAUGGGACAUAUAUAUAUAGUAGAUGGGGAGAGAGGCUCCAACCAAACCGUUAAUUAUUUUUAUGACAAUUAAUGUAACAGUUCAAUGGUAAUGUACCGGUGGAAACGAUUGACGUUACGAUUUGUAAUAAAUUCAAUGGUCAAUUAUGGUUCAUAAUAAACCCAAUUAUUUUUGGAAACAUUUUUAACAUAAAACCGGUUUUGAAAGUUAAAAAUAUAUUUUAGCAGAAAAAUUAUAUUAUUAUAUUAUUAUAUAUUUUAAUUCCUCACCUCGCUACGUCCGAUCGGACGGUGGCACGUGGGAAUAUCGGCAAACCUACUUUUACCUAUCUCCUCUCCUCUUUCAAAACUUGAGUGCCCAUUGGGUUAUUGAGUGUCAAACAAUGUUUUCAAAGUUUCAACAGUUUGAAAAAUCGUGGGUUAUCGGGUGCCACGCACUUGGGUUGGGCCUAAAAAAUCAGCAAGUAAUGGGCCAAUUGUCUUCAACAUGGGAGUAUUCUUGGUAUUUCAAUGGUUUUGUAACUGUGUUGUACCAAAGUAUAAAAUUUUGCUAUAAAUUGUAAAUAUUUUAUUAUAUUUUUCUAUAUUUAAAAAUCUCAUACACACACAUGUGAAAAUUAUUGAAAUAGCAAAACUAGUGAAAAUAUUUACAAAAUAUAUACAAAAUUUUAGAAUCUAUCACUAGUAGGCGCUGAUAGAAAUCUAUCAGUAUCAAUGUCUAUUGAUGAUAGAUUCCAAAAUUUUACUGUAUAUUUGUAAAUAUUGUCAACGCAUGCACAUAAAAAAAUUAAUUUAUAUUUCAAACAAUAAUUAAUUCCCAUACUAAUUCCCCGUGCCAUUUUCCUUAAUCCAAACCACUCCUAAGGAGUACAAUUAUGUGGACGUCCUAGAGUGUUAAAGCUUGAGCAAUGUCUAUGCACUAAAGGAUAAAAUGUUUAUACAACAUUUUACGGAUACCUUAGGAUUUUCAUGUUUAGUUAAGUGGUGGUCGGUUGUUGUCGAAGAUGGUUGCCAACAGUAGUGGUUAGAAGUUGGCCAAGGUGGAAGCCUGUAGAGGUAGCAGCUAGAAGUUAGGGCGAUUGGAGGUGGUUGUUGUUGAAGUGGCAAUAAGGGUAUCGGUGGUGAUAGAGUUGAGUAUACCGUUACUAUGUUAGUGGACUUGAGUAUAAAAUAUUUGUGAUAUACAAAGUUGAACUCCAAAUGCUUAUCAAAUUAGUAUGUCUAAUCAAAAUUUUAAUCAACAAUAUGAACAACAUGAAAUAAAAUGUAACACCCCAAAUUUAAGAGGAGACAUGAAUGAAUCGAAAUCACAUCUGAAUGAGAGGGAUCUCGAGAACAUGAAAGAAAUGUUAAGAAAGACUUGAAAGAAUUAAAGUUACCACGUAUACCAACAAUCUGCACAUUCCUUUUCAGUGGCUUGACCAUAGAAACUCCAAAUUUCAGUGUUCUUAGCUCGAAACAAUUAUAUGUUGUGUGAGUUUUUUAGAAUUUUCAUAAGAUGCAUGUGAGUGAGAACAAAGCAUGCUGAAAAAACUCGUGUUGGUUUGUAGGGACGACUUUCACUCUAAUUAGCUUUCAAAACAAGUAAGGUUGAUGUUGCCAAGUCGCAGAGAAAUGUUGGGGAUCCACGUGACAAUUUAUAAUUUAUAAUUUGGAAAAUAAAGAACCUGCAAGACCAGAAAAUAGCUUUAAUGUUAAAGUCAAAGAUUAGAAUUAUAGAAUAGAAAAAAAAUCAUAGAUUUUAGUUACGUGAUGAUAUAUCUAUAUAGAAAAUUGACCUAGGUUGUUCCCAAACAAUUCAGAGUUGGUUCAAGAUAAUUGGAUAAACUAUCAAGUCUGGAAUGUGCCCAGUUUCAUGUUUAGCUAGGGUCCCCGUCGUUCGAACUAGUUUGGUCCUAAUUUGCCACUAUAGAUUUUUGUCAUGAUUUCUUCCUGACUUUGUCACUCUUUCAUCCAAAAUCACACACUACUGUACUACCAAUGAACUUAAAAUUGAGACUCAAACAUUGUGGACUUAUUUUAAAUUUGAACUUUUAUAAAAGAAUCUAAUAUAUAUAUAUAUAUAUAUAUAUAUAUAUUAACGGUUGUUUUUCAAUAUUGUAAUAUUGAACUAUACUUAGUGCUUACAAAAUAAAAGUAAAUCCACAUGGAAUAUUUAUUUAUUAUUGGUUUAGCUGCACGUUUAUAUGAAUCCUAUCAACAAAUUUUAGGUAGAAUAAUUUAAACAUGUUAAAGAAACAUUGUUUUAGUGCUGUAAUCCCCAUUAUAAAGAAAGGCUCCUAAUCUUUUAACAACAUAGUGAGGGGAAUUGCUUUCUCUGCUCAAACAACUCCAAUGCCAUAAAUUUAAAUAGUUACAAGGAUGUAAUUUUGAUAUAAAUAUGAGAGUAUGGUUGAUAUUUGAGGGUUGUUUUGUUUGUUAUUAUUAUAUUGCAAUGAGGCACAAAUCAUAAUUUUCUAAUUAUAUGAAAAUUGAAUUCACACAAAGCAAAAAGACAAAAUGAGAUGAGUGGAAGACUGAGUCGGAUAUAUUCUGUCACCCACCCAAAUGACUGAUCCACAACACUCUCGACGCGUCAACGAAUCUCAUUCAUCACUCACCCAAAGAAAAGAAGAAAAAAAAGAAAAAAUCAUUUUUUGCUUUCCAAAAUUUCAUCUUCAUUUUGAAUUUCAUUUGGGUUUCAUUUGGAUUUCUUUGCUGUGAAGAAGCAACCGCGAUUUGGGUCGAAUUUGGAUUGCGAAAAGUGGGGCCUUUUCUUCUCUUCCUUUGCCUUUCACUCUGCUUUGACUUUGACUGCUGAAGCCACUACGAAGAAAAGUCGCACCUUCUUCCCCCUUUCUUUCUUUUCUAGUUUUUACCCUCUCCUUCCCUCCUCAUAAAACCCCCCCCAUUUCCUUCCUCCAUUCUUAGCAUCUCAAUUUCACCCUCCUAUCGAGCCCUUCUCGAUUUCUCCCUUCUCACUACCACUAUUUUCAAUCAUUCAACCUGUUUCUUCCUUCAAUUUACUUCCAGGUACUAACAAUCUUUCCAUUCUUCUUUAAUCUAUCCUGUUUUCUGCCUUUUUCUUUCUGCUUUUCACAUCGGUUUUGCUUUAAUCCAUCUGCGGUACUCUUACUUUUUCUGCUUCUGUUGAUGGAUUUCGGAGGUUUGAGUGUGUUUUCCAUGUUUGUUCUUCAUGUGGGUGUCUCUGGAGGUUGUUUAUAAAGUCAUGUCGGUGGAUGAAAUCUUUUUAAAUUAAGAUCGGUUGCGUUUAGGAAUUCAUUUUUGCUUACAAACCCAUAUUUCAAACUUUUGAGUUGUUUUGGUUUCUGAUUUUUGUGGCUUGAAAUUUUGCAGGACCUGGAUAUGUGCAGUGGCUCUAAGAAUAAAGUUGCUUCCACGAAUUCCGCCAUGGAAGCUAGGUUUCUGAAGCUUAGCGAUGGGGGUUUAUUUUCUGAAAAUUCGAUCUUGCUUGAACUUUCAGCCUCUGAUGAUGUAGAAGGGUUCAAGAGAGAGGUUGAAGAAAAGGAUUUGGAUGUUGAUGAGCCAAGCUGCUGGUAUGGAAGAGGAAUUGGGUCAAAGAAGAUGGGUUUUGAAGAAAGAACUCCGUUGAUGAUUGCUGCCAUGUUUGGAAGCUCCAAGGUUGUCAAGUACUUAAUUGAAACAGGCAAGGUUGAUGUCAACAGGGCCUGUGGUUCAGAUUUGACCACCGCCCUUCACUGUGCUACUGCUGGUGGCUCUUGUUCUUCCCUUGAGACCAUCAAGCUCUUGCUCGACGGAUCUGCUGAUGUCGAUUGUGUCGACGCCUACGGGAGAAAACCUGUGGAUUUGAUUGUUUCAGCUUGCAGGAUGGUGUUGAAUUCAGGAAGAAAGGCUAUGGAGAUGUUGUUGAGAGGAGAUGGUAUGGCUGGGGAAGCUGAUCUGAGCCUUUACCUUGAAGAAGACCAGCAGAAGAUCACAGCUUCCCAGUUCUCAAAAGAAGGAAGUGACAAGAAAGAGUAUCCAGUUGAUGUAUCGCUGCCCGACAUCAACAGUGGGAUCUACGGUACUGAUGAUUUCAGGAUGUAUACUUUCAAAGUGAAGCCUUGUUCGAGGGCGUAUUCGCAUGAUUGGACCGAGUGCCCUUUCGUUCACCCUGGUGAGAACGCCAGGCGUAGAGACCCCAGGAAGUACCCAUAUAGUUGCGUUCCAUGCCCUGAAUUCCGCAAGGGGGCUUGUCCAAAGGCAGAUUCCUGUGAGUAUGCACAUGGUGUUUUCGAGUCUUGGCUCCACCCUGCUCAAUACCGAACCCGGCUCUGUAAGGAUGAGACUGGCUGCACAAGGAAAGUUUGCUUCUUUGCUCACAAACCUGAUGAGUUGCGCCCAGUAUAUGCAUCAACAGGCUCAGGCAUGCCUUCACCCCGGUCUCUUUCGAGCAACACUGGAGAUAUGUCUACCAUGAGCCCGUUGGCUCUUGGUUCAUCAUCGUUGUCGUUGCCAACAACCUCAACACCUCCCAUGUCUCCCUUAGCAUCAGUGUCUUCUCCUAAAAAUGGAAACUUGUGGCAGAACAAGAUUAACCUUACCCCUCCUGCUCUGCAGCUCCCUGGUAGUCGGUUAAAGGCUACCUUGAGUGCAAGAGAUUUGGAUUUAGAGAUGGAAUUGCUCGGAUUAGAAAAGAACGUGAGCCAAUUACAACAUCAACAACAGUUGAUUGACGAGAUUAGCCGGCUCUCAUCUCCUUACUGGAAUGCAGAUGUAAGCAGGACUGCAGAGUUGAAGCCAUCGAACCUUGAUGACAUGUUUGGAUCAUUAGAUUCUUCCUUAUUGUCUCAGUUGCAAGGCGCCUCACUAAAAACACCAAUCUCAGCUCAAGUUCAAUCCCCGACUGGGCUGCAGAUGCGCCAAAGCAUGAGCCAACUUCGUGCAAGUUACCCAGCUAAUAACCUAUCAUCCUCACCUGUAAAGAAACCCUCCUCUUUUGGCUUUGACUCAUCAAGUGCAGUGGCAGCUGCAGUGAUGAACUCAAGGUCUGCUGCCUUUGCAAAACGAAGCCAGAGUUUCAUUGAUCGAGCUGCAGUAUCCCGUCUUCCUGGGUUCACCGGAGCUGCAAAUUCUGCAGCUACCAUGUCUUCCCAUCUCUCAGAUUGGAACUCCCCUGAUGGCAAACUAGACUGGGGAAUGAAUGGCACCGAUCUCAACAAACUCAAGAAAUCUGCUUCCUUUGGUAUCCGAAAUGGAACUCCCACGUUUGCUCCACCAGUAGAGGAACCCG
RNAcentral lists this long non-coding RNA (99243 nucleotides) under Cucumis sativus (cucumber). RNAcentral's name for it is "long non-coding RNA (CSAT_LNC001814)". The record is from RNAcentral. Lineage: Eukaryota; Viridiplantae; Streptophyta; Magnoliopsida; Cucurbitales; Cucurbitaceae.